This 154258-nucleotide long non-coding RNA is filed under the name Glycine max (soybean). RNAcentral describes it as "long non-coding RNA (GMAX_LNC000545)". Lineage: Eukaryota; Viridiplantae; Streptophyta; Magnoliopsida; Fabales; Fabaceae. The record is from RNAcentral.
AAAUGAAUGUGUUGUUGGGACCAUCUCUCUUCAAGUAGAAUCCAUAUAUAAGCCAACAAAUGACAUAAUGGAGCAUUGUCAUGCAUCAAAUAAGAAUGCAAUUGUUUCCAGCAGUGAUGAAAAUGAAUGUGUUGUUGGGACCAUCUCUCUUCAAGUAGAAUCCAUAUAUAAGCCAACAAAUGACAUAAUGGAGCAUUGUCAUGCAUCAAAUAAGAAUGCAAUUGUUUCCAGCAGUGAUGAAAAUGCAUGUGUUGUCAGGCCGUUCUCUCCUCAAGUGGAAUCCAUAGAUGACUUAAGAUGUGUUUCAAAAAAAGGCUUGAUUAAGCGCUUAUUGAAUAAGUUCUUAUCAUGCGAAUACUUUUGUAAUGCAAACUCAGAAAAUAAGAAAAAUCAAGGUUAAAAGAUGGUGAAAGAAUGUCAGGUCCCAAUUGAUUCUUAUGGUGGCUGCAAAUCUUGUAUUGUUGCUUGUACUGAGAUUGCUUUGGGCAGUGGAUGAUUUGUUUUACAUGUAGAUUGGUGGCUACUAUUAAUUCUCUAAAUCUGAUGGCUAAAGAAUGGAUGCUUGGGGAAGGUCCACUUGUUUUGGGAUCUUGGUUUCUAAGGGAGUCCAACUUGUGCUUGAUUCUGAUGCCCUUGAUUUUAAUCCUUUGAAGUGAAAAAGAUAUGUGUAAUCCAAAUACUUGACAAUUGAUCAAUCAAAUGAAUAGUAUGCUUAAAUAGAAUUGGCAGGUGGAUCAACUGCGUUUUUAGAGAAGUCAUAAAACAAGUUGAUAACCUUGGCAAUCUAAGUAUGUACCUAUGUUGAUCAUUUCCUGCAGCAUGAGAUGCAUGACUCCUAUUAUGGUAAUACUGUUAUGAGAGAUCUUGCUUAGUGUGCCUGCUGUAAUUCUUCGAUCUUUUGAAAUUUAAUCUAGUUAUCUUCAAAUAAAUAUAUUUUUUUGGUGAGAUCAUGUAUUGUUUAUUGUUUGAAAUUUGAAUUUGUAUCUAGAAAUUGGGAUUUAUUCAUUUCUUUUUGGCGAGUUUCCACGUGCACAUUGUAGUUUAUUUUCUUUCAAGUUUGGAUUUAUUUCUUUGAAUUGGAAAAGAAUAAAGUGAAAAGAAUAUGGAAUACAAGACCGAAAUUUGGAUUUCUUUUGAAAUAGGGAAAUCCAAUUCAUCCCAAUUUUUAGAACUUUGUUUGUGGAAGAUUUCAAUUUCUACUAAAAGAAAUGAUGUUUGUUUCUGGUUCUCCAUACAAGUGGAGUAGAUUUCCUGGGUUCAAAUUAUGAAGUGUUCUAUUUCUGAGAAGACUAUUUAUGCUAUAUUUACUUGUAGCACGUACGCAGUGAUGUGGCGGGGAUGAACAUGGUUUCCAAAUUAAGGGAAAGAUUGUUUAUGCUAGAUUCUUGGUUCCUUCAACCUGACUUCCUCGACAUGGAUAUUAUUGGCAUCUCUGGUAAUGCCUUUUUCACUUUACUUGGUGCCCCUGAUUGUUUGUUAAUUAGCAAACUUGGAUUGACACCAUAGAUAUAUUUGAUGUUGAUAAAUAAAUUUGCAUACCCUGUAGAUCUUUUUUAUGUUUCCCUUUUUUCACAUGAAAGUGGCCCUCCAAUACUGUAAUUUUAUUUUCUUAUUUAUUUUGGUAACAUCUUUGAAAUUAUAUGAUACGUUUUGUUUUUAAAAAUAUUUUAUUGUUGAUAGUUUUUCAAUUAUUUUUAUUUGAAUGAAUGACUUGUGUCAUGGAAGGUUGUUAUUCUACUUGUGCAAGUAGAAAUAGGUUGGAUUCUUAUUUGAGCUUGAUUUGUUUUGCUUUCUAUGUCAUGUUGUGUUGUCCCAAAAUAGAAUACUAUCUAAAGUAUACUAAGAGCAUUUUUUGUCUAAGAUCUCAAAUUGAAGAUCUCUCAAUUGUACGGGAUCACGUACAAUUGAAGAUCUCUCAAAAUCUCUAUCAUUUUUUUCCUUUAAAGCAACUUUAGUUUUAGAUUUUAAACAAGGGUCUUUAGUAUCUAAGAUCCUAAUUUGGAAUCUAUCACUAAAGUUGUUUUAGUGGUAGAUUUAUGUUUGGAUCUUAAAUAAAUUUUUUGCUAUUUUUAAAUAUUUAAAUAUUUAUUAAAUUAAUUAUAAUCAAGUAAUUAAAUAUUCACUAGUUGGUUUUUUUUUUCUCCUCCCUCUCUCCUCAUCUCAUAUUGUACUUAUUCUUUCUUUCUUUGUUCGCUUUUUUUUUUUUUUUUAAUUUUCAACUCCCUCUCUCCUCAUCUUAUAAGUUGCUUCUUUCUUUCCCUCUUUUGUGGCCCACCCCUUUUUCCCUUCCCCCUUACCGCGACCCACACCCUUCCUCCUUCCCCUCCACCAUGACCCCCCGGGUAUGUCUAUUUUUUGUUUGUUUUUUUUAUCUGUUUAUUUUGCUUUCUUUUUCUUCACCCCCCUCUGUUUGUUUUUUUUACUAUGUACUCCUUCGAUUAGUUCUGCAUUUUGCUGUUAGGGAGAGAGAGUAAUUUUUUUUUUUUGAACAAUAUAGAGAUCUAGAGAGUUCUUGUACAAGAACCCAUUCUCCAUAUUGGAGAUCUGUCUAAUUCUUUUGUUGAGAGAUCUACUAAAGAUUAGAUCUUGAGCUUAAGAUUUGAUAUAAAAGAUGCUCUAAAAAGUAAGAAUUCAUAUACAAAACAAAUGAAUGAACGAUCAAAUAGAUGCUUAGACAACAUCAGGUAUGAGAGUAUUUCAAUUUAUGAACUAUGUGAAAUAAUAAUAAUGGAAUCCGAAAACAUAAAUCACACAUUUGUGAUUGAUCAAACUCCAUGCUAUAUAUAUAUAUAUAUAUAUAUAUAUAUAUAUGAAGUGGAAGGAUCAAAUUAGACUGGUGUAACUUAAUAAUUAUUAUGCCAUUGAAUAAUUUAUAACCGAAUAAUAUUUUUUUUUAAAAUUUAUUGUUAGAUUGAAAGUUAUUUUCACAUAAAUCAUAUAUAUGAAAAUUUCAUGUUAAUCUAAAGUUAUUUGUUACCUCAUUCAUAUAGAUUAAAGUCGAUAAAAUAUAAAUUUUUUAAAAUAUAUUGAAAUAUGGAUGAUUUAAUUAGAUACUUAUUCAAUGAAUUUUAAUAAAAUUUGAUUCAGAAAAUCUUACUAGUAUAUAGAUAUAGUGCAAAGUUUGGAUGAUAAAAAUCACAUUUUACAACAUUUAAGGAAUUAAGUCGUAGACAUAUAAUUUUUCAUGUACGGUAUUUAAAUGGUAUAUCUAUUAAAUCAAUAGAUGACCAUAUUUUAUCAUAAUACUCAUUGAUUAAAAGUUCCAAUUACAUAUGCCUUUGCAAAAUUAUUUUUUAGCAUUAAAACAUGAAUUUUAAAAAAAUUAAAUUUGAAAAAGAGGAUAUUUAUUGUGUCAUGAUUUCACUUGCACAUUCAUUGUUAAUCACUAACACUUGCCACCUUAAAUUUGCGUAAGUUUGUCCUCUCUUGGUUACAUAUUCUAGAUGCAUCGGAGGAAAGAUCCAACAAAGAAUCUUGUUAAUAAGUUGCCAAAACCAUUCCCUUCACCGCUUCCAAAUCAAGAGCGAAAAAAAAAUAAUAAUUCGAUCGCCCAAAAUCAUUCCCAAUUCCACACUAACAAAGUUGCAGUCAAUUUUCCAAGUUAGUCUUCACAAUUCUAGCUUUGUUAGCGUUGCUGGCUUUUUAUCUUCUGGAUUUUAAGUCAAUGGAAAACCGUAUAGCCUAUCAUUUCCUUCAAAGGAAGAAGCUGGAAAUGACUGAAUUUGGUACCAAUUGGGAUCCUUCCCACCAAAUGAUUGAAUGAGAGAUUUAAAUAUGAAAAGAAAAUGACAAAAUUGCAAGUUGCAUGGGAAUUUCUCCAACCAACUAGUUUUGUGAAAGGCACAAAGACUCCAGUCGUCUCAAGUUACCUAUGGAUAAUGGGAUUUCACUAGACGAAGCAGUUUUUGACAAAAAGAUACAGAGUUCUUUGAAAUCCAUAUGCUCCUUUGUUACAGGUCCUUCAAAAUGGUUGGAUGAGAAAUCAAUAGAUGUAAAGAUUGUAAAAAUUUUAGCCAACUACAUCGGUAAGCCUUUGUUGAUAACUGUCACCCUGUCUUUGAUAAUACACAUUACCCAUUUGUGCAUGAAACCCCUUCUCUAUAAACUUUGAUUCAGUUUCUUGUUCACCAUGCAUUAUAUAUCUUUCCCAGGUUGUGAAAUAUUUUCCUGGCAGUUUACCGCUAAAAUUGUUAAAAGCGAUGUCCACAAUUUGAAGUAUUUCCCAAGUCUUAUUGGUUUUCGAACAUCUUAGGGAGCCUUGAAAUUUGUUUUUCCACAAAACCAGGAUACCAAGUGUGGAUAUUUUCUUCAAAAAGCAUGGAAAGCCACCAAUAAUUUGAUUUAAUCCAAGGUCCAAUACCUUUAACUUCAAGCAACACGAAAGAGAAUUUGGAAUUGGCCCAUCGAAUAGAUUUCCAUGAAGAUUUAAAAUCCAUAGAUUACACGAAGCUGGUAUUGCAUCAGGAAUAUGGCCUGUGAGAUUGUUGUUCUUCAAGUUUAAUACUUUAAGUGUGCCACUCAUCCUCAUUAAACAUGAGAUUAUUGUUCCAUAAAUGUUAUUCAAGGAAAGAUCAAACACUUGGAGAGAUGAAGCAAUGUAGAUGGAAUUGGGGAUGCUGCCAUCCAAAGUAUUGUUUGAAAGAGAGAGAAGAUGUCAGAGACAGCUAAUGACCAAUAUCUUGUGUGAUAAAAGAGCUAAAUUUGUUGCUUGAGAAAUCCAAAUAAUUUUCUUGUUCAGCAAAAAUAGGUAAUUGCUCUUGAAGUUUAUUGUUAUGAAGGUCAAGGGUUAAUAAAUUGAAAGAAAGAUUUUGCGAAAUCAAUGAACGGAUUGUGGGAAAUAUUAAGGGCUUGAAGAUUAUGUAGUAGCCAAAUCCAAUGGGGCGCCGCUCCUUGAACCUUGUUUGCUGAAAGAUCUAAAACAACUAUUGCAUACAAGUUUCUCAAGAAACCAAGAAAGGUUUUCAAGUUGCAGGAUGCCAAGUUUAGAUACGAAAUGCUGGGAAGGGAAGACGAGCCAGCAUUUGUAACAUUCACAUCAAUUUUAAGUUGAUGCAUGAAAGGUCAAGCUCAGUUAAACUUUUAACCUCAAGAAGCUUAUUCAGCUGUACUGACCCAUUAAACUGGUUUGAAGAAAAAUGGAGGACAAAAAGUGUAUUGAGUUGGAGGAUAGAUGUUGAAAAAGGCCCGAAUAGAUCAUUGCUACUUAAAUCGAGGCUGUACAAUCUAGACACAUUUCUGAUUUUGUCUAGUUGACUAAAAUGAUUGUGGAAAAGCUGAAUUGAUCGGCUAGUAAAAAGGAAUCUAGGAACCCUCCUAGAUGGAUUAUUGUUACUUAUAUCAAGGCUCUCUAGUCUAGAGGAUGUCAAAUUCACCAUUUCAUCCAAUUGACUAAACUCAGUUUCUGAAAGUUGAAUUGCUUGCAGUGAUGGGAGUGUAGAAAGGGAUGAAGGAAUCCUCCCAGUAAAAAUAAGUUAUAACUCAGGUCAAUUUGGACAAGUUUUGUUAGGUUUGACGGUGAAUUGGAAAUUGUCCUGCUAAAUCCACAUUUAGAAAGAUUCAAUUCAGAUAAUUUCCUCAUGUUACCAAUAAAGAAUCGAAUUGCUCCAGACAAGUUUGUGUUACUUAUAUUUAGAGUGGGUUUGGAUAGAAAAUUUUAACGGAAGAAAGUAAUUUAUCAGAGAAUUUAAAUUGUUUUAAUCUAAAAUUCAUUGUUUGGAUGUUUCUUAUGAAAAUUUUAAAUUUUUGAAAUUUUAAAACAGAAUUUUAAUAAAUAAAAAUGGAAAUUUUAAAUUUUCUUCUAAAAGGUGAGAAAUUGAAAUUUUCUUAUUAUAAGUAUCUUAAAAAUAUAAAUAAAAGCCUAAUUUUUUCAAAAAGAUUACAAAGAAAAACCAACGAAAGAGAAAGGAAAAAAAAUGAAAAAUCGAAUUACCUCCAUUGGCGUUCAUGUCGCAAGUUUUGCAUAGCACUGCCAAUGAAAGAUAAAGAAUUAAAAUAAAAAUAAAAAUUUCAGGUUUUCAAUAUCUAUACACCCAAGUCCCUAUUUUUAGGAUCUAAAAAACUGUUCCCCCAAGGGUUUGAUAAUACGUUCAUACCUUCACACACUCUACCAACACUUAUAAUCAUCAAUUCAUAAUCAACCAUCAUUCCUCUUUGCUGACCUUAAACCUAAACCAACCCAAAAAACUUUAAAGGGGAGGAAAAAAAAAACUCAAAGCAUUGGUGUGCUGUGUAUCAGCCUCAAGUGCUCUUAGGGAAUCCUGGUAAGGUAACAAUUAUUGUAUAAAUAAUUUUCACAAUUUUCAAGCUAAUAGGGAAACAUUUAACAUUGCUCUUGUCCAGAGUUACUUGUAUUGAAAAAAAAAUUAUGUGAACACAAUACACGCAGAUCCCAUUGAAAGCAACUAUUAUGAGUUGAUGCAAUGUGGAUACUCAUUAGGACAACUCCAAUUUCUCACUUUAUGUGAUAUGUAAAGAACACUUAAGAAAAUACUGAAUUGCAUAUUUUCUAUUUUUUUUAUCUCACCUGUGUGAAAUCUUUUUGAAAGAUACGUUGUAAAAUUAAUUUAAGAAACUAUUUUAAGAGAUUGCAAUUGUACAAUUAAAAUGCGAGUAAAUAAUUCAUAUGGUAAAUGUAAAGAUAUGAUAAAUUUAUAGUCUUUUAUAAUAUUUGGGGUGAUUUCUAAAUAAUUGCAAUGUUAAAACUAAAAGUGUUUACUGUGGCACUCAAAAACUACUCUGAAAGCCAAAUUUCUUCCUCUAAAUUAAAAAAUAUAUACAUAAUUCACAUGGUUGUUAUUCUACUUGUGCAUGUAGAAAUAGGUUGGAUUCUUAUUUGAGCUUGAAUUUUUUUGCUUUCUCUGUCAUGUUUUGUUGUGUUGUCCCAAAAUAGAAUACUAUCUAAAGUAUACUAGGAGCAUCUUUAGUCUAAGAUCCCAAAUUGAGAUCUUAAAUCACGGAUCGUAUAACGUCACAGAUGAGGAGGGUCAGCGUCACCUAAUGACAUCUAUACAUAGAAAAAUAAUAUUAUAACAUAAAUAUUCUAAUAAAAUAUUAGGACGGAUGAAAAUUACAUAGCUAACGAACUUCCAUAUGACAACAAAAAUAAAAUACACUAACCAAGUUUCGAAGCAUUAGAAGAAAACAAACAUAUCACUAAUAACAAACAUUAUAACUAACUGACAAAUAUCAAUGUCAAAUCCUCUUCAGAAUUAUAAACUUCAAAGUCAUCUUUUAAUUCUCCUUCAUUGUCUUGUUAAAUAUUGUUUGAUUCUUUAUUCAAAUUAGUUUAUUCUUCUUUAUUUGUCAACAAAUAAGCAGGGUUUACUUCUUCAACGACACCUCUUAAAUCUUGCAAUCCAAAAGCACUUUCAACUUCAAUGACUUCAUUGACAUGUGACAUUUCCUCAACUUGGUAAGACACAUCAUCUUGUACAUGAUUGGAUUCUAUGGAAUCCCUUGGCUUCGUUUUUAUUGCUACACAUCAACCACGUUUGUCCCUUCUUAUUGCAGAAUAUGGCACAUAAUACAAUUGCCUUACAUUAUGUGCACUAAUGAAUGGGUCGAACAAAUUAUAACUUUUAUCCAUUCGAAUUUCCACUGUGCCAUAUUUAGGAUCUACCCUUGUUCUUCUACUCAUUGGAUCAAACCAGUGACAAUAAAAUAAUACUACAUGCUUAGGAUAAGUUGUAGUAUUAUACUCAAGCUCAUAUAUAUGUUGAAUGAUCCCAUAAAAAUCAUCUGCGGCUCCUUCUGUAAGUCCAUUUAUGUGAAUCCCACUAUUUAUUGUUUUCUUCCCUUCACUCCAUGCUUGAGUAUGGAAUUUGUACCCAUUGACAAAGUAUGUAUGUCAUUCUUUAACGUAACUCAUGGGAUCAUACGAUAAAUCCUUUAAGUGUUGGUUUCUCACAUUUGUAGGCUCAUUUAUAACCUACGAAUAUAAAGCAUCUGAACAAUUAUAUUUUUUUUACCAUAAAGUAGCAAAAUAAAUAUACAAUAACAUGGUUACUUUUUGCUAGAACCAAGUAGGAAAGUUCACAUGUAGAUUAUGAGUAAAGGCAUUUGACUAGAAUUGCAAGAAUGAAUUGUCCAAAUAUAAUGUUGCAUGAGUCAAUUAUAAGGGGGAAUAAUGUGAAGAUACAAUCAUAAUUAUUGAAUCCCAAAUGGCAUACAUUGUGAAACUUACUUGAGGCAUGGUUUAACUUCAACAUAGUUAAUCAACACAUGAACAUGGGUCGAGUCUUUCUCAUUGUUAGUUAACUAGUGAAUUAACUCUUUCCCAGAAGAACGACCUUGCUUGUCAAACACUGAUAACAUCGGUGGGCACCUUUCAGCCUCAAUUGCAAUUUGAUUCCUAACAUUACACAACGACAAAAUAAAGUUGAUGAAAUAAUGAGAACAAAAAUAAGUUGUCUCACGAUGUAUGUAAGACGCACAAAUGGACCCUUUCACCGCUCGAUUAGAAUCGCCCAUGAAUCUAGAAAUUUUAAAGAAAACCAAGUCAUCGUUCAUGAGCAUUAAAAAAAUGAAAUUUAAAGAAAAUACAAUUACCAUUUUAGUACCUUUCAAAUGGAUACAUCCAUCUAUAUUGGACUGGUCCACCAAGUCUAGCUUCAUAUGCCAGAUGAAUAGGCAGAUGCUCCAUUGAAUCAAAAAACCCAGGGGGAAAUAUUCUCUCCACCUUGCACAGAAUUGGAAUAUUUUGUUCCAUUCUACUCAAGUCAUCCUCCAUCAAAGUUGUAGAACACAUAUCUUUAAAGAAAUGAAUUAUUUCAAUAAGUAGAUUUAAGAAAUGUGGAAGCAAUGAGCUAAAAGCAAUAAGAAGUAAACACUCCAUGAACAUAUGACAAUCAUGACUUUUCAUCUCAUGCAUGGUUCCCUUAUCAACAUUGGCACAUCUGGCCAAGUUAGAGGAAUAACCAUUUGACAUUCGUAGUUCUUUUAUCCAUUGAUAGACUAACUUUAUUUGGUCUACAGUUAGAGUGUAAUUUGCUUUUGGCUUUAAUAACUUCCCGUUAGCCGUCGACUUCAACUCCAAGUCUUUACGCCUAUAAUAAAAAGCUAAGUCCAUCCUACCCUUGUCAUUGUCUUUUGUCUUACCACUGACAUUCAUCACAGUGUUGAAUAUGUUGUCAAAAUUUUUUUUCUCUAUGUGCAUAACAUCAAGAUUGUGUCACAACAAAUUAUCUUUCCAAUAAGGAAGAUCCUAAAAGAUACUUCUUUUUGUUCAAUGGUGUCAUUCCCCAUAUCCAUGUAUAUUUGGUGGUGGCAGUUUCUGUGACAUUUGGCAAAUCUCUAACGCUAUGCCAUACUUGUGUAGGUGUCAAUAUAUGCGGUGACUCAUCUCUUUCUACUUCCCCUUUUUAAAGGCAUUUUUGUUCCUCCAAAAUGCAUGAUCAGUAGGUAAGAACCUACGAUGACAGUCAAACCAACAAGUUUUUCCCCAUUUGCCAACUAAAAGGCCUUUGUGUCCUUCAUGCAAUACGGACAUUCUAGUCUAUCAUGUGUUCCCCAACCAGACAACAUCUCAUAAGCAGGAGAAUCAUUAAUAGUCCACAUCAAAGCUGCCCUUGUGAAAUUUUUCUUUCUUGAAACAUCGUAAGUCAUAACACCACUCCAUAAUUUUUUCAUAUCAUCAAUCAAAGGUUGUGAAUAAACAUCAAUACCAAUUGUUGGAUUAAAUGGACCUGGUAUGACACAACUUAAAAACAUAUAAGGUUUAGUCAUACACAACUCUGGAGGAAGAUCGUACGGGGUAACAAUGAUUGGCCAACAAGAAUAAGGUGAAGAUGAUGCUUGAAUAUAUGAGUUAAAUCCAUCUGUGCAUAAACCGAGUCGCACAUUUUAUGGAUCAAUAGAAAAAUCUGCAUGUACCUGAUUGAAGUGUUUCCACGCUUCGCCAUUAGAUGGAUGGCGUAACAUGCCCGAAGAUAUUUUAUUCUCAUAGUGCCAUGACAUUUGGCUUGCAGUUUGUAUUGAUGCAAAUAGUCUUUGCAACCUUAGUAUUAUAGGAAAAUAAAACAUCGCCUUUACUAGACCUGGAUAUCUGUUGCUUGUUCCAAUAGUCUUGGCACGAUACCUAUGCUUGUUACAAAAUUUGCAUUCGGUUAAUGCUACAUCAUUGUCAUAAUACAACAUGCAGCCAUCCACACAAUAGUCAAUCCUUUUAGCCUCCAAUCCUAACUUUGAUACUAAACUCUUCGCAUCAUGAAUUUUUUUGGUGAACCAUCUUUUAUAGGUGUUGCAUCCAAAAGCAUUUUUGAAAUAAACUCCAAGCAUUGUUCAAGAACAUUCCAAUUGGACUUGCAAGCUAAAAGCGACAAAUAUUGAUAAUUUUGAGUUUGUUGCCCCUUCGUACAAUGGUUCAUUCGUCUCCACCAAUAAAUUGUAAAAUCUUUGAGUAUCUUUAUUUGGAGGUUCUUCCAUAUUAUUUGAGUUUGGAGCCUCAAAUGUUUGAGGUUGUCUCAGAGCAUCACAAAUCAUGUCUUGCAUUAACAUAAAUUGUUCAUGUUGAGCCACAUAUUCUGCACUAGUAGAAGCAUCCAUGUAAAUGUUGCCAUCAUUUAAAUCAACAUGCGACAUGUCUUCACCAUGAUCAAUCCAAAUCCAAUAAUUAGACUUGAAACCAUUUUUGUAGAGGUGAAUCUUCACAACUCUAUCCUUAAAAAUCCCAGUACAAUCACAUUUAACACACGGGCAUCUGAUCCCCUAUCAUUGUGAUAACGUUCUUGUUGACUAGCUUUCAUUACAAGCUCCUUAACCCCCUCAACAAAAGUUUCUUUCAAACUUCUUCUACCACUAUAGCAUCUAUCAGACAUCAUCCAAUGACGAUUUCAAAGAAUAUUGUUCAUGUUCUGUAUAUUACAGAAAAAAAUAAGAAUAUUCAUGUUUUGUCAUACAUAAUCUUAAAGUGAUCUCUAUUAUUAGUAGUAAAAAUUUUAGGUGGGAAAAAUUGACAUACAUAUAAUGUUUGAGUUUGUAAAUGAAGUAAGCAUGAAAUAUAAAUAACAUGAACACAAUCAGAAAUAUACUUAGCACAUUUAGAUUACAAAAUAUCAAGCAACCAGAAUAACAAAAUCCUCAACUAACUUGAAUAAUACAUAUAAAGUAUAUUUAAAAAAAUUCAUCUAGUUAGUUAUAAACAAAAGAUAACAGAAAAUUGAAAAUUCUUAAUUGAGUUAUAUAUUAUUAUAGUCAGACUCAUGAGACUUGUUUCUACCUUGCCAAUCAUUGGUUAGGAGAAUUAAAGAUUAAUUAAAAAGAGAAGUUAUUCUCAUCAAAGAAAGGUAUCUCUUUAGCUAUUAUUGAAUUUUCAUAUGAUGAUUGUAACAUCCCAUUUUUCGUAAAUCAAUUAAAAAAGAUUAUUAUUUAUAAAUAAAUAGAGUUUUAGAAAAAUGAUGAGGUUUUUAUAAUUAAAUAAAUAACUAGAAAUUAGUUUAUUAAUUAAAAUAAUAGUUUGAGAGAAAAUAAAAAGAUAUCUUAUUUAUUCAUUUGAUAGGAAAUAAAAUAGAAUUCUUUUUUAUAAAAUAAUAAAAAUAAAUAAAUAGAGUAAAUAAUAGGCUGAGGGUAGUCUAGUUAUAAAUAGAGACAUGUUAGGCAAGUUUUCAGCGAUACAUCUCUACGCUUUUUUCUCUCAAUUUUAUUUUUCUUUUUCUCCCUCCCAAAAUCAUCUCCUUUUUCAACAUACACUCAAAUCUGUCUCAGUAAAAUUAUGAUUCCGUACUCAUUAAUCGUUGGAUUAUGGUGAAAUUUAAACACGAGUUUAGGAACUUAUUUCCGCACAGACCCACCGUUGGGAUUUGCAAAAUAAUGGCUGUGGUGGAAUGUUUGGGACUUUUCCGAUGCUAAUCAGCAAGUGUACUGAGUCGCAUAAGUAAUAUAAAACGGUAAGAACCGAGUAUCGAAUCACAGGGAACUUGUUUCAUUCAGAAAAUAAAUGUUCAAUGAGAAAACAUUUGUUUAAAGCAUUAAAUAUAAAUGGGGUUUUUGUAUGAAAAUCUAAUUAACUACAAACUAAAAUAUCUAGAAGUUGAGAAGUAAAAACAGUCAAGUAAAAAACGUUGGAUUAUUCUACUGAACUUACCUUGAUGUUGCUAAAUGUUUUUCUCUAUUUAACAUUGUUUUAGUGUUCUUAUGCUGAAAAAUUACCUAAACCAAGAUCCCUCGAGUGAAUGGGCCUAACUCUAUUUAAAGCUCGUCCUUGAUCCCUCAACAAACUUAGUUUAAACGAGUUGCAUUAAGAUUACAACAUAAUAAAAACUAAAUCACUACACUCCAUUUCUAGACAUACAGUUUUCUAGCUUGCUCUAUCAAGUUCUAAGGCUUUGAAACACUUUCCAAUGCUAAAAAUCCAAACUAUACAUACAAAUGGGUGAUCAAGCCACAAGCAUGUAAAAAUAAGCAUAGAUAGAAGCAAUGAACACAUAAAAACAUCAUUAAAUAGAUAGUAAGAGAGUAUUACAUCAAAGGUUCAGCAAAACUCUCCAACAAGAGAUUUAGCCUUCCAUUACAAGUUAGAAACUUUCAGCACAAAGGAUAGAUUUUGAGGAAAGGCAAAGGCUACAAAUGGUUGAGGAUGCCUCCUCCAACCUCUAGAACCCUAAAAUCACUUCUCUAACCUAAACUCUCUUGGAGGCCGGUGCUCUGUCGCUCUAGCUUCUCUUCUUGCUCUGUUUUUUGAAUCCUCUUUUAUUUUACGCCAACUUCAGUGUUUUAAAGGCUUCUUGACGUUUCAGAUUCUGAAGGCUCGCUUAGCCAGCUUGGCUCGCUAAGCGCGAGUUAGUGAAUUCUGGCUUAGCGAGUUGGGCACACUGAGCGCGAGAAAGGACAAACAACUCAUUGGGAGAGCUUGCGGCAUGCAUAUCUUUGGCUGAUCCUCUUCUAGGGUUUCCUAACACGCUAAGCGAGCUGUGUGCCAUGCAAAUGGCUCGCUUAGCGAGACACUAACUGCUUGAACCUCCUUCUUCUUUUAGCCUGAAACUGAAGUUGAUUCACAUUGAUUCACAAAAAUAGGAGUAUCUAUUGAGUAAAAUUAAACUAAAUAUGAAAAUAUGUACAAUUGCUACAAAAAGAACCAUAAAUUGGAGGAAAGAUGAUAAUUUCACGUGACUAUUAAAUACAAAACUUAGUCGUAAAUGAUGACCAACAAACUCCCCCAAAUUUAUAGUUUUGCUUGUCCUUGAGCAAAGAAAUAACAAUUUACUUGUCCUCAAGUGAUAGAAUUCAGAGUGGUUACUCAAAAAUGUGUUUGAUCCAAAACAUUCAAUCACAUGAACAUAAGUGGCGAGCAAUACUUUAACCAACAGUUCUUCAUAAAGAUAUGCAGAAUUUCAAAGAUACGAGCAUGAUCAUUAAGCAGCACAAGUGAAAUAAACUACCAAGCAAGAUAGAUAUCAAGGAAGGUUCAUCAAGCCAAAUCCUCACGGUCACUGUUUCUCUCAUAAGCACAAGUGUUUAAGGCAAUUCUUCAAUUUUACAACCAACACAAGUCUCAACUUUUGCAUUUCAUCUCAUGACAUACAAUCACAAAUACAAAAAUUGAAUCUGAAGGACUUUCUUGGCUUGUAAUGAGGCUGGGUUGCAAACAAUUCAUGGUUUUUCUAGGAUGUAAAAACUUAGGUUCUAGGAGAGCAUUCAUCCUUAGAUCAACUCUUUUCCUUUUAUUCCAGCUUCUAUUGACUUGCCACCAACAUUUAAGGCACUUAGCUUAAGUAACAACACACAUAUUUUUAUUCUUGAAACUUCUCUCUCUUUUUUUAUUUUAUUUUAGCAGUCUUUGUUGCUUCUUAUAUACUUUAUGUGUGGCCGUUUACUUAUCUUACCACAAUUACCAUCACCCAACAUCGUCCCCCAAAUUUGGGACAAAUUUUCUUUGCACCAUGAUGCUCUCCUACAACCUAAGAAAGGUAGAUGGAGAUUAUAAUUCAACAGGCUCAAGGUUCAUCUCAAUCAAUCAUAUUUAAGCUCAAAAUGGGUGCAAGGGAUUCAUCAUUCAUAAACAAGGUAACCUAUUUGGCUAAGUGGCUAAUUCAAUCAAUCACGACCUUCAUCAUUUCCAAAAUCAUGCAUUCAUUCAGUAUUAAGAGAUUCAUGCAAAAAUCAGUACCCAAUGCUAGUCGUUCUCUCACAAUAAAGGUUCACACACUCACCGGGUUAUGGCUAAUGAUUACCUUCACAAUUUACCUGUCAAACAAACUAACAAUUUCACCCACGUCCCUAAUUCAUGUUCUUUCUCUUCUAAUUACCGCAUACUUAUUCAAAGUAUGUGAUCUAACAUCGCAAUUCACUCGAGUCAUGGAAUCUAUCAAUUUCAAAGUCAUUCACAAACACAGAAAUUUUAAAACCAACAUAACCACUGCAUAAAUAACUGUAAACUGUUUCAAAAACUGAAAAAUUUGCUAAAUAAGUAAAUAAACUAAACUAAAACUGAAAUUUAAAACUAUAUCUAAAAAGCAGAAAAUAAAUAAAUAAAGCCUUGUCUUUAGUCAUCCUAUGCCGGUGUGGGCUCAUCAUGAGGUGAGGAAGGAGCAUUCUGGGCUGGCUGAGGUGUAUCCUGUGUUGUAGUGGGCCAGGGAUCCCAAGUGCUCUGCGCCGCGACCAUGCCAGCUGCAUAGUCUGUUUCUCCAGCGCCAUCCUCAUCCUCUGUUGUAGAAGCAAAACUUCAAGAAUUAUUUUGAUGAUGCCAAGGAAUUUCAAAGAUCAUUCAAGAUGAAUUUCAAGGAUGAAGAAAGCAAGAUGUCAAGCAAAAGCAAAGAUCUCAAGAUAAGAAUUAAGAUAGACUCUUAGAAAAGUUUUUUGAAAAGCACAAAUGAUUGACCAAGUGAGUUUCUAUCUUAACAAAAAUUUUACCAAGCAUUUUAAUCUCUGGUAAUCAAUUACCAGAAGGUAGUAAUCGAUUACCAGUAGCCCAAAUAUUUUUGAAAAUGGUUUUUCAAAGGUGUAAUCGAUUACCAUGACUUUGUAAUUGAUUACCAAUGCUUAUAACGUUCAAAAAUAGUUUGAAAAACCAUGUAAUCGAUUACACAAAACAUGUAAUCGAUUACCAAUGGCUCUGAACGAUGAAAAUUCAAAUUUUAAAUUAAGAGUCACAACUGUUCAAGAAAAAUAAUUGUGUAAUCGAUUACACCAACAUUCUAAUCGAUUACCAGUGGAGAAUUUUCAGAAAAUCUGCCAACAGUCACAUCUUUUCAUUGGAUUUUUGAAUGACCAUCAAAGGCCUAUAAAUAGGUGACUUGGGCACAAAUUUUCUUCAGAGUUUUCCCUAUUCAAAAAAGGCAUAAUCCUCUCAAACAAAAAUCUCUUAUCAUCCAACAUUCCUUGGUCAAACACUUGUGUUAUUCAAUAAGGAAUUAAGUGCUUCAUUGUAAACAUCUAUCUUUUUCAAGAGAAAUCAUCAUCUUCUUCUUCUCUUUCUAAUCAAAGGGAUAAAAGACUGAGAGCCUCGUAUUGUAAAGUAUCUGAACACAAAGGAAGGGUUGUCCUUGUGUGUUUUAGAGAGUGUAAAGGAUUUAUGAGAUAGUGGAACUCCCAAGCGGACUUCUUGGGGACUGGACGUAGGCAACGGACUUUGCCGAACCAGUAUAAAAACUGUGUUUGCACUUUCUCUUCCCUUAAACUCUUUUAUUUGUUGUUGCUUAUUGUUUCUAUUCAAUAAGUUUAAUUUGAAUUAUUAUUUAGAAACUCAUUUUAAAAGGAAUCUUGGGACUUGGGUUAAAAUCUGUAUAGAAAUUUUAAUUGGGAAAUAAUUUGUGAUAUCUUAAUUCAACCCCCCCUUCUUAAGAUAUCUGAGGCCACUUGUCCAACAAGUGGUAUCAGAGUUUCAUUCUUGUAUAAAGUUUAGAAGUUUCAAGAAUAAUGGUCUCAACAAACUUUUUAUUCCCAGAAGGAAAUUCAAUAAAUAGGCCUUCUAUUUUUAAUGGAGAGGGUUACCGCUACUGGAAAACCCGAAUGCAAAUCUUCAUUGAGGCAAUAGACUUAAAUAUUUGGGAAGCCAUAAAAAUAGGACCUUAUGUACCCACCAUGGUGGCUGGAAAUACAACAACAGAAAAGCCUAGGGAAAAUUGGAGUGAGGAAGAAAGAAGACGAGUACAAUAUAACUUAAAAGCCAAAAACAUAAUUACUUCUGCCCUAGGAAUGGAUGAAUAUUUUAGGGUUUCAAAUUGUAAGAGUGCUAAGGAUAUGUGGGACACUCUACAAGUUACAGAUGAGGGCACUACUGAUGUUAAACGAUGUAGGAUAAAUACUUUAACUCAUGAGUAUGAAUUGUUUAGGAUAAAGACAAAUGAAAGUAUACAAGAUAUGCAGAAAAGAUUCACACAUAUAGUUAAUCAUCUAGCAUCAUUAGGAAGAAUAUUUCCUAACGAGGAUCUCAUAAAUAAAGUAUUGAGAUGCUUAAGCAGGGAAUGACAACCUAAGGUAACAACCAUUACUGAGUCACGAGAUUUAACUAACAUGUCUCUAGCUACAUUAUUUGGAAAGUUAUAGGAACACGAAAUGGAACUAUUAAGAUUAAAUCAACAUGAAGAAAAUGAUAAGAAGAAGAAGAAGGGAAUUGCUCUUAAAGCCUCAUCUUCAAUCCAAGAAGAAAGUGAUAAUGAAGAUUCAAUUGACUUGGAUGAAGAGGAAGAUCUUAUUCUCUUUGUCAAAAGAUUCAACAAAUUCCUUAGGAUGAGAGGAGCUCAAAGAAAACAAAACUUCAAACCUAAAAGAAGGAUUGAAGAGUCAUCCCAAACUCCAAGAUGCUAUGAGUGCAGUCAACCCGGACAUCUGAGGGUUGAUUGUCCAAUCUUUAAGAAAAGAAUGGAGAAGUUUGAAAACAAUAACAUUGGAGAAAAAAAGGCAAAGAAGGCCUACAUCACAUGAGAUGAUAACGACUUAGAAUCAUAUGAUGAUUCUGAAAAAGAAGUGAUUAAUCUAUGUCUAAUGGGCAAAAACUAUGAAAGCGACGAAGAGGUAACAUCUUCUAACAAAUCUAUUUCUUUUGAUGAGUUACAAGAUGCAUUUGCUGAAUUACAUAGCGAAUCUAUUAAACUUGCAAAACUUGUUUUUUCAUCAAAGAAAACUAUUUCAGAUUUAGAGAAAGAGAUUUCAAAGUUAAAUAAAGAGUUAGAUCAUCUUAAGACUGAAGUGUCAAUCUGUAAAUCAAGUGAUAAAGUUCAUGCUUCUACUAUGACUAUUGAAAAAGAAAAUUCAUGUGAAUGUUGUAGUAAAUAUGUAGAAGAAAUUAAAAAUCUGAAAAACUCACUUGCCAAAUUUUUGAGUGGCAAAACCAACCUAGAUAUUAUAUUAGGAAAACAAAGAUGUAUUUUUGAUAAAGUAGGGAUUGGAUAUAAACCAGAAAAACAACAAAAGUUUUAUAAAAAUUUCUUUUCUUCCACACAAAAAUGUAAUCCUCCUUUCAUUACAUGUUUUUAUUAUGGAAGAAAAGGACAUGGCAUAUCUACAUGCUAUUUUAGGAAAAAUUGCAACAAUAUUAAAAUGAUUAGGGUCCCAAAAGGAUCCGUUGUUCACACUAACACUCAAGGACCCAAUAAAGAUUGGGUACCUAAGUCACAAUGUUGAUCUUGUAGGAACCCUUGAGGAAAAAGUGGUGCAUAGAUAGCGGGUGCUCAAAACAUAUGAUGGGAGAUGCAUCAAAGUUCACACAUAUCUCUCCCAAGAAAAGCGGGCAUGUAACUUAUGGUGACAACAACAAAGGUAGAAUUCUUGGAGUUGGAAAAAUAGGUACGAAUUCUUCAACCUCCAUUGAAAAUGUUCUACUUGUUGAAGGCCUUAAGCACAACCUGGUUAGUGUUAGUCAAUUAUGUGAUAAAGGCUAUCUGAUAUCAUUUGAUUCUAAAAAAUGUUCUAAAAAAUGUGUCAUACAAAUAUAAAUCAUAUGGGGUUUAGAGUCAAUAAUGUUUACAUGAUAGACUUAAGUAAAAAACUAGGUGAUAAUCAAUGUUUUCUUAGCAAAAAUGAUGAUCCAUGGCUAUGGCAUAAAAGGAUUGCUCACAUUAACAUGGAACACUUAAACAAAUGAAUUUCAAAAGAUUUAGUUGUUGGAUUGCCAAAACUAAAAUUUGAAAAAGAUAGACUAUGUGAUGCAUGCCAAAAGGAAAAAAAAAAACUAGAGUUUCAUUCAAAUCCAAAAACAUUGUUUCAACUACUCAACCGUUACAAUUACUACACAUGGAUUUGUUUGGCCCUUCUAGAAUCAUGAGUUUUGGAGGAAGUUACUAUGCCCUUGUUAUAGUUGAUAAUUAUUCUAGAUACACUUGGACACUAUUUAUCACUCAUAAGAAUGAUGCAUUUCAAGCAUUUAUGAAACUUGCAAAAAUGAUUCAAAACAAAAAAAAUCUCGAAAUUAUAUCUAUUUGGAGUGAUCAUGGGGUGAAUUUGAAAAUAAAUAAUUUGAAUUAUUUUGUGAUAAGCAUGGCAUUGAACAUAACUUUUUUGCACCUAGAACCCCUCAACAAAAUGGAGUUGUUAAAAGGAAAAAUAGAUCUUUGGAAGAAAUUGCUAGAACCUUAUUAAAUGACACUCCUCUUCCAAAAUAUUUUUGGGCUGAAACCGUUAAUACUGCAUGCUAUAUCCUGAAUAAGGUUUUAAUAAGACCCAUUUUAAAGAAAACUUCAUAUGAACUAUUUAAUGGUAAAAAACCUAACAUUUCACACCUUCAUUUUUUUGGUUGCAAAUGCUUUGUAUUAAACAAUAGAAAAGAAAACUUAGGAAAGUUUGAUGCUAAGUCAGAUGAAGGAAUUUUCCUUGGUUAUUCCUUGCAUACUAAAGCUUAUAGAAUAUAUAAUAAGAGAACUAUGACUAUUGAAGAAUCUAUUCAUGUUUCCUUUGAUGAGUGUAAUGCUAUUCCUCCAAGAAAAGAUAUUUUAGAUGAUAUUGCAGAAUCUUUAGAACAAAUGCAUAUUCAUGGACAAGAUUCUAAAGGAAAAGGAGAAGGAAGCAAUGAAGAUCCUCCAAUAGAAGCCAAAACAAAUGAUGAACUUCCGAGAGAAUGGAAAGCUUCAAGAGAUCGUUAUUGGUGAUAUCUCAAAAGGGGUAACAACUAGACAUUCUCUUAAAGAUUUAUGCAAUAAUAUGGCUUUUGUGUCUAUGAUUGAACCCAAAAAUUUAAAUGAAGCCAUAAUAAAUGAUCAUUGGAUAGUUGCUAUGCAAGAAGAACUAAAUCAGUUUGAGAGAAACAAUGUGUGGGAACUAGUAGAGAAACCUGAAAACUACCCCAUCAUAAGAACAAAAUGGGUAUUUAGGAAUAAUUUAGAUGAACAUGGCAUAAUCAUUAGGAAUAAGGCUAGGUUAGUUGAAAAGGGGUAUAAUAAAGAAGAGGGAAUAGAUUAUGAAGAAACACAUGCUCCUGUUGCAAGAUUAAAAGCCAUUAGAAUGCUUUUACCUUAUGCAUCCAUAAUGAAUUUUAAGCUUUAUCAAAUGGAUGUUAAAAGUGCUUUUCUAAAUGGCUUAAUUCAAGAAGAAGUAUAUGUAGAACAACCCCCAGGUUUUGAUAUCUCAGAUAUGCCAAAUCAUGUUUAUAGAUUGUGAAAGGCUUUAUAUGGUUUGAAACAAGUCCCUAGGGCAUGGUAUGAAUGUCUAAGUAAAUUUCUUUUAGAGAAAGAUUUUUCUAGAGGAAAAGUGGAUACCACACUGUUCAUAAAGAGAAAGCAUGAUGAUAUUCUAUUAGUUCAAAUAUAUGUUGAUGAUAUAAUCUUUGGAUCCACUAGUGAUUCACUGUGCAAGGAGUUCUCUCUUGAUAUGCAAAGCGAAUUUGAAAUUUCAAUGAUGGCAGAACUAAACUACUUCCUGGGGUUACAAAUCAAGCAAACUAAAGAAGGUAUAUUCGUCAACCAAGCAAAAUACUGCAAAGAACUGAUCAAAAGAUUUAGGAUGGAAAGUGCAAAGCACAUGGCUACACCUAUGAGUAUUGGUUGUUACUUAGAUAAAGAUGAAUCUGGUCAGUCUAUAGACAUGAAACAAUAUCGAGGUAUGAUCGGAUCUCUUCUCUAUUUAUCUGCUAGUAGACCGGAUAUCAUGUUUAGUGUAUGCAUGUGUGCUAGAUUCCAAUCCAACCCUAAACAAUCACAUUUUAGUGCAGUAAAAAGGAUCAUAAGAUACCUAUUAGGAACAAUCAAUUUAGGAUUAUGGUAUCCUAAGAACUCAACAUGUAACUUAAUAGGAUACUCUGAUUUUGACUUUGUCGGAUCCAAAAUAGAUAGAAAGAGCACAAGUGGGACAUGCCAAUUUAUUGGAUCUGCUCUUGUAUCAUGGCAUAGUAAGAAACAAAACAAUGUUGCUUUAUCCACUGCUGAAGCAGAAUAUAUUUCUGUCGGCAGUUGUUGUGCAUAAAUAUUAUGGAUGAAGCAGCAACUAUUUGACUAUGGUAUUCUUCUUGAUCAGAUACCCAUUAGGUGUGACAACACUAGUGCCAUUAAUCUAUCCAAAAACCCAAUACAAUAUUGUAGAACAAAACAUAGAAAUAAGGCACCACUUUUUAAGAGACCAUGUUCUGAAGGGAGAUUGUGUUCUAGAAUUUGUGGAUACUAAAAAUCAACUUGCUGACAUCUUUACCAAACCUCUCCCUAAGGAAACAUUCUUUGCCAUUAAGAGAGAAUUAGGCCCCUCAGAUAUUAGUGAUUUGGAUAAAUAAGGUAACAUUUGUUCACACACUUUGGCUUUUUGAUGUUACCAAAGGGGGAGAAAAUGGGGAUUAUUAAGAAAUAAAUUUCAGAAAAAUUAGGCAUAAUCUCCAAAAGAAAGGGGGAGCUUGGACACAAUGGAAGGAUCAUCCUAGUGUGUUUCAGAAAUUGUAAAGGAUUUAUGAGAUAGUGGAACUCCCAAGCGGGCUUCUUGGGGAUUGGACGUAGGCAACGGACUUUGCCGAACCAGUAUAAAAACUAUGUUCGCACUUUCUCUUCCCUUAAACUCUUUUAUUUGUUGUUGCUUAUUGUUUCUAUUCAGUAAGUUUAAUUUUAAUUAUUAUUUAGAAAUUCAUUUUAAAAGGAAUCUUGGGACUUGGGUUAAAAUUUGUAUAGAAAUUUUAAUUGGGAAAUAGUUUGUGAUAUCUUAAUUCAACCCCCCCUUCUUAAGAUAUCUGAGGCCACUUGUCCAACAUCUGUAACCUCCACAAGUGGUGUGAUAGUAGGGGUAGUCUCUAGAGUGGCCUCGAGCAUCACCUCCGGCUCUAGCUACGGCUCUUGGGCUGAAGGAGCCUCACCUCCCCCCAAAGGAGAAGACUGGACUCCUGGCCAGGCCACCUGGGCCAUGAAAUCCUCCGUGCUGAUGAUGGGCCGAUGCUGAGCCAAGUUAUGAAUGCUUUGCAUCACCAGGCAUAAGCCCUGGUGAAGGCUCUGCAGCAUCGACACCAUAGCGUCUAAGCUUUGAGCGGAGGUACCGGAGGGUGCUGCUGGUGGUGGAGCUGGAGCAGGAGGAGCAAAAGAAGAGGGAGUAGAAGUAUCAGGUCCCCUAGCCCUAACAAUUACCAUCACCCAACAUCCUCCCCCAAAUUUGGGACAAAUUUGCUUUGAACCAUGAUGCUAUCCUACAACCUAAGAAAGGUAGAUGGAGAUUAUAAUUCAAUAGGCUCAAGGUUCAUCUUAAUUAAUCAUAUUUAAGCUCAAAAUGGGUGCAAGGGAUUCAUCAUUCAUGAACAAGGUAAGAUAUUUGGCUAAGUGGCUAAUUCAAUCAAUCACGACCUUCAUCAUUUCCAAAAUCAUGCAUUCAUUCAGUAUUAAGAGAUUCAUGCAAAAAUCAGUACCCAAUGCUAGUCGUUCUCUCACAAUUAAGGUUCACACACUCCCCGGGUUAUGGCUUGCUAGACGCAAGUUAGUGAAUUAUGGCUUAGCAAGCUGGGCGCACUGAUCGCGAGAAGGGACAAACGACUCGCUGGGCGAGCUUGUGGCGCGCUAAGUACGCAUAUCUUUGGCUGAUCCUCUUCUAGGGUUUCCCAACACGCUAAGCGAGCUGUGUGCCUCGCUUAGCGGAUAUCACUUGCUAAGCGCAUAUGGCUCGCUUAGGGAGACACCAACUGCUCGAACCUCCUUCUUCUUAAGCCUAAAACUAAAGUUGAUUCACAUUAAUUCACAAAAAGGGGAGUAUCUACUGAGUAAAAUCAAACUAAAUAUGAAAAUAUGUACAAUUCUUACAAAAAGAACCAUAAAUUGAAGGAAAGAUGAUAAUUUCAUAUGACUAUUAAAUACAAAAGUUAGUCGUAAAUGACAACUAACAUGGAAGAAAUGUCCCUCGCACUGAGCCUUUCCUUUUCUCGCAGACACCCAAAACUUGUCUGAGUAAAACUACUAUGUCGGACUCGUUAACCGUUAGAUCAUCGUGAAAUUUGGACACCACCCUUGUAACAAAUAUUUGCACAGUCUCAUUGAUGGGAUUUUCGAAAUAGUGUUUAUGCAGAGAGAAAUUAGUCUCGCACGUUGACAGUAAAAUAGAGGCUACAAUUUCUUUCCCUUCUCUCAUUCAUGGAAACCCUAACAGAGCAAACAGAGAAAAAGCUUAAGGAAUCUUAGGGAACUGCUAGAGACACCGCUAUCACUAUCGAAGUACACAUGUGAGCCCGCUUAGAGGUAAAAGAUAAGUUUAUCGCAAUUAGGAUUAGAGUGAACAUGUGUAGGAAUCUUUAAAAGAUUAAAUUGGAGUUUAUUUUGGGAUGCUUAUUGAAUUAUAAUUUUCCUUUAUGAUUAUAAAAAAAUAUUGUUGUGUUUGACUGACCAAUUGAUGUUUUGAUGCGAAUUGUGUGGAAUUAUUUGAGGGGUUUUACUCCCCAUGUUAUGAUAAAAGUUUUGUAUAAAUAGUUAUAUUGAAAUUAUGAAAUUGUGAUUCAAAUUGUGAGUGAGUUACAAAUUGAACCUGUGAUGAAUGAUGACAUACAUGGGUAUUAAGAUGUUUUAUGUAUUGAGUUGUGAGUUAUGAAUCAUACAAUCACAUGACUAUAAGAUUCUUAAUGCACGAUGAGUAUUAUGAUGGGAACCACUGCGAGGACCCGACAAGUUUAAUCACAAGCGCGACAAGAUAAAUUUAUUUUGAGAAAAAUUAAGGAGUUGUGUGUUUUGUACAAUUCAUAGAUAUUGUCUGUGUGCUAAAAUAUUUUCUGUGUUGGACCUAGAUCAAGAAGAUGUCUUGAUGGACUCUUCGGAGUGUAGAUCUUGGGAGUAAAUACACUCGGUUUGAGUGUUCCUUUAAGUCUGUGCCGAUUCCACAUGGUUGGAGCAUUCUCGUAAAACAACGUGACCCUGACUGGUCUCCCUAUGAUUUUACCUAGCGAGAGUGACCUGACUUACUAGUGUGUGGUUUGUCUUGUCAUGUACUCUUAGGCGCCCGACGAGAUUUUUCACUGACAUGGUACCACAUUACAUAUAGGAUUGAGUCUUAGUCUAUCUGCUGCAUAACGCAUGUGUAUUGAUCGAUAUUGAUUGAUUUAGUGUGUUUUGAUCCUUAAGUACGUGAAUAAUGUGAAAAUGAAUGAGACGUGUUGUGUUGUGAUGUGAUGUUACAUGACAAAGUGGUUGAAUGACAUGAGCUGUAUUUAAGUAAGUUACAUUUCGUUUAUAUGAUAUUUAUAUUUACAUGUUGUCUUGUUUCUCCCUAUUAGUUAGGAAUGUGCCUGAUAACUCAUCCCUUGUGUGUUGUUUGUGUUUGGGUCCUUUGAUGAUCUCGAACUUUGUGUUUGUGGGAGCUGAUGACUGGGUGAAUUCCUUCAAGGAACCUUGUGCUGAAGGACGUCGAGACACAAUGUUAUGCUAGGAUGUGAUAUUAGGGCAUGUGUUUUGUUUAAUUACAUGAUGUUUUGAGCCAAAAAUGUUUCUAACAAGUUUUAUUUGGUAAUGGUGACGUGAAUGUGAGCCUUUUACCCUUUUGAAAUGUUUUUAUUUAAAUGUGUUUUAAAUUUUUUAAUUAAUUUUAAUUUAUUAUUUCUUUUAUUAUUAGUACAUAUAUGUGUGAGGUAGAGGGUGUCAAAAUGAUUAUUUAAGUUAGGGAACCAAGUGAAAUAGGUCUACCAUAUUUUGUUUUGUUCCCCCCCCCCCCCCCUUAUUUUAUGUCCUUUACCCAAAUAUGUAACUAUGAAAAAUGUCAACAAUAUAUUUUUUGGCAGAUUGUUUUCAACACUUUUUAAUUGGCUAAUAUUAAAAAAAUUUGUUGUUGACACAUGAUAUUUAAUUAUUAUUCAUGGAUGGCAUUCAGGGAUUUGUGGUCAUUUGCUAAGUUAAGCCUUGCAUCAUCUGUUAUGAGUUGCUUAGAGCAAUGGUAUGGAACGUGCAUUGUACUACUUGCUGGUCUACUAGACAAUCCUUUGAUUGAUGUUGGUUCCUAUUCUAUUUGGUAAGAUUAUCAUGUUAAACUAAUUAUCAUGUCAUAUCAUAUCCAUUAACAACAUUAAAAAAAAAAACUAAAUAACAAUAAGAAGAUAAAACAGACAAAAAAACUAUUUCCUAGUGUGUAAGUCACAUAUAUACCUACCUUCUCUAGUCUAUGCCUUGUUUGCCAAAGUUAUAAAAUCACACUUUUAAUUCCUAGUAUUUAAAUUGACAAUUUAUCUAUCUUUCUUUUAUAUUACAACUCAUUCUAGACUGACAAUUUAUCUGCGAAAGAUCACAUAUCGAUUAGUCUAAGAACAAAGAUGGAACCCGCUAUGCAUAAUUGACUAUUAACACAGAAAUAUAGAAUGCAUACGUUUCCAUCUGUUUAUUGUUUCCCAAAGAUUCCUUAUGUUUGAAGGAUUUACAAUUAACACAAAUACAUAAACAACUCUGCAUAAUUUGUCACUCUCUUUUAUAAAUAAUCUAUUAUUUGUGCCGGGUUCCAUCAAUGGACUACUUCACAAUUAUAUAUGGAUGGAAUUUUACGUGCAUAUUUGUCCAAAGUUACUUUUAAGUAAAAAAAAUUAACAUAUAUGUUUCCUUUUAUCAAACCUAUAAAACCUUAUGUACAACUUGGUAUAGAGAAUAUAUAUGUAAAAAUACCCUACCUAGAAAGGUAACAAAUAACAUAACUGAAAUGGUUUUUAAGGCCAGACCAACUAUUAUCAACCGGAUCUAGAACUUCAUUUCACAUGUUGUGAAAAUCAUCACAUAAUUAAAAAUAAAAUCUGCAAUUGUCAACUGGUCCUAGAACUUCAUUGCAUUGAUGUUUACUUUUUUUGGGUUUAGUGGUGAUGAGUGGAAAAUUCUGCAAUUUAAUAAUCAAGCAUGAUGAUCUCAUGCUCCGUUUUUAAAUCUCGGCAUUAGGGUAAAAAAUAUAUAUUAUAUUAAAAAAUUAGAUCUAUGUGAAUGAAAGAGGAAAAAUAAGUUGGAAGUUGUGACUCACAAAAAGCAAAAGGACAAGUGCAGAGGGAUGAUUGGAACUUCAAAUGUUGUUAUUUGAAUAGCGAAAGAAACAUAACUUUUAAAAAGGCAAUCAAUUAUGAAAGCAGAAACAUAAAAGCAGAAGGAGCCAAAUUGGGCACUAGCCAAAAUCCAACUAUCAUUUCACGUGAACUUCUUCUAUCAAGAGAAAGUGUCUCUAAAAAAAGAAAUAAAAACAUUGUUGUAUUUGCUUAAGGAAACUGAAUAAACAUAUUCUAACACAGGCAAAGAUGAAUUCUAGCAGCGCUACAACAAUUUCGUUAAACAUGUAAACUUGGCAGAAACUUCUCUUUGUAAAAAAAAAAAAGAAAAACAAGAACCUGGAUGGAGAAGUAGAACGAAAACUUACCGAAGCCCUGACAAGGAAGCUGGAGAGAGAACAAGAGGAGCCAUUCAGAGAAAUAGAGGGGGAAGCAGUAAAGAGAAUUGGAGGAAUUGGGAUAGGAGGAUAGGGAAGAAAAGGAAGAUGGGUAGGGUUGGGUUGUUUUUGUUUGGGGGAAAUUUAAUUUUCCAACAAACACCAAUCCCGUAGGAAAAAUUUGUGGAAAAAUUAUAAUUUUUGAUGCAAAAUUGUUCAUCGGUGUCGGUAUUUCCAAAUUUUCCGACAAAAUAUAAUCCUUCCGUACAUUCUGUUGAAAAUUUUAAUUUGUGAUAAAUUAUUUUCCGUGUAGAAUAUUCUGUAACAAAUAACAUUUUUUCUUGUAGUGAGUAGUAAACCAUUUCUUUUAUUUCAAGAAUUUAAUUUGAAAAAUAUAGAGGGAAUCUCAACAUUUUUUUUUAUCUCAUUGGGAUCAAAUUUUUGAGUUACCUGAUCGUUAGUUUAAUAAUUAUUUCAAGCCAGGACAUGGAGAAUUGUAAAAAUGAUUAUUACGUUUCAAUUUCUUUGCUUUAAGAUCUAAGAUGAGAAAGAGAUUUAGAUAACAAUAAAAUGUCAAUUUCAGCUUGGAAUUAUGUCAUAUAUUAUAUUAUAUUUUCUACAAUUUUUCUCAAGUUUUUAGGAACUUCUAAGAAAAAUUAAUGGAAGGUAAUCUACAAUAACUUUAAUAAAAGAGUAGUCCAAUGAAAACCCUAUUAUACCCAUACCUAAAAUGUUGACACGCGGCACUUUUUUCAAUUUUUUGGUCUUUAUGUCCCUUCAUUUUUUGCACCAUUUUGAUUUGUUGCCCCUGCCACGUGUUGCAUUGCAGAUGCAGUUUCGUAUAUUAGUCCUUAUCGCUCUAACAUAUAUCACUCCCUGAUUAACGGAUUUCAACUCUUCAUUUAAUUUCACUUAAUAAUUGAAACUGUCAUCUCUCUCCGUUUCUCUGCCACGUUACUCUCUCUCUUUCUUAAUCUUCUCUUUCUCCGUCUUUCUGUUUCUCUUCCUCAGUCUUUUUCUCCAUGUUACUCUCUCUUCAUCAAUCUUCUCUUUCUCCGUCUUUCUCUUUCACUUCCUCAAUCUUCUCCUCUUUUUCUUUUAUCUUUUAUCUUUCUGUUUUUUCCCUCAAUUUUCUUUAAUGGAUUUCUUAAUGUUUUCCAUAUGAGAAAUCAAAUGGCUUUCGUCCAAAAACUAGAAGAUGUGGGUAUGUGAUGGUUCUCAUCCAUCUUUUUUUUUUUUUCAUUUUAACUUUUCUGAUUCUAAUGACAAAGUUUUCUUGAUGUUUUCUUUUAGGAAGUUUCUUACUUUCUUUCUUUUCUCAUCCUGCAAGUUCUGAAGGACUACAUGUUUUGUAAGGCUUCUUUGGCUUAACUCUUUUUUUAAAAAAAUAUUCUACUUUUUUUUUGUAACGUUUGGUUGUUUUUUUUCCUCCUAACUUUUGAAGGACUUGAUGUUUAGUAGAGCUUCUUUAGCUUAAGUAUUUUUUCUGGGAUUUUUGGGUUUUUAUGAAUGCAUGGCUAGAUUUUUUGUAUCUUUGUCUUUGAAUCAGUUUUUGGUGGGGUUUGUUUGGGAGAAAGUGUGGCUAAGUAAUUUGUUUUUCCAUAUUAAUAUACAUCUCUAUGUCGUUUUCUUGCACAGUGAGUUCCUUCACCACUGCAUCGAUAUCAUUGGUAAGUUUGUUUUCUCAUCUUUUUUGUCAUUUACAUCUUUCUUAUCAUUACAUGUAUUUCAUAUUUGUUUUUAAUUUCCCUCAAUUUUCUUUAAUGGAUUUCUUGAUGUUUUUCAUAUGAGAAAUCAAAUGGCUUUUGUCCAAAAACUAGAAGCUGUGGGUAUAUAGUGGUUCUCAUCCAUAUUUUUUUUUCUUUUCAUUUUAACUUUUGUGAUUCUAAUGACUUUCACUUAACAAUUCUUAAGUGAUUGAAAUAUGAUUUCAAGUUCUUCUUUAUGAAGAGCAGAUUGUUUCUUGGAAGAAUCAUCGAAAGGAAGAACUUCUUUUUAUGAGCACUAUGGUAAAAAAAUAGUAGAGUUUAAUUUUCAUGUAAUAUGAGUAAACUUCAUAUGCUUAAUUAUCUAACAUAGCAUGUGCUGUGUGGCUUCUGGAUCAUUCAAGAAACUUGACUAGGUGCUUUUUCCAAGCUUUGUUUUUUUCUUCUUCUUGGUUGCGUGUUUGUUUUGCUUUACUCAAUUGCUGGUUUUGGUGUUUAACAUCUCUUUUCAUCUUUGUGUGUUGAUUUUUUUUCCUUGAUUUUGGUUACGGCGUGAGGGUUUAAAUGGCAAAUCAGAGGUCAUCUUUCUAGAAGCAUAAUCAGAAAUGCUGAAACAUUGGUAUGUCUCAUUUAUUUAACCCAUUUUUUACGCGUUAGGGUUUAAAAGAUGAAACCGUUUUACUGUUGUUGUUAUUGUUGUAAGUUUUAAUUUUGUAUUAUUAUUUUGCAACACAACACAAGAUCUUCUUCUACUUCUUCAUUUAGAUGUUAAUCGAAAACUUCAUCAGCUUAAUUAUCUGAUAGAGCAUGUGUUGUGUGUAACAUCCCAUUUUUCGUAAAUAAAUUAAAAAGACUUUUUAGUAUAAAAAAAUAAAAAUAAAUAAAUAGAGUAAAUAAUAGGCUUUGAGUAUCCUAACUAUAAAUAGAGACACGCUAGGUCAAUGUUCAGACUGACAAUAUCUUCUACGCCUCAUCUUCCUCUCAAUCUCGUUUUCCCCUCUCAUAUUCCCAAAACCCUCUCUUUUCCCGCAUACCACCAAACCUGUUCCAGAAAAAUGACGAUCUGGAACUCAUUUACCGUUGAAUUGUCGUGAAAUUUAAGCACUAGGCUCGCAACCUAAUUACAAGAAUUCUCACCGUUGGGAAUUACGUAACGAUGUCGGAGCUGAAAGAAAUACCCUUUGCAUCGUAGCUUUUUCUUUUCCCGCAGAAACCCAAAACUGUCUCAGUAAAACUACAAUCCCGGAUUCGUUAAUCGUUGCAAAAUAAUGUCUGUGGAUGGAGAAAGAUGCAUCAUACGUAGGACCAUGGAAUAGAGACUUCAAUCCCUUCUCCUUUUCUCUAACAUUUGGAAACCUUAACAGAGCAAUCGGAGGAGGAGCUCUAGAGAGCACAAGAAAUGUCAGAAUUGAUAAGAACGCUUGAGUGACUACAUCGAGGUAAGAGAUGAGUUAUUCACAAUUGGGGAGUAGUUAGAACAUGUAUAGAGAUUCUUAGAGUAUCAAUUGGAAUGAGUUUUGGGGUGUUUAUGCAAAUUUUGAUUCUAUAUUUAUAAUUAUAACUGUGAAUUAUAUAUGUUUGACGAACUAAUUAAUGUGAAAUUGAUGCGUUCUUGUGUAGAGUGUGAACCCUAAAAAAAUGAAUUCUUUUUAUUAACGCGAAUUAUAAUCUAAAUAGUAUUAUUUUUAAUGGCUUAUUUUAUAUGAAUUAUUACGUUAUUCUAUACUUUCUCAAGAUGAUGAUCAACAUGUUAUGUGUGUGUAUGUGUGUCUAUAUAUAUAUAUUGUAAUACUAAAAUAAGAAAUUAAACACAGUUGUAAGGUUAAUGCCUAGUAGUAAUUUCUUUUGAUGUAAUCUUAAAUUAAUUGUUAUAGAAAUUCUUUGAUUAAAAAUAAUGUAGUUUUAUUUACUAUAUACAUAUACAUAUAUAUGUUUUGUGUCAUGCAAAUAUUAUUAUUGUGUGAUGUGCAUAUGAGUUAUGAGGCAUAAUAAGUUAUUAUAAUGACAUUAUAAUAUUAUUGUGGAGAUUGAGUAGUAUAAAGUUGAAUGUGUUAAUUUGUGAGAUACAUGUAAACAUAAGAUGAUUGAUGUGACAUUAUGAGAUGUUAAAUUGUGGACAUAAUAUUUGGUUGUGAAUAAGUGUGUGUGUUUGACACUUAAUGUGACAAUAAUUAUAUUGUAAGCCAUGAAUUAUAUAAUAACCCGACCAGUGUUGAUAUUGAGAAAAAUGUUUAUGCGCAGUGUUAAAGAGAAAGUGUAGGUUUCCUAUUUAGAAACCAGUGUUAAAUUGUAGUGCAAUGUGUUAAACGUGUUUAAAACACAAGUGUGAGGUCGUAGGUAUUGUAUAAUUCAUGAGCAGUGUCUAUGAAUGGAAUAUGUGAUGAAUUGUGGAAUUACAUGUUGCUUUGAGAUUAUAAUAUUGUUAUUGAAAUUAAGUAUAAGUGCAAAGUUGAACACAUGUGAAAUUGUGAAUAUGAGUUUUGGUUGUGAAUAAGUGUGUGGUUAACACUUGAUGUGACAUUACUUGUAUUAUAAGCUGUGAAUUAUACAAUAACCCGACCAGUGUUAUCUUGAGAAAAGUGUUGAUGCGCAAUGUUGAAGAGAAAGUGUAGGUUUCCUAUUUAGGAACCAGUGUUAAAGAGAAAGUGUAGGUUUCCUAUUUAGGAAUCAAUGUUAAAUUGUAGCGUAAUGUGUUAAACGUGUUUAAAACACGAGUAUGAGGUCAUCGGUAUUGUAUAAUUUAUGAGCAAUGUUUGCUUGCAAAAAUUAUUUUAGGGGUUGGACCUGAAUAAGGAGGGAGAGGCCUUGACGGACUCUUCGGAGUGUAGGCUUUGGAGGUCACCCGAUUUGAGUGCUCCUUUAAGCCUGUGCCGAUCCCACAUGGUUGGAUCAUUCUUGCAAAAUAGCGUGACCCUGACUAGUCUCCCUAUGAUUUUACUUAGUGAGAGUGACCUGACAUAUCCAUUGUGUGGUGUGUCUUGUUAUGUACUCCUAAGUGCCCCAGGGUGGUUUUUCACUGACAUGGUACCACAUUGCAUAUAGGCUUGAGUCUUAGCAUAACUGUUGCAUACGCUUGCUAAUUGUUUAUUAUGAAAUUGAUGUGUUAUUAUGUCUUGAUCAGAGUGUGUGAUUCUUGUAUAAUGUGAUUGAUGAUUGAAAAGUGAAUUUUAAUUGACAAACUGGUGGAAUUACUUGAGUUAUGUUUAAGUAAGUUGCCUCUCAAUUAUAUGAUAUGUAUAUCUAGUUGUCUUAUUUCUCUAUUAGUUAGGAAUGUGAUAACUCACUCCCGUGUGUUGUUUGCAUCGAUCUUGGAUAAUUGACUUGUGUCGGGAGGCAAGAUGACUAGUGAUUGCUUUAAGGAACCUUGUGCUGAAGAAUGUCAAGAUACAAUGCUCUGAUAGGAUGUGACUUGGGGUAUAAGUCGUAAUAGUGAAUGGCAUGAAGUUAAGGCAUUCAAUGUUACCUCAAUGAUUUGACGAAACAUUCUGUAGAUUUUGACGGUCUUGUUUUGAGUUGAAUAUAUUUUUAAUAAGUUAUAUUUGGUAAUAGUGAAGUGAAUGUGAACCUUUUAUUCAUGUGAUAGGUUUUGACGGCCUUUAGCAAUUAUUUUUAAUAAGUUAUAUUUGGUAAUAGAUUUUGACGGCCUUGUUUUGAGCUGAAUAUAUUUUUAAUAAGUUAUAUUUGGUAAUAGUAAAGUGAAUGUGAAUUUUUUACCCACGUGAAUUUGUUUACCAAUAUAAUUAUAUAUUUUUAUUUAUGUAUGUAUAUGUCGGGGUAGAGGGUGUCACAAUGUGGCUUCUGGAUCGUUCAAGAAACUUAACUAGGUGCUUUUUCCAAGCUUCAUUUUUUUCUUCUUGGUUACAUGUUUGUUUUGCUUUACUCAAUUGCUGGUUUUUUGCUAGUUUCUCAAGUCAAGAAUUGGGAAGCAACACAUUCCUAUUUUUGGUAUUUAUUAUUAUUAUUAUUAUUAUUAUUAUUAUUAUUAAGUCAUGUUUAAGGAAAUUGGAGGAUUUGCUAGUGCAACUUUUCCAGCAGCAAUUUUAGUUUUUAAAUUUUGAAUUUUUGAGCUUUGAAAGAGCAGGAAGGCUUUAGGUUGUGCUAAAUUGAUGGUUUAGCUUUGUUAAAUUGAUGGUUUUCAAAUUUUACAAAGAGAACCCUUUUUAUUUAUUUAUUCAAAAGAGAAUCUAUCUAUUUGUUUGCCCCAGAAAUUUGUAAAACUAUCAAAAUGAUACGACACCUUAUGCGUCAAAGAAGGUACUUUUGACUACAAAUUUCAAUUUAAUCUCAUUUUGGUUUUGAAAGUGCUUAAGGAUAAUGUCAUAUACUAAUUUAGUUGUAUAACUAUCUUAUUCUUGGUUGUGUUGCGACGCUUGUGUCAAAGCUAUUUAAGGGAAAAUGUUAUGGGCAUCCAAGGUUCUACUUGCUCCUCACUCGAUCAAAAUGAUACGAAACCUUAUGCUUCAAAGAAGGUACUUUUGGCUACGAAUUUCAAUUUAAUCUCAUUUUGGUUUUGAAAGUGCUUAAGGAUAAUGCCAUAUACUAAUUCAGUUGUAUAAAUAACUUGAUCUUUCUGGAAGAAUGUUCAAGAAGUUGCUGUAUUUUUUCUAAAUCUUUUAUUUGGAAGUUUAGAAGUUUGGACAUUAAAGUUUUGUGUGAGUUUGUAGCAGGUUAUUAUUUAUAUUGUUUAUUAUUAUUAUUUUUUAUAUGAUCCCUUACAAUUGCGUUCAGAGCUUUAGAGUACUCAUAACUUUGUGAAUUUGUUUCAUCUUUCCUUAGUUUGGACAUUAAAGUUUUGUCUGGAUUUUUUGCAGGAUAUAAUUUAUAUUGUUUAUUAUUAUUAUUAUUAUUAUUAUUAUUAUUAUUAUUAUUAUUAUUAUUAUUAAAGACAACCCUUUUAUUUAUUUAUUCAAAAGAAAAUCUAUCUAUUUGUUUGCCCCUAGAAUUUGUAAAUCUAUCUUAUUUUGGUUGUGUUGUGAGCUUGUGGCACAACUAUUCAAGGGAAAAUGUCUGGGACAUCCAAGGUUCUGCCUGCUCUCCACUCUAUCAAAUGAUAUGACACCUUAUGCUUCAAAGAAGGUACUUUUGACUACAAAUUUCAAUUUAAGCUCAUUUUGAUUUUGAAAGUGCUUAAGGAUAAUGUCCUAUACUAAUUCAGUUGUAUAAAUAACUUGAUCUUUUUGGAAGAAUGUUCAAGAAGUUGUUGUAUUUUUCUAAAAUCUUUUUAUUUGCAAGGUUGGAGUUUGGCAUUAAUGUUUUGUCUGAGUUUGUUAUAGGAUAUUAUUUAUAUGAUUUAUUAUUAUUAUUAUUUUUUAUAUGGUCCCUUACGAUUGCAUUAAGAACUUUAGAUUACUCAUAACUCUGUGAAUUAGUUUCAUCUUUCCUUAGUUUGGACAUUAAAGUUUUGUCUGGAUUUGUUGCAGGUUAUUAUUUAUAUUGUUCAUCAUCAUUAUAAUAAUAAUAAUAAUAAAGAGAACCCUUUUUAUUUAUUUAUUCAAAAGAAAAUCUAUCUAUUUCUUUGCCCCAUAAAUUUGUAAAUCCAUCUUAUUUUGGUUGUGUUGUGAGCUUGUGGCAGAGCUAUUUAAGGGAAAAUGUCUGGGACAUCCAAGGUUUUGCCUGCUCUCCACUCUAUCGAAUGAUACAACACCUUAUGCUUCAAAGAAGGUAUUUUUGGCUACAAAUUUCAAUUUAAACUUAUUUUGAUUUUGAAAGUGCUUAAGGAUAAUGUAAUAUACUAAUUCAGUUGGAUAAAUAACUUGAUCUUUCUGGAAGAAUGUUCAAGAAGUUGCUUUAUUUUUUUAAAAUCUUUUUAUUUGCAAGUUUGGAGUUUGGACAUUAAAGUUUUGUCUAGGUUUGUUGUAGGUUAUUAUUUAUAUUGUUUAUUAUUAUUAUUAUUAUUAUUAUUUAUAUUACAAUUGUGUUUAAAGCUUCAGAGUACUCAUAACUUUGUGAAUUAAUUUCAUCUUUCGUUAGUUUGGACAUUAAAGUUUUGUUUGGGUUUGUUGCAGGUUAUUAUUUAUAUUGUUUAUAAUGAUAAUAAUAAUAAUAAUAAUAAUAAUAAUAAUAAUAAUAAUAAACAAAGAGAAUCCUUACUAUUUAUUUAUUCGAAAGAGAAUCUAUCUAUUUGUUUGUCCCAGAAAUUUGUAAAUCUAUCUUAUUCUUGGUUGUGUAGUGAGCUUGUGACAGAGUUAUUUAAGGGAAAAUGUCUCAGACAUCCAAGUUUCUGCCUGCUCUCGACUUUAUCGAAUGAUACGACACCUUAUGCUUUAAAGAAGGUACUUUUGGCUACGAAUUUCAAUUUAAUCUUAUUUUGAUUUUGAAAGUGCUUAAGGAUAAUGUAAUAUACUAAUUCAGUUGUAUAAAUAACUUGAUCUUUCUCGAAGAAUGUUCAAGAAGUUGCUGUAUUUUUUAAAAAUCUUUUUAUUUGCAAGUUUGGAGUUUGGACAUUAAAGUUUUGUCUGGGUUUGUUGCAGGUUAUUAUUUAUAUUGUUUAUUAUUAUUAUUAUUAUUAUUAUUAUUAUUAUUAUUAUUAUUAUUAUUAUUAUUAUUUAUAUUACAAUUGUGUUUAGAGCUUCAGAGUACUCAUAACUUUGUGGAUUAAUUUCAUCUUUCCUUAGUUUGGACAUUAAAGUUUUGUUUGGGUUUGUUGCAUGUUAUUAGUUAUAUUGUUUAUAAUAAUAAACAAAGAGAAUCCUUACUAUUUAUUUAUUUGAAAGAGAAUCUAUCUAUGUGUUUGUCCCAAAAAUUUGUAAAUCUAUCUUAUUCUUGGUUGUGUUGUGAGCUUGUGGCAGAGUUAUUUAAGGGAAAAUGUCUCAGACAUCCAAGGUUCUGCCUGCUCUCAACUCUAUCAAAUGAUACGACACCUUAUGCUUCAAAGAAGGUACUUUUGACUACAAAUUUCAAUUUAAGCUCAUUUUGAUUUUGAAAGUGCUUAAGGAUAAUGUCAUAUACUAAUUCAGUUGUAUAAAUAACUUGAUCUUUUUGGAACAAUGUUCAAGAAGUUGCUGUAUUUUUCUAAAAUCUUUUUAUUUGCAAGUUUGGGGUUUGGACAUUAAAGUUUUGUCUGUGUUUGUUGCAGGUUAUUAUUUAUAUUUUUUGUUAUUAUUAUUUUUUAUGUGGUCCCUUACAAUUGCGUUCAAAGCUUUAGAGUACUCAUAACUUUGUGAAUUAGUUUCAUCUUUCCUUAGUUUGGACAUUAAUGUUUUGUUUGGGUUUAUUGCAGGUUAUUAUUUAUAUUGUUUAUUGUUAUUAUUUUUUAUAUGCCCCCUUACAAUUGGGUUCAGGAGCUUUAGAGUACUCAUAACUUUGUGAAUUAGUUUCUGAGGAGCAGUGACAUGAUUGGAUCAGGUAGUCCAGGAAAUGAUGCUUUAAUAGGGGAGGUUGCUAAGGAAGCUCGGGACCGUGCUGCUGACAUGGGUGUUUACAAUGAGGAGUUAGUGUACAGCAGAAAAUGUGUGUCAUUAGAAUACAGGCCAUCGAUUGUUGAUGAAGACUUAGAAUCAAUUCCACUGCCCAUCCCAUCACUUCCAAUCUCCUCUAGAGAAUGCAGGAGGAGUGAUACGACACCUUAUGCUUCAAAGAAGGUACUUUUGGCUACAAAUUUCAAUUUAAUCUCAUUUUGAUUUUGAAAGUGCUUAAGGAUAAUGUAAUAUACUAAUUCAAUUGUAUAAAUAACUUGAUCUUUCUAGAAGAAUGUUCAAGAAGUUGCUGUAUUUUUUUAGAAGCUAUGAGUCUCGGUUGGCAGAGAGAGAGCGGGUGGCAUUGAUCUUUUUGGUUUUUUUACGUUCAUAGUUUAGGUUCUUCAAUUCAUUAUUCUAUUCUCUACGUCUUCAUUCUUCAUCGACAUUUUUCCUCUCUCUUCAUCUCUUCUUUACUUUAUCGACACAUGAUAUGUCUUCUAAAGCGUAGGAGGGUUCCAGAUGCGUUGUGGUGGGCAUUGUGUUGUGUAGUGAUUCUUCUCUUUGUUUAUAUUUUGAGCAAAGGGAACAACAUUGAGUCCAGAUCCGCUUUGUCCAAGGUAUUGUUUUGUUUCUCAAUUGGUUUGAUUUUCAUAGAUUUGUCCUGUUAGGUGUAGCUCAGGAUUUUGAGGGGUUUAACUACUGUUAAGUUAUUUGAUUUUCAGAAUGGGGGGUCUCUGAAAGAGUGAAUCAAUCCUCUCAGUUGGUGUUGCAUUUUCUGCUGACACUACCAAGGAGGUAAGCAGAAAUUAAAAUGGCACAUCUGCAAGAAAUAGAUCGAGUCAAGAAUGAAGUUAUACAUUUAGAGUGCGAAUUUGUCAUUUCCAUUCUGAAGCCUAGGCUCAUAAUGACACUGGGCAAACUUAUUGGUAAUGCAAUUAUUUAGAGUGCGAAUUAUGUAUAUAUUUUUUAAUUUAGAGGAAGAAAUUUGGCUUUCAGAGUAGUUUUUGAGUGCCACAGUAAACACUUUUAGUUUUAACAUUGCAAUUAUUUAGAAAUCACCCCAAAUAUUAUAAAAGACUAUAAAUUUAUCAUAUCUUUACAUUUACCAUAUGAAUUAUUUACUCGCAUUUUAAUUGUACAAUUGCAAUCUCUUAAAAUAGUUUCUUAAAUUAAUUUUACAACGUAUCUUUCAAAAAGAUUUCACACAGGUGAGAUAAAAAAAAUAGAAAAUAAGCAAUUCAGUAUUUUCUUAAGUGUUCUUUACAUAUCACAUAAAGUGAGAAAUUGGAGUUGUCCUAAUGAGUAUCCACAUUGCAUCAACUCAUAAUAGUUGCUUUCAAUGGGAUCUGCGUGUAUUGUGUUCACAUAAUUUUUUUUUUCAAUACAAGUAACUCUGGACAAGAGCAAUGCUAAAUAUUUCCCUAUUAGCUUGAAAAUUGUGAAAAUUAUUUAUACAAUAAUUGUUACUUUACCAGGAUUCCCUAAGAGCACUUGAGGCUGAUACACAGCACACCAAUGCUUUGAGUUUUUUUUUUCCUCCCCUAUAAGUUUUUUGGGUUGGUUUAGGUUUAAGGUCAGCAAAGAGGAAUGAUGGUUGAUUAUGAAUUGAUGAUUAUAAGUGUUGGUAGAGUGUGUGAAGGUAUGAACGUAUUAUCAAACCCUUGGGGGAAUAGUUUUUUAGAUCCUAAAAAUAGGGACUUGGGUGUAUAGAUAUUGAAAACCUGAAAUUUUUGUUUUUAUUUUAAUUCUUUAUCUUUCAUUGGUAGUGCUAUGCAAAACUUGCGACAUGAACGCCAAUGGAGGUAAUUUGAUUUUUCAUUUUUUUUCCUUUCUCUUUCGUUGAUUUUGCUUUGUAAUCUUUUUGAAAAAAUUAGGCUUUUAUUUAUAUUUUUAAGAUACUUAUAAUAAGAAAAUUUCAAUUUCUCACCUUUUAGAAGAAAAUUUAAAAUUUCCAUUUUUAUUUAUUAAAAUUCUGUUUUAAAAUUUCAAAAAUUUAAAUUUUUCAUAAGAAAUAUCCAAACAAUGAAUUUUAGAUUAAAGAAAUUUAAAUUCUCUGAUAAAUUACUUUCUUCCGUUAAAAUUUUCUAUCCAAACUCACUCUAAAUAUAAGUAACACAAACUUGUCUAGAGCAAUUCGAUUCUUUAUUGGUAACAUGAGGAAAUUAUCUGAAUUGAAUCUUUCUAAAUGUGGAUUUAGCAGGACAAUUUCCAAUUCACCGUCAAACCUAACAAAACUUGUCCAAAUUGACCUGAGUUAUAACUUUUUUUUACUGGGAGGAUUCCUUCAUCCCUUUCUACACUCCCAUCACUGCAAGCAAUUCAACUUUCAGAAAAUGAGUUUAGUCAAUUGGAUGAAAUGGUGAAUUUGACAUCCUCUAGACUAGAGAGCCUUGAUAUAAGUAACAAUAAUCCAUCUAGGAGGGUUCCUAGAUUCCUUUUUACUAGCCGAUCAAUUCAGCUUUUCCACAAUCAUUUUAGUCAACUAGACAAAAUCAGAAAUGUGUCUAGAUUGUACAGCCUCGAUUUAAGUAGCAAUGAUCUAUUCGGGCCUUUUUCAACAUCUAUCCUCCAACUCAAUACACUUUUUGUCCUCCAUUUUUCUUCAAACCAGUUUAAUGGGUCAGUACAGCUGAAUAAGCUUCUUGAGGUUAAAAGUUUAACUGAGCUUGACCUUUCAUGCAUCAACUUAAAAUUGAUGUGAAUGUUACAAAUGCUGGCUCGUCUUCCCUUCCCAGCAUUUCGUAUCUAAACUUGGCAUCCUGCAACUUGAAAACCUUUCUUGGUUUCUUGAGAAACUUGUAUGCAAUAGUUGUUUUAGAUCUUUCAGCUAACAAGGUUCAAGGAACGGCGCCCCAUUGGAUUUGGCUACUACAUAAUCUUCAAGCCCUUAAUAUUUCCCACAAUCCGUUCAUUGAUUUCGCAAAAUCUUUCUUUCAAUUUAUUAACCCUUGACCUUCAUAACAAUAAACUUCAAGAGCAAUUACCUAUUUUUGCUGAACAAGAAAAUUAUUUGGAUUUCUCAAGCAACAAAUUUAGCUCUUUUAUCACACAAGAUAUUGGUCAUUAGCUGUCUCUGACAUCUUCUCUCUCUUUCAAACAAUACUUUGGAUGGCAGCAUCCCCAAUUCCAUCUACAUUGCUUCAUCUCUCCAAGUGUUUGAUCUUUCCUUGAAUAACAUUUAUGGAACAAUAAUCUCAUGUUUAAUGAGGAUGAGUGGCACACUUAAAGUAUUAAACUUGAAGAACAACAAUCUCACAGGCCAUAUUCCUGAUGCAAUACCAGCUUCGUGUAGUUUAUGGAUUUUAAAUCUUCAUGGAAAUCUAUUAGAUGGGCCAAUUCCAAAUUCUCUUUCGUGUUGCUUGAAGUUAAAGGUAUUGGACCUUGGAUUAAAUCAAAUUAUUGGUGGCUUUCCAUGCUUUUUGAAGAAAAUAUCCACACUUGGUAUCCUGGUUUUGUGGAAAAACAAAUUUCAAGGCUCCCUAAGAUGUUCGAAAACCAAUAAGACUUGGGAAAUACUUCAAAUUGUGGACAUCGCUUUUAACAAUUUUAGCGGUAAACUGCCAGGAAAAUAUUUCACAACCUGGGAAAGAUAUAUAAUGCAUGGUGAACAAGAAACUGAAUCAAAGUUUAUAGAGAAGGGGUUUCAUGCACAAAUGGGUAAUGUGUAUUAUCAAAGACGGAGUGACAGUUAUCAACAAAGGCUUACCGAUGUAGUUGGCUAAAAUUUUUACAAUCUUUACAUCUAUUGAUUUCUCAUCCAACCAUUUUGAAGGACCUGUAACAAAGGAGCAUAUGGAUUUCAAAGAACUCUGUAUCUUUUUGUCAAAAACUGCUUCGUCUAGUGAAAUCCCAUUAUCCAUAGGUAACUUGAGACGACUGGAGUCUUUGUGCCUUUCACAAAACUAGUUGGUUGGAGAAAUUCCCAUGCAACUUGCAAUUUUGUCAUUUUCUUUUCAUAUUUAAAUCUCUCAUUCAAUCAUUUGGUGGGAAGGAUCCCAAUUGGUACCAAAUUCAGUCAUUUCCAGCUUCUUCCUUUGAAGGAAAUGAUAGGCUAUACGGUUUUCCAUUGACUGAAAAUCCAGAAGAUAAAAAGCCAGCAACGCUAACAAAGCUAGAAUUGUGAAGACUGACUUGGAAAAUUGACUGCAACUUUGUUAGUGUGGAAUUGGGAAUGAUUUUGGGCGAUCGAAUUAUUAUUUUUUUUUCGCUCUUGAUUUGGAAGCGGUGAAGGGAAUGGUAUUGGCAACUUAUUAACAAGAUUCUUUGUUGGAUCUUUCGUCCGAUGCAUCUAGAAUAUGUAACCAAGAGAGGACAAACUUAUGCAAAUUUAAGGUGGCAAGUGUUAGUGAUUAACAAUGAAUGUGCAAGUGAAAUCAUGACACAAUAAAUAUCCUCUUUUUCAAAUUUUUUUUUUUUAAAUUCAUGUUUUAAUGCUAAAAAAUAAUUUUGCAAAGGCAUAUCUAAUUGGAACUUUUAAUCAAUGAGUAUUAUGAUAAAAUAUGGUCAUCUAUUGAUUUAAUAGAUAUACCAUUUAAAUACCGUACAUGAAAAAUUAUAUGUCUAAGACUUAAUUCCUUAAAUGUUGUAAAAUGUGAUUUUUAUCAUCCAAACUUUGCACUAUAUCUAUAUAUUAGUAAGAUUUUCUGAAUCAAAUUUUAUUAAAAUUCAUUGAAUAAGUAUCUAAUUAAAUCAUCCAUAUUUCAAUAUAUUUUAAAAAAUUUAUAUUUUAUCGACUUUAAUCUAUAUGAAUGAGGUAACAAAUAAUUUUAGAUUAACAUGAAAUUUUCAUAUAUAUGAUUUACGUGAAAAUAACUUUCAAUCUAACAAUAGAUUUUAAAAAAAAUAUUAUUCGGUUAUAAAUUAUUCAAUGGCAUAAUAAUUAUUAAGUUACACCAGUGUAAUUUGAUCCUUCCACUUCAUAUAUAUAUAGCAUGGAGUUUGAUCAAUCACAAAUGUGUGAUUUAUGUUUUCGGAUUCCAUUAUUAUUAUUUCACAUAGUUCAUAAAUUGAAAUACUCUCAUACCUGAUGUUGUCUAAGCAUCUAUUUGAUCGUUCAAUCAUUUGUUUUGUAUAUGAAUUCUUACUUUUUAGAACAUUUUUUAUAUCAAAUCUUAAGCUCAAGAUCUAAUCUUUAAUAGAUCUCUCAAUAAAAGAAUUGGACAGAUCUCCAAUAUGGAGAAUGGGUUCUUGUACAAGAACUCUCUAGAUCUCUAUAUUGUUCAAAAAAAAAAAUUACUCUCUCUCCCUAACAGCAAAAUGCAGAACUAAUAGAAGGAGUACAUAGUAAAAAAAACAAACAGAGGGGGAUGAAGAAAAAGAAAGCAAAAUAAACAGAUAAAAAAAAACAAACAAAAAAUAGACAUACCCGGGGGGUCAUGGUGGAGGGGAAGGAGGAAGGGUGUGGGUCGCGGUAAGGGGAAGGGAAAAAGGGGUGGGCCACCAAAGAGGGAAAGAAAGAAGCAACUUAUAGAUGAGGAGAGAGGGAGUUGAAAAAAAAAAAAAAAAGCAAACAAAGAAAGAAAGAAUAAGCACAAUAUGAGAUGAGGAGAGAGGGAGGAGAAAAAAAAAACCAACGAGUGAAUAUUUAAUUACUUAAUUAUAAUUAAUUUAAUAAAUAUUUAAAAAUAGCAAAAAAUUAUUUAAGAUCCAAACAUAAAUCUACCACUAAAACAACUUUAGUGAUAGAUUCCAAAUUAGGAUCUUAGACUCUAAAGACCCUUGUUUAAAAUCUAAAAUUAAAGUUGCACUAAAGGAAAAAAAUGAUAGAGAUUUUGAGAGAUCUUCAAUUGUACGUGAUCCCGUACGAUCCCUGAUUUAAGUUCUCAAUUUGAGAUCUUAGACUAAAAAUGCUCUUAGUAUACUUUAGAUAGUAUUCUAUUUUGGGACAACACAACAUGACAUAGAAAGCAAAAAAAAUCAAGCUCAAAUAAGAAUCCAACCUAUUUCUACUUGCACAAGUAGAAUAACAACCUUCCAUGACACAAGUCAUUCAUUCAAAUAAAAAUAAUUGAAAAACUAUCAACAAUAAAAUAUUUUUAAAAACAAAACGUAUCAUAUAAUUUCAAAGAUGUUACCAAAAUAAAUAAGAAAAUAAAAUUACAGUAUUGGAGGGCCACUUUCAUGUGAAAAAAGGGAAACAUAAAAAAGAUCUACAGGGUAUGCAAAUUUAUUUAUCAACAUCAAAUAUAUCUAUGGUGUCAAUCCAAGUUUGCUAAUUAACAAACAAUCAGGGGCACCAAGUAAAGUGAAAAAGGCAUUACCAGAGAUGCCAAUAAUAUCCAUGUCGAGGAAGUCAGGUUGAAGGAACCAAGAAUCUAGCAUAAACAAUCUUUCCCUUAAUUUGGAAAUCAUGUUCAUCCCCGCCACAUCACUGCGUACGUGCUACAAGUAAAUAUAGCAUAAACAGUCUUCUCAGAAAUAGAACACUUCAUAAUUUGAACCCAGGAAAUCUACUCCACUUGUAUGGAGAACCAGAAACAAACAUCAUUUCUUUUAGUAGAAAUUGAAAUCUUCCACAAACAAAGUUCUAAAAAUUGGGAUGAAUUGGAUUUCCCUAUUCCAAAAGAAAUCCAAAUUUCGGUCUUGUAUUCCAUAUUCUUUUCACUUUAUUCUUUUCCAAUUCAAAGAAAUAAAUCCAAACUUGAAAGACAAUAAACUACAAUGUGCACGUGGUAACUCGCCAAAAAGAAAUGAAUAAAUCCCAAUUUCUAGAUACAAAUUCAAAUUUCAAACAAUAAACAAUACAUGAUCUCACCAAAAAAAUAUAUUUAUUUGAAGAUAACUAGAUUAAAUUUCAAAAGAUCGAAGAAUUACAGCAGACGCACACUAAGCAAGAUCUCUCAUAACAGUAUUACCAUAAUAGGAGUCAUGCAUCUCAUGCCGCAGGAAAUGAAACAUAGGUACAUACUUAGAUUGCCAAGGUUAUCAACUUGUUUGAUGACUUCUCUAAAAACGCAGUUGAUCCAUCUGCCAAUUCUAUUUAAGCAUACUAUUCAUUUGAUUGAUCAAUUGUGAAGUAUUUGGAUUACACAUAUCUUUUUCACUUCAAAGGAUUAAAAUCAAGGGCAUCAGAAUCAAGCACAAGUUGGACUCCCUUAGAAACCAAGAUCCCAAAACAAGUGGACCUUCCCCAAGUAUCCAUUCUUUAGCCAUCAGAUUUAGAGAAUUAAUAGUAGCCACCAAUCUACAUGUAAAACAAAUCAUCCACUGCCCAAAGCAAUCUCUGUACAAGCAACAAUACAAGAUUUGCAGCCACCAUAAGAAUCAAUUGGGACCUGACAUUCUUUCACCAUAUUUUAACCUUGAUUUUUCUUAUUUUCUGAGUUUGCAUUACAAAAGUAUUCGCAUGAUAAGAACUUAUUCAAUAAGCGCUUAAUCAAGCCUUUUUUUGAAACACACCUUAAGUCAUCUAUGGAUUCCACUUGAGGAGAGAACGGCCUGACAACACAUGCAUUUUCAUCACUGCUGGAAACAAUUGCAUUCUUAUUUGAUGCAUGACAAUGCUCCAAUAUGUCAUUUGUUGGCUUAUAUAUGGAUUCUACUUGAAGAGAGAUGGUCCCAACAACACAUUCAUUUUCAUCACCACUAGAAUCCAUUACAUUCUUAUUUAGUGCACGGGAAUGCUCUAUUUUUUCAUUCAUUGGUUCAUAUAUGAGAUAAAUUGUGGUCUUGUCAACAGUUAAUUUGCUCCAGAAGACAACAACAAUUUGCACUUUGUUUCCAGGCUCUAUUUUUUAUAGUACCCCCUGCCACUCCUCAUCUUCAAAGGAGACUAAUGCAUUUCUCUUAUAAAGUUGAAUGAUGGCCUUUGUGUGAUUUAUCACCAACAAAUGUUUCAAACCAUCUGAAGUUAUAUUUUCCGGGGAAGAAUAAUGGACAUGGCACAUCAUUUUCUUCAAGUUACGCCCAUUCACUUGAGGGAUUUCAAAAGUCAGGGAUGAACCUUCGAUGUUGAAGGUUAACCAAUCUGGAUAGCUAUCACCGGGGAGCAAACAACCACCACCACCAUCACUAGUUGUCAUAUUCUGUAAAAAUGAAGAUAUAUGCUCAAAAGUUUAUCAUUCAAUGUAUUAGUACCACCAUAUAAUUAAUUCAACAAUUUAAGAUAUAACAAGAUAAUAACUCAUUUUCUCAUCAUUUAAAAUUAUGAUCUUGAUUACCCAAAAACUACUCAGAACAAUCAUAAAUGUGAAAAGUAAAUUGUUAAAUUAUGCAUAAAUAUAUUUGCUUGGAUAAUUUAAACAAAAUCCAUUGGUCCAAGUAAGAGUUCCAUACCCGUAACAAAAUAAACAUAAAAUGAAUAAAAAAUAGUUCUAUACCAACCGAAAAAACAAUGAAAAGUGAGAGAACAUUUUCAAUUUAAUAUUGAAUUUUAUAUCGUGACAAUAAUAAAUUGUACCUCGCAUUAAAGUAUAUGUAUUUUUUUAAAUUACGUAGCAUUAAAUUAAAUAUGCACUUUGAAUGUGAUAGCAGUUAUUGAUGAAAUAAAGUAUAUACAAAAAAAGAUGUUACUAGUACCUCACAUAAAGUAUAUAUAUUUUUUAAAUUACCUCGCAUUAAAAUAUGCACUUUGAAUAUGAUAGCAGUUAAUGAUGAAAUAACGUACAUAUAAAAAUGAUGUUACUAGUACUACACUUAACUAAUGUAAAAUUUAGAUUUAUGUUGGAUUUCGUGCUCUUACCGCAAUGACAGAUUGACUAACACAUGAUUAGAAGAUAGUUUUAAUUACUAUAUACUCGUAUCGUAACUUUCUUUCUUAAUUGGGUAUUACUAACAAAGUUUUCCUUUCAGCAAGACUAUAUUUUUUAAUUUUUCCUUUCAGGUAUAACUAAUUCCUAAACACAAUUACAAAAGUAAUUAAAGCCAAGACAACUACUAAUAGCAAAAUAUAUGAUGACUGUGUCAAAAAAAUCUAUGUUGGUGUAUGACCAUUUUAAAAUGACAUGUUUAUAUAUAUAUAUAUAUAUAUAUAUAUAUAUAUAUAUAUAUAUAUAUAUAUAUAUAUAACGUAUAAUAAUAUACACUUCCACAUAUAAUCGAUAUAUUAAAAAUAGUUCUAUUGUCAAAAGAUAAGGAAAUUAGAUACAUAAGAGAGAAAUUAAGGGUAAAACCUGUAAAAUUCUCUGUUUCAGAAUAUUGGUGACUUGACAACUCGUUCCCAUUUGAAUUAAAAGUGAUCUCCUGAAAUUUUUUGAUCCUAAGUUGUGUACUUGAUUGUUGCAUUCAAUUAAUGUUAAAACAUUCAUAUUAUGCAUUUGCGAUGUGGCUGCAGUUGAUUCUAAUUCUUCAAAAUUUGUGGCAUAUAAAGCAUCCAAAAUAUUUGCAGCAUCUAGAGAAAGUUGAAGUUCUGAGCCACACUCUAUACAAAGACUUUGAAGCAGUGGAAGGUCCUUAGAAAUAUAUGAUAGAUGAUUGGAACUACUAUUUGGCACGUCUAAAGAAACGAGAGAUGACACAUCUAGAAAUGUUUGAACGCGGGAUGAGAGACUAUUUGUUGGUGACAUCCAAGACCAAAUGAUUGAAGGAAACACAUCACGUGAGAAUCCUUCAUAGCCGCACAAAGAGAUAUAUCCAAUUCUUUUUGAUCUAACUAUUGAAAAUGGCACUCUUGUUAUUGCAGUCUUAUCCGCAAUAAGGGUUGUCAAAGACUCCAUUUGUUCCAAAUCCUCUUCUAACUUGUCAAUCUUUAAACAUCCUGAAAGAAUGAGUGCUUUAAGAGAUUUCAACUUAUAGAUACUUCUUGGAAGCUUACGAAGGCUAAUACAAUUUUGAAAAUUUAAUAGAAGAACUUUAUUGAGAUGUCCAAUGGUAUAGGAAAUCUCGGACAACCUUGGACAAUCUACGAGUAAUAGCUUUUCAAGAUUAGGCAAAUUUGAAAAGUCUGGAGUCUGAGUUAAAUAAUGAGAAUGACUGAGAUUAAGAAUUUUCAACUUCUCCAUUACCUACAAGAAAAAAACAAGCAUACAAUAGAGAAAAUUAAAGUUAGAGGUAAAACUCAAAACAUAAAUAGAAGCAAUUACAUUGUGUUAUGAGCAUCUCAAGUAGAAAGUGAAAUAUUUAUACUUGUGUAAUGCCAUUUCUUAGUGCCAAUAUAUUUUAUAUUUUGAUAAAGGUUUAUUUUUCUUUUGAAGUCUUCCAUCCCAAGGAUAUAUAUUUAAUGUACACACUUCUAUUUUUUUUAAUAUAAGUGAGUUAACAAACUAUAACUAGUGAAUGUGUCUUAAAAUACAUCAAUAAUGUAACUUGUUAACAUACUCAUACUAAUAAAAAACAAGACAUCAAUUCCACAACUAUUUACUAACACACAUCUUUAUUUUUUAAUAUAAUCAUUAGAUUUUUAAAAAAUACAUCAAACAAAUUACAUCCUAAAAUAUCUUAAUUAUCAUUAACAAUAAUUGAAAUAUCGUAGGAUGUGAUUUAUUUGAUAAUUCUUGUAAAAAUGUAACGAUUAUAUCAUUUUAAUUUUAAUUUUUAUAUAUUUUUACAUAUUUUAAUCUCAAUCAUCUAUUAUUUUUAAUCAUAUUUUAAUAAUUAUUCUUACGUAAAAAAUUAUUCUAAGAGGAGCUGUGCUCUCUCUAUAUAUAAGUUGUUUAUGAGCAUUUUAUGGCUUUUUUUAUCAGUUAGUAAAAAUUGCAACUCCUACCUUACCUCUCCUUUGUUUUUAUCAUAUUUAAUUAUUUGAAGAGGAAGUCAUAAGCUCCGUCUCUUAUGUUUUAACAAAAAACUAUAAUGUAAGUUCAUAAUAAACAUACAAAAUCUAUUUGAUUAGAUAAUAGAUAAUCUUUAAAAAAUUGAAUUUUGAAUUACAUUGAGUGUAAAACUUUUAAUUUAAUGUAUCGAGGUUUUACUCUUAUGUAAUGAAAAAAGACUUUAUUGUUGUUAUACCAAAGUUUCAUACAUACAAUCAUUAGGAAGAAUUUUGAAUUUUUAUAUGAUGUGGCAAUGCAAUUUUUUUUAAUUGCUUAUGCAUGUUGAGGAUAUCACUACAAGAGGAAAAUAUUCGUAAACUUUAGCAUUGGAAUUAAAGUUCUGAUGCAUCAUUAAAUGGUGGUAUCACAAGUAAAGAAUAAAAUAGCCAUAAAAUUUAACACCAACACUACAAUGCCUACACUAUCUAUUAUAGCAUAGCAUUGACUUAAUUCAGGUCAAAUAAUCGCUAUAGAUUGCAUAUAAAUUUAUUUUUGUCAGCUAUGCCAACACAAAAAUGGGGAUGAUUCAAGGUUUAGAUUUGUGCUUGCAUGGUCUAACCUUACACUAUUAGCACCAAUUAAGUCAACACUAAAAUUAACAUAAUCUAAUUUGACACUAAUAAAUGUCGUCUAGUAAAUACCACAAAUACAAAUAGACUCUUAAUAGUGUCUGAAGUCAACUUAGUUGACACUAUUUAGUGUUGGCUCAAGCACAAUUUUUUUUUUACUAAAUGUUCAUUUAGCCUCAAUUUUUGUGGUUUAUCAUCAUUUUUUUUUGCUAAAUGUUCAUUUAGAUAUUUUAGGAUAUGAAAAAAAAAUAAAUGUUGGUAUCUUGAUCAUUUCCUUUUUUAGGCUUACUGGUUUACGGUAUAAAAGGGAGGCUAAAGCUUGUAUUAGAAUAUGAAUAUACAAACGUUUAUUUUAUUUAAAUUUAAUUAUUAAUUCGAUCUCUUUAUUUAUUUAGAAUAUUCAAUUAGGUCUUUUUAUUUUUAAAAUUUUCAAUCAAAUCCUUUUUUUUUAAACUGUCUCAAUGUGAUUCUUUUCAAAGAAUUUGCAACUUAACGUCGUUGUCAGUCUCAAUUGGACAAAAAAAAAUCACAUUCAGACAUUUAAAAAAAUAAAAGACUUGAUUGAAACUUUCAGAAAUAAAAUGACCUAAUUAAAUAUUCUAAAUAAAUAAAAGGAGCAUAUUGAUAAUUAAAUCUUUUAUUUAAACUUAAACUUUUACAGAAAGUACUAGCAAUAUAAGAGAGGCUGAGAAAAACAUAGAUGAAAUUUGUCUAAAAGUACUAUAUAGUGAAAUAGUAUUCAUAUUUGAGACAAUUUAAAUUACAUCGAUAAAGAAGAAAGAAAGAAAUACUCAUGAAUUGCAAAAAACUAAAUUAAUACCUGGGCUUCUUUCCACAAAAGAUUAACACUGCUGUUUUGUAGCUCAAUGGAAACUAGACUUCCUUGAUAAAGGUUUGUUGGUAUGCAUGCUAAAGGAAAUCCAUGCCAACAAAGCCAUCUAAGAUCUUUGGAAAGAUACUUGAAAUCUCCAACCAGUUGUACACCAGCAAGUUGAAGCAACCUGAGUUUUUUCAUCUCCUUAAAAGCUUUAGUGCUCAAACAUUUUGUAUUAUUUCUUGGUAACUUCAAAGCCAGACCCUCAAUAGCUUUUGUUCCCUAUGAUAGAAAAAACGAAAGGGUAAAACAUGCGUAGCUAAAAAGAUAUAUGGUAGUUAAAACUCUUGUGAGAAAACCCAUCAUUUGUUUUAGGAGCUAAGAAGCAAAAACCAAUUCACAACCAAACCAAUUUUCAAAAUUCUUGUGACAAUCAAUCGCACAAAUGAAUAUUAAGAACUGACUCAUAAAUGUGUUAGUUGUAUCCAUUAGCUUUGGAUGGAUAUUUUAAAUAAAAAAAUAAUAGAUGGAAGUCUUACAGUUUCUUUUGAUAAUACAUCAAGUGCAUCUUCAUGAAAACAUAACCUACUACGCUCCUCAAGCUCCAUUGGUGUUUCUGAACGAAUGAUUUCUCUUCCCAUGUCUCGCAGCAAAUCAUGCAUUCCAAGCUUGUUCUUAUAAUCUACAGUUACAAGGCUUCUUUCUACCAAGACACGUAUUCCAUUUUCUGCACAAAGCCCACAACCAUUUAAGAUAUGUAUAACAUCAUUCCGGUCCAUUCCGAUAAAGAAACAAGCUAUAUCAAGGAAUAUUCCUUUCUCUGUAUCAUCAGUUAAACCAUCAUAGCUUAUUUUUAAUUUCUCUUGUACUUCAUCAUUAGGAAUUUUCUUGAGUUUCUCCAAUACAUUCUUCCACUCUGUUACCUCCAUAUCAAACAAAUAGGACCUAAGGACUUCAAGAGCUAGUGGCAAUCCCGCAGAAUAAGCAACUAAAUUUCUAGAAAGUUCAAUAAAAUCUUCUCUUGGACUUGCUUGCUUAAAUGCAUGCCAACUAAAAAGCUCAAUAGAUUCAUCUUCAUCCAGUCCUUUCAUUCUGAACACUUUGUCAACUCUUCUCCCUCUAAGUAUAUGCAUAUCUCUAGUUGUGAUGAUUAUUCUACUCCCUGAACCAAACCAUUCACGACUUCCACACAAAACAUUCAAUUGAUGCAAUUUAUUUACAUCAUCAAGUAUAAGAAGUACCUUUUUAUGGCGAAGUCGUUCUUUUAACAUAACUUUUCCUGAUUCAACAUUACGUAUCUUUGUGUUUGUUUCUUUUUCGAUAUCAAAUAGAAGUUGUUCUUGUAGAUAUACUUGACCAGCAUCUUGCUCCCAAAUUCCCCUAAUAUGUGCGAGGAAGCUUUUUCCCUCAAAAUUGCGGCCAAUCUUAUUGUAAAUGGCUUUUUCAAUAGUUGUUUUACCAAUGCCUCCCAUCCCCCACAUCCCGAGUAGUAGAACAUCGUUUGAUUGUUUUUGGCCUAAUAGUUCAAUCAUUUCCUGGACUCGUGGUUCUACGCCGACUGGAUUAUCAGCAACGAACAACUCUGUCUUGUCUAACAAACGCUUAACAUUUUCAACAAUAGUUUUGAUAGCCUCACUUUCAUUCCUAUAAUAAAAAACAUAAUAAAAACAAAGAAAAGGUGUGUCCAUACAUGCAUCAAAAUUUAAGAGAAAUUUGAGUAAAAAUUUAUAAUUGUACAAACGUCUGUUCUCCAUUAGGUUCAUCCAUUGCAUGGUACUUACUAACAUUUCUAUAAUAGUUCUUAGAGUGUGUCUUAUUCUAAUUUUAUUUUUUGGUUUUGAAAACUUUUUUUGCCGAACAUUUGUCAAUACCUAAUGCUUAGAAUGGGGGAAAAUAAAGUUACCGAAGGAAGAAGAUGAAGCAACAAAAAUAAGAAAUGCUUAAAUAUAAUUUUAGUCCACCUGCAAUUUUGGUCCUCCUAUAUUAAAAUAAAAAUAUUUGGUCUCUUAUUUUUAAAAAAAAUCCACAAUUUCUGUAUAUCUUUGAAUUUUGCCUACAUUUAUUUCAUUCACUUUAAUUAAUUAAAACAUUUUUAUGGUACCAUAAAGGAAGACGUUAGCUCGAGGAUUUCAUUGAGGACUUUUUAAAAUAGAUGAACGAAAUAUCUUUAUUUUAAAAUAGAUAAACCAAAAUUACAGAUUCAAAAAAAUAAGUGGACCAAAAUUGUAUAAACCAAGAAUACAAGUCAUUAACUAAAGAGAAAAAUCAUAAAUUGUUCGCUUUCAAUUUUAAAAACUAAAACCAAGAUUAUUUUUGAAAAUAUUCCAAAUUACUUUUAUCAAACAUUUUUUUUUUGUUAUUAAAAAACAAAAAAUAAAUGUACAAUAAACAAACAAGCUCUUGUUUUUGUACUACUUUAAACAAUGUUUGCUUGAUGAUUUCCUAAAAAUACAGUUAACCAUCAUUAUUGAUAUCUAAUUAAUUAUAAAUAUUAGUUAAUUUGAAAUUUAUGUUUAUAGUGUUUUAAUCUCCCUUUGAAGGCUUUGCUAGAGUUUCUCUAGUUGUGAGCAGUAAGGCUUUUCUCAAAUCUCAAGACAACUGUUCUUGUCUUUUCUCAGGUCUGCCUACUUGAAUUUCACAAAAUGAUGAAAGAUGUUGAUUUCGAGGAGGAGGGGGAGAUAGUCACAAUACCUGAAGUGGGAGAAAGGAUUAAAGAUGAGGGUUUUUGGUUGGUGGGAAAGAUUCAUACGAAAGAAUCUUCCAAUGUGAUGAAGGAGUUCAAAACUACAAUUGCCCAAGCAUUGAAGAAGAAAAAGGGGGUGGAGAUAAGGAAUUUGGAGAGAAACCUUUUAGCGUUCAGGUUUCUAUCAGUAAACGAUAAAGAGGCAGUGAUAAAGGGUUGCCCACGAAAUUUUGAUAGAAGAUUGAUUGUGCUGAAUGAUCUGAUGCAUAAUCGGAACCCUAACAAAGUAGACCUACCAUGAACUCAAUUCUGGGUGCCUGUCUAUGAAAUCCCAUUAGGGUUCUGUACUAAAGAAAUAGAAGAAACCAUUGGAAACACUUUGGGAUCCUUUAUCAAAUGGGAUCAGUCGGAGGAAUAUCGAGUGGGAAAGUCCAUGAGGGUUAGGAUUUUGAUGGAUAUUACUAAGCCACUCCGAAGAGGAGUGAUGAUGAAAAUAGGAGUUAAGGAGGCAAGGGAGAUUAUUUUCAAAUAUGAAAGGCUUGGUAAUAUUUGCUACAUGUGCGGAUUUCUGGAUCAUCUUUUGAAGGAAUGUGAGGAUGAUGAAGGCGUUGAUAUCGAUAACCUUUUGUACGAACCAUGGCUGAGGGCGUCUCCUGUACAUCAAAACGAGGCUGCAGGAGUCUGAUAUGAAGAAAUUUUUGGGAAGGUAAAACGUGUUAUUGUGUUUGAAAAUGAGGUAAAGAAGAGGGGCUAUAGUGGAGAAGGAAGCAAAAGCGAUGGAGGAAAGUGGGUCUGCACGUGAGGAGGAGGCAUAAAUGUGGCAGAUGUAACUAGAAUUUUGAGCCAGUGUCAUCUAUCAUUAGGAGAGGAGGACCAACAUUGUCAAGGGGCACCAAACCCGAGGUAUGCAAGGAGGACGUAGAAGAGACAUAUCGUGAAAAGCAUGAAGUGGAAAAGGAUGAAGAAGGUCAUAGCGAAGUGAGAAGCAGUGGACAUGCCACAACUGCUGUUAUCUGAACCACCACAAAAAAAAAAAAAAAAAAAACAAAGUGGAAAAGGAUGGCUCGUGAAGGGGAGACUGUUGUUACCUCUGGAUUGCAUCCAACAGAGAAGAGACACAUUGAUGAUAGGUUGAUGAAGAGGGGGACAAGGAGGGACCAAGGGUCUAUUACAAACAAUCAAAAAAGGAAAUGGUGGGCACUGCUGACCAGCCCCGCCAAGAAUCUUGAGAACCUUAAGCUGGAACUGCCAUUGGCUUGGGAACCCAUGGGCAGUGAGAGCUCUUCGUAAGCUCUUAUCCAUUGAAGUUCCCACCAUAGCUUUCUUGAUGGAAACAAGGAAAAAAACUGCAGAAUACAUUUUUUAAAGGGUAUGACAAGGAUGGAAAACUUCCAUGGUGUUGAUUGUGAGGAAUUGCGGAUCUAGAGGUUUGGCCAGGACAAUUCAUAAGCUUAUACAACCACGUUUUUGUAUGGAUUCCCAGAAUAAAACAAGAAGCAUCAAAUGUGGGAUAUUAUGAAGAUUCAGAAACCUCAUGAUGAUAGCCCUUGGAUGUGUGUGGGGGAUAUGAACCAAAUCUUUCAUGUUGAUGAGAAGAAGGGGGAAAUGCUCCAAAUAUUCGAAGUAUUCAACAAUUUCAAGAUACGGUGGAUUAUUGUGGUUUGGUGGAGCUGCAAGUGGAGGGCCAAUGCUUUACGUGGACAAACCAGAGAUAGGGGGAUGAUUUAAGAGAAGAAAAGCUUGAUAGGAUUUUGGUUAACCGUUCUAGGCAUGAUAACUAGAGGGAUAGUUGGGCAUCAUCGGUAGUACGCUUCAUCUCAAACCUUAAUCCUAUUAUUCUGCUUGCAUCAAAAUCGAAAUUUGAUAUAGGUUUGAAGCAUUUUGGCUUGAUGAUGUGGAGGAAGGUGAGGAGGCAAUAAAUGGGAUCUAGAGAAGAAGGGGUGAUGUUACACAAAAUAUUACCUAGCUAGGGGCAAAUUUAGAUGAGUGUGGGUCACAAAGGUUUGGAAAUUUGACUCAAAAAAUCAAAAGGUUUUGAAAGAAACUGUAUAAGAUUCAACGCAACCCCUGGGUCAGUUUCUUAACAAACACAAAAGUUGAGAUUGAAGGUGAGUUGGAGGAGCUUUUAAGGCUUGAGGAGGUCCUUUGGAAGCAGAGGUUGAAGGUGGAGUGGUUGAUGUAUGUGGAUAGGAACACAACUUUCUUUAAUAGAAAAAUAUCCCACCGAAAGCAAGUCAAUACCAUAAAGAAGAUUCAGGAUGAUGAUGGAAAUGUGUAUAGGAAUGUAGAGGACAUUGGUGAGGUAUUAACAAAGUAUUUCUCUGAUCUUUUUACCUCAUCUCCACCUCAUGACAUGACAGAAAUUGCAAGCCUUGUGGAGGGGAGAAAUUAUGGAGAGAUGUGAUCCUUUGUGGAUGUGGAGUUUUCAAGAGAGAAGAUUUAUGAAACCUUAGAGUAGAUGCACCCCACCAAAGCUCCUGGGGAAGAUGGCAAUCCAGCUUUAUUUCUAUCAGAAGUUUUGGCAUAUAUUAUUAGAGAGGACGUCACAAACAUGACCCUGAAUAUUUUGAAUGGUGAUCGACCAACACCCUUGUGUGAUAAAUAAGACUCUUAUUGUCUAGAUUCAAAAGGUGAAAAAUCCCUCUCAUGGUGUUUAGAGAAGGAGGAAACAACGAUUCAUGCUUUGAUUGGCUGUGAGGGUGUCAAGAGAAUAUGGUUUGCAUCAAAUGUGGGGGUAUAUCCUGUUGGUAAAUAUUUGUGUUUUAAUUUAAAAUUUAUAAAUAUAUAUUAAUUCUAUUUUAUAAAAUAAAAUAUUUAUUUUAGAUUUUCUUAAGAUUUUGUUUUAAUGAGUCAACUAGUUUGUUAUGUUUGUUGUGACAACUGUAAGUUAGUUUUCAAACGGUCAUAUUUCCAACGGUCAUAUUUUGUUGUUGCAAAAUGCCUAUAUAUAUCUCUUUCCUCUUUUCUAAAAAAAGAAUACAGAGCAACAUCUGGUUUCUUUCUCCCAAAAAAUUAUGUCUUUCUUUUUCCUAUAAAAAACUUAUUUUUGUGACAGUAAGAGCAUUGGUGUUCAGAAGGUUCGGGGAUCCUUUCGCUGCACACGAUCGGAACCAACGGGUUGUCAUAUCUUGGGAGAGGAGCGCAAUUAAAUUUUCCUGCCAGUGCAGUGGGGCGAUUUUGUUAGAAAUGAUAGUAAUUCUGACUUUGCUUGUUAAGCCUUUCUAAUAUAGGAAGUUAGUUGGUUAGUUAAUAAUGAUUUGUUAGUGAGGGACCAAAAUGCAAAAUACAAUUCAGUCCUUGUCCUUCUUGUAUAAAUACUGUUUCAUUGUUCUUUCAAUAAUAAUUUUUCAGAUUCUUUCAUUUUCCUUAUUUGUUAGUUUUGCUUCUCUCUAAACCUCUCUUACUUUUCUCCAUCCUCAAGUUACCUCUUUUGAUUGUGUGUGUGAACAAGAACAGCAAGUUCUAACAGUGGUAUUUCAGAGCUAGGUUCGAAAAAGGGACCAAUUCUCCAAUCAUGGCUUCCAAUAGUCAUUUUCCCUCAAAUCUUCCAAUUCUAACCGGCAAGAACUUCAACAGAUGGAGUGUGCAAAUGAAAGCCUUGCUUGGAUUUCAAGAUUUGAUCGAUGUGAUUGAGAAUGGAAUAGAAAUUCCAAAAGAAGGAGCCUCAGAUUCACAGAAGAAUGAAUUCAAGGAUAUGAAGAAGAAAGACUGCAAAGCCUUGAUGAUCUUGCAUCAAUGUGUCGAUGAUUCUCACUUUGAGAAAAUCGCAAAUGCUAAAUCCGCAAAGGAAGCAUGGGACAUUCUGAACAAGGCUUAUGCAGGAGCUGAUAAGAUCAAGAAAGUGAGACUUCAGACUCUUCAAAGGCAAUUUGAAUUGCUGUAGAUGGAAGAGACUAAGAGCAUUGGAGAUUACUUUGGAAGAUUGCAGGUUCUUGCAAAUUCAAUCACUAGUUGUGGUGAUACAAUUACUAAUCUGACGUUAGUUGAGAAAGUUCUAAGAACCCUGAAUCCAAGAUUCGAUCACAUUGUGGUUGCAAUUGAGGAAUCAAAGGAUUUGGAAUCAUUAUCUGUUGAUGAAUUACAAGGAUCACUUGAGGCACAUGAACAAAGAUUGCAAGAAAGAUUGCAAGAAAGAGCAAAUGAUAAGGCUACAGAACAAGCCCUGCAAGCACACCAUCAGUCAAGAAAUGGUGGUUCUGAUAAUCGCAGAGGCAAGAAAGGAAGAGGGAGAUUCCAGAACACAAGAGGUAGAGGAGGUUACUCCAAAGAUAAAGGUAAACCUCAACCUGAUCAAAGAAGUGGAGAUAACUGCAGUAAAAGAAGUGGUGGUUCUAGUACUCGUGGAAGAGGAGGCAAAAAGAAAUGGGAUAAAAGAAAUGUUGAAUGCUUCAAUUGUGGAAAAAAAGGUCACUAUGCAGAAGAAUGCUGGUAUAGGGAGAAAAAUGUUGUUGAUGAUGCACAAUUAGCCACAGGAGCUGUUUCUGACACUGAACUAGUGUUGUUGAUGGUCACAACAAAGACUGGAGCUGAUGCAGAAGAUCAAUGGUACUUGGACACAGGAUGUUCAACACAUAUGACUGGUCACAAGGACUGGUUUGUUAGCCUUGAUGAGUCAGUAAAUCACAAGGUCAGAUUUGCAGAUGACAACACUAUAAGAGUUGAAGGUCAUGGCAAGGUUGUGAUUAAAAGAAAGGAUGGUAUAGUGUCAUACAUUGAGGAUGUGCUCUAUGUUCCAAACAUGAGAUGCAAUCUUCUGAGUCUUGGCCAACUACUUGAAAAGAAAUACAGAAUGGUGAUGGAGGACAAAGAAAUGAAGAUCUAUGACAAGGACAGAAGGUUGAUCAUCAAAGCUCCAUUGAACAGGAAUAGAACUUUUAAGGUUGGUAUUCAAGUCAUGAAACUCAAUUGCUUGCAGGCUGAGACAUGUAGAGAGGAAUGGUUGUGGCACUACAGAUUUAGGCACUUGAAUUUCAAGGAUUUAAGUCAACUGCACAGAAUGGCUCAAGGAAUACCUCAGCUGAGAUAGAUGACAGAAAAUUGCAGAGAAUGCCUGGAGUGCAAGCAACCAAGGAAUGCAUUUCAGAAAUUUGUACCAAUAAAGUCAACACAGAAAUUGGAGGUGAUCUAUUUAGAUGUCUGUGGUCCUCUUCAGGUUGAAUCCCUAAGAGGAAACAGGUACUUUGUAACAUUCAUAGAUGACUUGACUAGAAUGACUUGGAUUUAUAUAAUCAAGAAGAAAAAUGAGGUGCUUAGAAUUUUUAAAAAAUAUAAAGCCUCAGUAGAAAAAUGUAGUGGCCACUGUAUAAAAACAUUAAGAACUAACGGAGGUGGUGAAUACACCUCCAAGGAAUUUGCUGAGUUUUGUGAUGAGGCAGGUAUCACUCACGAGUUCACUCCACCUUAUACACCACAACACAAUGGUGCUGCUGAAAGAAGAAACAGGACUAUCCUGAAUAUGGUGAGGAGCAUGUUGAAGACUAAGAAGCUACCUCAUUUCCUAUGGAGUGAAGCAGCUGCAACAGCAGUCUAUAUACUUAACAAAUACCCUACCAAGAGACUGAAAGGAGUGACACCUGAAGUGUGUCCCUGAGCAGCUGAGGCAAAAACUGGAUGAUAAAGGUGAACAAAUGAUCCUUAUAGGCUAUCAUGCAACUGGAGGUUACAAGCUACUUGAUCCAAGGUCAAAGCAGGUCUCUGUGAGUAGAGAUGUGAUAUUUGAUGAACUAAAGGAAUAUGAGUGGAAGAAGGACCCUCCUCCACAAUACAGCCAAGAUUAUGCCCCCUUCAUUCAUUCCAGAAGAAUUGAGUGACACUACUGAUGAACUGCCUACAAGGAACACUGAAGGAGGAACCAUGAGGUCUCAAAGGGUUAUGCAACCCUCACAAAUGUUGAAAGAUUAUGAAGUCAUGAAAGACAGCCAAAUUACAUAUGAAGGUGAUAUUGUACACUUUGCCCUUUAUGCAGAUGAUGAACCUAUGAGUUUCGAAGAAGCCUUGAAGAAUGACAAGUGGGUCAAUGCUAUGAAAGAGGAGCUGAAAUUAAUUGAGACAAAUCAUACCUGGCAGCUAAUGGAGUUACCUAAACUUAAAAGACCUAUUGCUGUAAAAUGGGUUUUUAAAGUGAAGAGAAAUCCUGCUGGUGAAGUAGUUAAACACAAAGCCAGAUUGGUGGCAAAAGGAUUCCUACAAAAAAAAGGUGUAGACUAUGGUGAGAUCUUUGCCCCUGUGGCAAGGAUUGAAACAGUGAGACUUGUAGUUGCAAUAGCAAGCAUGAAAGGCUGGUCAAUGUAUCAGCUUGAUGUAAAAUCCGCAUUUCUGAAUGGUCCUCUUGAAGAAGAAGUGCUUGUCAAACAAACACCUGGAUUUGAAGUUGUUGGACAUGAAGGAAAGGUAUACAAACUGAAGAAAGCAUUAUAUGGCCUGAAGCAAGCUCCAAGAGCUUGGAAUAAGAAGAUUGAUAGUGUCCUAAUUCAAAUUGGCUUUAGCAAGUGCAUAUCUGAACAUGGAGUAUAUGUAAAAGGAGAAUAUGAGUCAGACUUAGUAAUACUGUGCCUCUAUGUUGAUGAUUUACUCAUCACAGGAAACAACAAAAUAGAGAUUGACAAGAUUAAGCAACUGCUGAAGAAUCAGUUUGAAAUGACUGACUUAGGAUCUCUUUCAUACUUCCUUGGAAUUGAGUUCAAGGAAACUGAAGCUGGAAUUGUGAUGCAUCAAAGCAAAUAUGCUACAGACCUGUUGAAGAAGUUUCGAAUGACUAACUGUAAUGCAACAGCCACCCCAACUGAAACAGGAUUGGCAUUGAGUUUGAGAGAUGAAGGAGAACCUGUUGAUGAAACUCAGUACAGACAGAUUGUGGGUUCAUUAAGGUACUUGUGCAAUACAAGACCUGAUUUGGCAUUCAGUGUUGGACUGAUCAGUAGGUUUAUGCAAGCUCCAAAAACUCCUCACAUGAUGGCAGCAAAGAGAAUUCUAAGGUAUAUUAGAGGUACAAUUAACUAUGGUAUUCUACUUCCAAAUACCAUCACAAAUUCAAACAUGGAACUGGUUGGCUAUACUGACUCAGACUGGAGAAGAGAUAAUGAUGAUAGAAAGAGCACUGCUGGAUAUAUUUUCCUACUUGGAGAUGCACUGGUGUCAUGGAGUUCAAAGAAGCAAGAUCCGGUUGCCUUAUCAACUUAUGAAGUUGAAUACAUAGCAGCAUCAAUGUGCUCGUGUCAAGGCUUAUGGCUAAGAAAACUAUUGAAAGAAAUGAAGAUCCAGAAGACUGAAGCUAUAAACAUACUGGUGGACAACAAAUCUGCAAUCAGCUUUGCUAAAAAUCCAAUUGAUCAUGGUGGAAGCAAACACAUAGAAACAAGGUACCAUUUUAUUCGGGACAAGGUGAGCAAAGGGAAGGUAAAACUGCUAUACUGCAAGUUAGAAGAUAAUCUUGCAGACUUACUGACCAAACCUUUGAAGAAGAACAAAUUUGAAGACUUGAGAAACAAGAUGAUGAUCAUGAUUGAAUAAGAGUCAGAAUUAUGGGGGAGUGUUAGAAAUGAUAGUAAUUUUGACUUUGCUUGUUAAGCCUUUCUAAUAUAGGAAGUUAGUUGGUUAGUUAAUAAUGAUUUGUUAGUGAGGGACCAAAAUGCAAAAUACAAUCCUCUUGUAUAAAUACUGUUUCAUUGUUCUUUCAAUAAUAAUUUUUCAAAUUCUUUCAUUUUCCUUAUUUGUUAGUUUUGCUUCUCUCUAAACCUCUCUCACUUUUCUCCUUCCUCAAGUUACCUCUUUUGAUUGUGUGUGUGAGCAAGAACAGCAAGUUCUAACAGUUUUCUCUCUAAGGAUAGCGUUUACGUGCUUCAACCCAGGCUAUAUCUUUUUUCCCCUAAUUUAUUUUUUCCUUGUGUUUAUUGUAUGUUAUAAUGCAUUAUUCAUGUGCUGUCAAUUAAAUUUAUUUUGCUACUGUUAUUUUGUUAUUUAAUUUAAGACUGUGCAUCUCGUAUUUAUUUUCUUUCAUUUUUUAUUUUAUUUUUCUAACAGUCUUAGAGAGAAAAGUUAGUUAUCACUUUCUUCUUGCAUAGUCUUUUCUACAGUAGCAUUGUUUUAUCAAAAAUUUAUGUCGUCAAUAUGAUUGAGUUCCUUUCUAGUAAGCAUGAAAAAUUAAUGGAUGAAAAUGCAAUGCAUUAUGUUCCAUUAAAAAUGUUUUUAUUAUAUUAUUUUAUUUCCUGAAAUUUUAAAUUAGUAUGAGAUUGUUGAAAAAUAUUUUCCUUGUCAAUUGUAUUUUUGUUUAAGAUAAAAUCUUUUAGAAUUAGUUUAUGUGAAAAACUAAAAAUAUCUCACUACUUUCAUUCUUGCCUUAGAAAGUUAUAUUUUACUUGGUCAAAUGAUCAUGUGAACACAAGUCUUUAAAAUUAUGACAUUUGUUGUUUGGUUUUUUAAUUUCUGUUGUUUAAUGUUAUUAUUAUUACUGCAAAUAUUUUGUUGCUACAUGUUGACUGAUUAUCUCUUUAUAUAUAACUCACUGAUAAAAAGAUAAGCCUGUGAAACUUUAUAUUCUGCAUGUUGUAUUCUUAAUAGAGUACCUUAUAAAAAAAAUUAUGAGUUAUGGAAAAAAAGAGAACCAAAUCUGAAAUAUCUUAAAGUGUGGGGGUGUCUAGUAAAGGUUAACAUCCUUAUUAAUAAGAAAAGGAAAAUUAAAAAAAAUGUUAAUUGUAUUUUGUUGGAUAUUUUUUACAUAAUACUACUUAUAGAUUCUUAGUUGUUAAUUCAAAAUUAAUUGAAAUUUCUAAUGUUAUUAUUAUGCAAUCUAGAGAUGUCACUUUCUUUGAAAAUCUUUUUCCUUAAAAAAUAAAUUGUUAAAUCUUUGUAUGGUUUGAAACAAGCUCCAAAGCAUUGACACAAAAGUUUGAUUAAGUUAUUCUUUUGUAUGAUUUUCGAAUUAAUGAUAGUGAUAAAUGUGUGUAUGUGAAACAAUUUGAUGAUAAUGGAUGUGUCAUUUUAUGUUUGUAUCUGGAUGACAUAUUGAUAUUUGGUAGUAAUAUGCAUUUCAUAAAUGAUGUGAAGUCCUUAUUGUUUAGAAACUUUGACAUAAAAGACCUUGGUCAAGUAGAUGUGAUUUUGGGAAUUAAGCUUAUAAAGAAAAAUGAUGGCAUGACUUUUACCCAAUCUUAUUAUGUUGAAAAGCUAUUGAAGAAGUUUAAUUAUUUUGAUGCGAAACAUGCUUUUACUCCUUUUGACUCAUCCAUCAAGUUAAAGAAAAAUUUGAGUAAAUAAUUUUCUUCACAUAAAUAUUCUCAAAGUAUCGAUUCUUUGUUGCAUUUGACAAACUUUUCUAGGCAUCUCUGAUAUUGCACAUGUAGUUGGUAGAUUGGAAAGUAAUUGAGGAAUUUAGUGAUACAAAAUUGAAGUUCUGAUUUUGAUGAAAUAAAAUUGACAAGUGGUCAUGUCUUUGCUUUAGCUGGUUGUGCAGUAUCAUGAAAAUAUACUAGACAAAUUAUUAUUUCACAUGAAAGCAAAAUUUAUUGCUUUAAAUACUGCUACUAGUGAGGCUAAAUUUCUUAAAAAUAUAUUAUGCAAUUUGUCAUUGUUGAAUAAGCGUUUACCUCCAAUUCCAAUGCAUUGUGAUAGUCAAAUUGUUAUAUCUAAAGUGACUAGCAAAAUUUUAAUGAAAAAAGAAAACACUUAAGAGUGAGACAUAAGUCUAUAAGAAAUUUGAUUUCUCAUGAUGUCAUUUCUCUUGACUUUGUCAGGUCAAAAAAAUAAUAUUGCGGAUCCGCAUACAAAAAGGUUGACAUGUCAACAAGUAUUUGAGUCAUCGAGGGGAAUGAGAUUAAAGCUCAUUAUUUAGUUACAAUAAUGGACACCCGUCUCCGUGUGAUAGGUGAUCCCAUGAAUGGAGUUCAACGGGUAACAACGAAAUUGUUUGUUGACUAAAGUACACCAAAAUAAAAUUUGGCAGAGUUGUUCUGUUUCUCAUUCCUAUGACGAGGAGUAUUAUAAAUUGUGGCAAUAUUAAGGUUGAGGUAUUUAUAUAUGUGUAUUUUUGGUUUUAAAAAAAUACCUCUUAAUGAGUCCGAUGACAAUUAUUGUAGGGGUGGGGGUCACAACUCACUCUUUGAGGAUUCACCUAGUGAGUGGUGGUGGGGCCGCCACUGUGAGAUAUGGACUAAUCUCUAAGUGACACUCACGAAACAAGAUACAAGCACAAGGCCGUGUAACGCGCUACCACUGAUUAGAACCUAAUUGAACGCCAAUAUUGUAGGGGUUGUGUACUAAAGUCCGGUUAAAGAAUAUGUAGUUCAAGACAAUCAAGUCACUACAUUUUUCUCGGAUGGAAGUUCAUAAACACUAGGUAUAAGGCUCAAACCCGGAAGGUUCCUUAUACCGAAAUACAAUAUCACAUGCUCUUUCUCUUAUGUUUUUAUACAAAUUAUCUUUUAGAAAAUAUAUUUUAAAAUUUUAAAUUAUGUGGGGGAAUGUUGGUAAAUAUUUGUGUUUUAAUUUAAAAUUUAUAAAUAUAUAUUAAUUCUAUUUUAUAAAAUAAAAUAUUUAUUUUAGAUUUCUUAAGAUUUUGUUUUAAUGAGUCAACUAGUUUGUUAUGUUUGUUGUGACAACUGUAGGUUGGUUUUCCAACGGUCAUAUUUUGUUGUUGCAAAAUGCCUAUAUAUAUCUCUUUCCUCUUUUCUAAAAGAAGAAUACAAAGCAACAUCUGGUUUCUUUCUCCCAAAAAAUUAUCUCUUUCUUUUUCCUAUAAAAAACUUAUUUUUGUGAGAGUAAGAGCAUUGGUAUUCAGAAGGUUCGGGGAUCCUUUCGUUGCACACGAUCGGAACCAACGGGUUAUCGUAUCUUGGGAGAGGAGCGCAAUUAAAUUUUCCUGUCAGUGCAGUGGGGCGUUUUCUCUCUAAGGAUAGCGUUUACGCGCUUCAACCCAGGCUAUAUCUUUUUUCCCCUAAUUUAUUUUUUUCCUUGUACUUAUUGUAUGUUAUAAUGCAUUAUUCAUGUGCUGUCAAUUAAAUUUAUUUUGCUACUGUUAUUUUGUUAUUUAAUUCAAGACUAUGCAUCUUCUUCGUAUUUAUUUUCUUUCAUUUUUUAUUUUAUUUUUCUAACAUAUCCAAGCUCUGCCAUUUCAAAUUUCGAGGCUUGGAUAAGUGAAAUUAUAGCUUUAAGCAACCCAGACUUCACAGCAAGGGUCUUAGAAUUGAUUUGGGUAAUGUGGAAGAGAAGAACCCUUUGGGUUUUCUCAUAGAAGGAAUUGCAGCCAAGACAAGUUAUAGAUAUAACGGUCUCGUUGGCAUAACAUAAAAAAUAGAUGCAUAGCAGGCAACAAAACCAGAACAUCAGUUGGAAUCCUACCACAGGAAAUCAGACCAAGGUAAAUUUUGAUGCAUCUAUAAGAUUAGGAGUUGGUACAGGUUUGGGAGCUAUGUUCAGGGACAAUGCUUGUAACCAUUUGGCUUCAGCCUGCCUCUUUAUUACGUAUUGCUACGAUCCUCUUAUUGAAGAAGUGAUAACAUUCAGGUGGGAUAUUAAGACGUUGGGGCACAUGUGGUUUUCAAACACCACAUUUGAGACUAAUAGUUAACUUCUGCAAAUGGCAUGGAAGAAUCAUAGAAGACAAGAUUUUGUUGGUUUUUUAUAUUACCUUUGUAACCGCUCUUUUAAUGGCUAAUAAUCAUAUCUAUUAUUAGAAUAUAUGUUACAACUAUUGGAUUUCUCCCUUUUAUGAUAAUUUGAUGUAAUGUUUGCCUAUAAAAGGCCUCAUAUUAUUCAGAAUAAAAUUAUCCACUCUUCAUAUCUCUACUUUCUCUUUAUUCUACAGUGGUAUCAAGAGCUAGGUUAAGAGAAAGGCAGCAGUCCAAGGGAAUGAGAGUAGUCCAAAAGUGUGAGAAAAAAAAGGGAGAGAAAGAGAGAAGAAAAUAAUUGUCCCACCAAUGUCUUUUGAAAAUUUUGUUCAACCGACCAUUCCACGUUUUGAUGGUCAUUAUGAUCAUUGGAGCAUGUUGAUGGAGAAUCUCUAGCGAUCCAAAGAGUUCUGGCAGGUUGUUGCAGAUGGUGUGGCAACACCAAGUGAUGACGUAGCUCUUAUAGAGGCACAACAAAAAGAGUAUGAGUGAUGAAAUUGAAAGACUUAAAAGCCAAAAAUUAUUUGUUUCAAGCCAUUGAUCGUUCUAUCCUUGAAACUAUUCUUUGGGAUUCAAUGAAGAAAAAAUAUCAAGGCUCCUCACGAGUGAAACGUGCUCAACUUCAAGCAUUGAGAAGAGACUUUGAAGUCCUUCAAAUGAAAAAAGGUGAGUCAGUAACUGAUUAUUUUUCAAGAACCAUGGGUAUGCUAACAACAUGCGAUUUCAUGGUGAGGAAAUGACUGACACAACCAUUGUAGAAAAAAUUCUAUGCUCAUUAACACCAAAAUUUGAUUAUGUUGUAUGCUCAAUUGAAGAGUCAAAUGAUAUUAAUGAUCUUUCUCUUGAUGAGCUUCAAAGUUCUUUAUUAGUGCAUGAACAAAAGAUCAACAAAAAAUCAACAAUGGAGAAGCACGCAUUAAAGGCUUCUACCAAUAGUACUCAUUCCAACAACUCUAGAGGAAGGGGUAGAGGUAGAGGUAGAGGAAGAGGGAGUGGAGAACGAGGAAAUAGAGAUUUCAACAAUAAUUUUAAAGACAAUAAUGAUCAAUCUCAAGGCAAUGGUAGAGGAAGAGAUCAUUAUAAAUCAAAGGUACAAUGUUAUAGAUGUCAUAAAUUUGGUCAUUAUGCCUCUAAUUGUUAUACAAGAUUGCCUAAUCUUAAGGAAAAGGGGAAAGCUCAAAUUUUAUCAAGGAGAAAGAAGUGGAAACCUUAUUAAUGGCUGUUGAAGAUGCAAAAGACAGUGAGGUAGAAAUCUGGUAUGUAGACACUGGUUGUAGUAAUCACAUGAGUGGAAGUAAGUCCUCUUUCUCAUAUUUAAAUAAAGAUUUUCAUUCCACUGUUAACUUUGGUGAUUGUUCUAUCAUAAAAGUGAUGGGAAAAGGUGAUAUUAAGAUGAAAACCAAGAAUGGUUUUGUAGAAACAAUUUCUAAUGUGCUCUAUGUCCCUAACUUGAAAAACAACUUGUUAAGUGCUGGUCAAUUGCAAGAAAAAGGUUAUGAUAUUUUUAUUAGCAAAGGUACUUGUGAAAUUUUUGAUCCUGUUCGAGUUGCCAUUGCAGUUAUAAAAAAGAAUUCAAACAGGUUAUUCCCACUAAAAAUUGAAGGCAUUCUAGUUUAAUGGCCAAAGAUAUUGUUUCUACUUGGUUGUGGCAUUAUCGUUAUGGUCAUUUGAGUUUUAGUGGAUUGAAUACCCUUGAACAAAAAAACAUGGUGAUAGGCCUUCCUCAAAUUACUGGUCCCUCUCAAGUUUGAGAAGAAUGUGUUGUUAGAAAACAACAUCGUUCUCAAUUCCCCAAUGGAAAGUCAUGGAGAGCAAAAUGUGUUUUGGAAUUGAUUCAUUCAGAUAUAUGUGGUCCAAUAAAUCAUUCUUCCAAUGGAGGUAAAAAAUACUUCAUUACUUUCACAGAUGAUUUAUCUAGAAAAACUUGGAUCUAUUUUUGGCAGGAAAAAUCUGAAGCUCUCUCUUCAUUUAAAAGCUUUAACGCUCGAGUUGAAACAGAAUCCAAAAAGACUAUUAAGUCUCUUCGAACAGACCGUGGUGGAGAGUAUUGCUCAGAUGAAUUUUCUACUUUCUGUGUAAAUCAUGUUAUCCGGAAGGAGUUGACCACAGCAUAUACACCACAACAAAAUGGUGUCUCAAAGAGGAAAAAUAGAGUCAUUCUCAACAUGGUACGAUACCUCUUGACUAAGAGUAACAUUUCAAAAGAAUUUUGGCCUGAAGCUGUUAAUUGGAGCAUACACAUUCUAAAUAGAAGUCCUACAUUUUCUAUGAAAAAUAUGACACUAGAAGAGGCAUGGAGCGAAAGAAAACCAAUAGUGGACCACUUAAGGAUAUUUGGAUGCAUUGCUUAUGCCCAUAAUCCAGAUAAGAAAAGAUAAAACCUUGAUUAUAAAGGUGAAAAAUGUAUCUUUCUUGGUGUUAGUGAUCAGUCACAAGCAUAUAAAUUGUAUAAUCCUACCACUAAAAAGAUCAUUAUUAGUUGUGAUGUUGUUUUUGAUGAAGAAAUAUUUUUUGAAAAUAACAUAGAUGAAACAAAGCAAAUUCUUGCAAACUUUGAUGAAGAUAAUGAAGAUGAAGAGUUGCAGACAAGGGAGCUAGAAGAACAACAAAUUCCAGCAAUCACAGUUGAAGAUGAAAGACCUCAACGAGCAAGAAGAAGGCCUGCAUGGAUGUCUGAUUAUGAAGUAACAGAAAUUGAAGAUCCGAUUACUCAUUUUGCUUUGUUUUCAGAUUGUGACCCUACGACCUUUGAAAGUGUUGUCAAAGAAGAAAAAUGGAGAAAAGCGAUGGAUGAUGAAAUUGAUUCCAUUGAAAGAAAUAAUACUUGGGAGUUGUGUGAUCUUCCAAAUGGACAUAAUACCAUAGGAGUGAAAUGGGUUUUCAAAACAAAAUUGAAAAGAAAUGGUGAAGUGGAUAAAUAUAAGGCAUGCUUGGUGGCCAAGGGUUACAAGCAACAGUAUGGGGUUGAUUACACGAAAGUGUUUUCACCAGUUGGAAGACAUGAUACAAUCAGGUUAGUAGUUGCACUAGCAGCACAAAAUGUGUGGCCUAUAUUUCAACUUGAUGUAAAGUCAGCAUUCUUACAUGGUUAUUUGGAGGAACAAGUAUUUAUUGAUCAACCCCCUGCUUAUGUGAAAAUUGGAAAUGAGCACAAAGUUUACAAAUUAAAAAAGGCUCUUUAUGGACUAAAACAAGCCCCUCGAGCUUGCUAUAGUCGCAUUGAGUCUUAUUUCAUAAAAGUUGGUUUUACAAAAUGCCCCUAUGAGCAUUCAUUGUUUAUUAAAUUUGAUGAAAAAGGAAAAAUGCUCAUAGUAUGCUUAUAUGUUGAUGAUCUUAUAUUUACUGGAUGUUGUUCUCUCAUGUUUGAUGAAUUCAAGAAGUUUAUGAUGAAUGAGUUUGAAAUGACUGAUUUUGGCAUGAUGCAUUACUUUCUGGGUAUAGAAAUAGUGCAAUCAGAUGUUGGAAUUUUUCUUUCUCAAAAGAAAUAUGUGAGAGAUAUUUUGGACAGAUUUCAUAUGCAUGAUUGCAAUUCUGUAAACACUCCAGUUGAGUGUGGUUUGAAGUUUCACAAAGAUCCUAAAGGAAAGAAAAUAAACAGUACACUUUAUAAACAGAUUGUGGAAAGCUUAAUGUAUCUAACCGCAACUAGGCCUGAUAUAAUGUAUUCUAUAAAUUUGAUUAUCAGGUACAUGGAGAAUCCUACAAAAAUCUAUUUGCUUGUUGCUAAAAGAAUCCUUCGCUACUUGCAAGGAACAAGAGAAUUUGAGUUGUUUUAUAAAAGAGGUGAAAAGUUUAAUCUAUUGGGAUUCACUGAUAGUGAUUAUGCUGAAGAUUCAGAUGAUAGAAAAAGUACUUUUGGAUAUGUUUUUAUGAUGGCGUCAACAACGAUCUGUUUGUCAUCACGGAAGCAACCUAUUAUCACUAUCCACAACAGAAGCAGAAUUUGUAGCAACCUCAACAUGUGCUUGCCAAGAAAUUUGGCUAAGGAAUAUUCUUGAAGAAGUUCACUUCAAGCAACAAGGUCCAACUCUCAUCUAUUGUGAUAAUAGUUCCACCAUAAAGUUGUCAAAGAAUCCUAUUAUGCAUGGAAGAAGCAAGCACAUAGAUGUGAGAUUUCAUUUUUUAAGGGACCUAUCAAAUGAAGGAAUUAUUGAUCUUAUCUACUGCAAGAGUGAAGAGCAAAUUGUUGACAUCAUGACCAAACCAUUGAAGUUGUCUGCAUUUCAGAAGCUAAGGAAUUUGCUUGGAGUCUGCAUGCUUAAUGAAUCUCAUUAAACUGAUAGUUUGCAAACUUUCAGUUUAAGGGAGGGUUUGUUGGCUUUUUAUAUUCUAUAACCUUUGUAAUCACUCUUUUAAUGGCUAAUAAUCAUAUUUAUUAUUAGAAUAUAUGUUACAACUGUUGGGUUUCUCUCUUUUAUGACAAUUUGAUAUAAUGUUUGCCUAUAAAAGGCCUCAUAUUAUUCGGAAUAAAAUUAUCCACUCUUCAUAUCUCUACUUUCUCUUUAUUCUACAGAUUUGUCUUACCAGGCAGAAAUUCUAAAGGAUUGUGAAGCUCUUACGAACAGAAGGAGAAAUAUUCCUUUAGUUUCACAAAGAGAAAAGGGAAUUUAGUGACUGAUAAAUUAGCUAUGUUAGCUUUUAAUUUUCUUGAAAUGUACUGGCUCGAGGACGCUCCUCACCAGAUUUUGGCUCUUUUAGAAUCAGAUGUUAUUGCCUUUGGCAACCUUGCUUUAGUUCAAUAAUAGGAAAUAUUUAUUUAACCUAAAUUUUUUUUAUAUUGUUUUAUAAACACUAAAUUGCCAUAAUUAGUCUUACUCUGCUAAUCUGCCAUGUAUAUUAACUCUCUUUCCAUCUUCUAAAUAUUUCCCUUUCUAUAAAAUGCUUUAAACAUGACCUCUGAAUAAUAAAAGUAACGAGGAAAAAAAAAUUAGAAAUGACGGUUGAUUAAUUUGGUUGAUAGCCAAUUUAAAAUUUGUACAAUUACGGUACUAGCUCGUACAUAAACAUUUGAAGUAUUAAAAAAUGUUGAGUGUUAGAUAAAGAAAUGUGAGAAGGCAGAAGUGUUUCAUUACCUGGAAUUUAGGACUACAAUCCCUGAGAUACUAGCAGCCUCACGAAGUGCCUCUGCCCAACGUUUCACGAGGAUGUUUAUCUCUUUAUCAACAAUCUUCACUUUUCCCCUUCAUAGAUGUUAUUUUUUAAGAGACAAUUAAAACGAUUAAAGAAUAACAAAUGGAUAAUUCAUACAAAGUUGCUUUAUACAGUGGCCUAUCUAAAUCGGCUAUAGCAGGUUAUAGCAAACAAAUAAAUCCGUUGAACCAGUAACCAACUAAUAUAUGUGUAAUAUCCCCCCUCGUCCCGUGGGUUGGAAAAUAGCAAUCAAUCCCAGCUUGAAAACAAAUUUCUGAAAAUGCUUGGGAUGUAAACUUUUGGUGUAGAGGUCUUCAGUUUGGUCAGUGGUGUAUAAGGGUAGCAGUGGCAUUAAUCCAGCCAUACAUUUCUCACGGAUAACAUGAAAAUAAUCUCGAGAUGCUUGGUCCUCUCUUGAAAAAUGGGUUUGGUUGUGAUGUGCAAGGCACUUUGGUUAUUGCAUCAGAUCACUGACUGUUUCAAAAAGUGAUGGAGAGAUCUUGAAGAAGAAAAAGCAACAAUUGCAGCUCACAAGUAGCUGAGCUAAGGCUCAAUAUUGUGCCUCGGAUGAGGACUUUGCCACUGUUGGCUGCUUCUUGGAUUUCCAACAAACCAAUGACCGAGUCUCCCAAAAAGAAACAAUAACCAAUAUAGAACAAAUAGUAUCGAGACAUUCACCCCAAUCUGUGUGUGUCACUGAAAUCAGGGAGUUGUAUUAUAGAUGACAAGGGAAAUUAAGAAAAGUCCUUUCGCUGGGAUUCCCUUUCAAAUACCAAAGUACGCUUGGGCUGCUUGAUAAUGACUCACUGUUGGGAGGGCUGAAAAUUGACUAAGUUGUUGGUCAGCAUGGGAUAUAUCUGGGCGUGUGAAAGUCAGGUAUAGGAGGCGACAUUUUGGCGAAGUCUCAAGGUAGGUUCAGAAGGGGUGCUUUCAGGUUUGGCACUGAGAACACCAGCAUCAAUUAAGAGAUCGAGACAAUAUUGGCCUUGGCAUAAAGAGACACCUCUUGGUGAGUGAGAAACUUCAAAACCAAGAAGGAACUUAAGAAUGCCCAAAUUGAUUAUCUAAAACCUGCUUGAACGAAGUUAUAUCCAUAGAGUUUCUAACAAUGACUAUGUCAUCUACAUACACGAGUAGUAAGGGAAUCAAGUGUGUGAUGGAUAAAAAAUGAGUGAUCAACUAUAGAAUGUUGAAAUCCAAGUUGGAGAAGCAAGAAAUUCAACUUCUCAUACCAUUUGCAGCUAGCUAGUUUAAGUCCAUAGUGUUCUUAACAAGCUUGCAAACCUCUUAUUCUUUCCUGACACUUGAGGCACUUGCACAUACACAUCUUCUUUUAGAUCCCCAUGGAGAAAUGCGUUAUUGACAUCCAAUUGGUGAAUGAACCAGUUGUUGAUAGAUGCCAAAGCCAAAAGGUCAAACUCGGAUUAUGGUUAACUUUGCCAUUGGAGAGAAAGUAUUAAAGUAAUCACACCCUUAAUUUGGUUGUAAUUAACCUUUGGCCACCAACCGAGCCUUUAACCUAGCUCUCAAUAGAUCCAUCCGUUUUCCUCUUAAUUUUGUACAUCCGUUGGCAGUCAAUGGGCACAACAUUGGCAGGGAUGGAUCCAGGAAUGCAUUAAAGGGGGUGGGGGUUCAAUUUUUUUUACAUAAUUAUUUAACUUUUAAUAAAUAAUUAACUAAUAAAUAAAAGGCUUAAAUAUGUUUUUGGUCCCUGAUAAAUACCCUUUUUUCAUUUGGUCCUUAAUAAAUUUUUCCUUUGGAUCAAGUCCUUAAUAUUUGAAAAAUUUUGUUUCAAGUCCUUACCGUUAGUCCGAAAUCGUUAUCUGCAUAUGUGGUCGUUAACCGACCACGCAAGCAUGUCAUGCAUGGAAUCAUGUGUGAUUUUUGUCUGAUUGGGAUUACAUGUGGAAAAAAAAGUAAAAAAACAACAUCAUUUUGCAUGUUAUACAAUUUUCUUUUUUUUCUUUCUUUUCCCAAUCUGCUACCCCUAUCUCUGUUGAGCCUAAACCCUAAUAUGCUCCUACUCAUCGCCACCCUUUUGGUCCUCUUCACCUUCACAAUCGCUUCUACCAUCACAAUCGCCACUAGCCACAAAAACUUUCACCAUGACACAACCACCACCACAAUAGUAUGCAAACACCCCAAACCCCAACAACUUCCAAUAUCAACCAGAGCGACAAUCUGCAAAUAUUCCGUUCAAAAUGCUUGCUUCUAAUUCACAACUUUCAUUUGACUAAAUCUCAACCAUCUAUCAACAAUCUUCAAAAUCAAUAAAUUUCGUAUGUCUCAAAUGGAUGUUCAAUUCCAAUGACCACUCACUAAAUUGCAACAAGCAAUGAAAAAAUUGGGUAAAUAAUUUGUGAAUGGGAAUAAAAUUCAGAAACUCAACCCAACAAGGGGGAGGGUGGAGGUAGCGCAACAGUUCACAGAUCUGGUUUAUUGUAGUCGCACGCAUGCCCUGAGGUUAUAGGGUGGGUCACACACGUAUUCAGGCGAGGGAUAGAGAGCGACACAGGGUGUUGGGAGCAGAGUUUGUGCACGACACAGAGGUAUUGGUUGGAUUGUGCAAGUCUAGAUAGAGAGAACAUCGCACGUAUUUGGUCUCGGAUCCUGAUUCAGUAUCAGAAUCUUUCUCGCAAGUUCCUCCUAGCAUCAAAGAUCAUAAUCCAGGAAAGUACCAAACUGUUGUUGCAUCUUUCCCAUGUUUUGUAAAUCUAUCGGAUCACACCGACCAGGUUUUCCGAUGCUUCCAUCAACAAAUUUCUUCUUGUUCUUUGUAAUCAACGCUUACUGCAUCGCUUGAGCCCAUUUGUGGUGAUUCGUACCAAUCAAUGGAGAAGAAACGAUUGAUGUUGUGGGAUUUUCAUUUGGAUUGGCAUAGAAAAGGCUCAUAGGAUCUUGUACAGGAUUCAGAGUAGAAGGGGGAUUAUUCACAUUCAGAUUGUUGCAAGAAGGCAUUUUGGAAGAUUAUGCACCACAGAGUUCAAAAAGGAGCUCUGACAGUGAUAGUGUGAUACCAUGAAACGAUUCAAGAAUAAGAAAUGGCUAAUUCUUUUAUUGAUCAACACAGCAAAGUGGAUACAAUUGCUUUGUAUAAUAGGUUUAUAGGUUAUAACAAACAAAUAAACCCAUGAACCAGUAACAAACUAAUAUAUAUGUAAUAACGAUGUUUGGUAAAAAUACAGAGAAAGCGUAAAGCGUUUCAAUUAAGUUGGAUUUAGGACUACAAACCUCAAGAUGCUAGCAGCCUUAUGAAGUGCUUCCUUCCAAUGAAUUAGAAGGACCUCAAAAUCUUUUCUGAUCUCCUCUUCAACACUUGAUACAUGUUAUGAAUUUCAUAAGCGUGAUUUCUAGAGACAUAGUUCAGUAAGAAAUGAAAGCAGAAAGUUUCUAAAUUACAUGGAAUUUAAGACUACACCCCCUGAGAUGCCAGGAACCUCACAAUGUGCCUCCCUCCAAUGCUUCACGAGGAGGUUUAUCUCAUAGGCAAGCUUCAUUUCCCCUCUUCAUACAUGAUAUGAAUUUCAUAAAUGUUAGUUUUAGAAACAAUGUUCGGUAAAAGCCUAAAGGCUUAUAUAUGUUUUUGAUCCCUAAUAAAUAUCAAAUUUUUGUCUUUCCUCCCUACUAAAUUUUUACUUAACAUUGAGCCCCUAAUAAAACGACACUUUUGUUUUUUGUUCUUGAUAUUUUGUUUUAAUCCCUGAUAAAUUAGCGAAUUGUGUUUGCUCCCUAAUUAAUUAGCAAAUUUUGUUUUAAUCCCGACUAAUAUCAAAUAGAAAAAAUUUAUCAAAGACCAAAUACAAAAUUCACUAAUUUAUCAGGGACUUAAAAUUAAGUAUCAAGAACCAAAAAUAAAAUAGUUGUUUAAUAAGGAAUUAACGCAAAACAGAAAAUUUAUUAGGAAUCAAACACGAAAUUUAAAUAUUUAUUAUGAAUAAAAAACAUAUUAAGCUAAAUCUAAAAACAGAAAUUGUCUCAAUUACUUGGAAUUUAGGUGUGCACCCCCCGAGAUGCCAACCGCCUCGCAAAUUGCCUCACUCCAAUGCUCCACAAGCAGUUCUAUUUUAAAACCGAUCUCAAAUUCUCUACUUGAUACACGUUAUGAAUUUCAUAUAAGUUAGUAUUUUCAGAGACCAUUCAGUAAAAAUCUUAAAGUUGGAAGUGUCUCAACUACCUGGAAUAUAAGUAUGCACCAUCUGAGAAACUAACAGCCUCACAAAGUGCCUCACACAGUGUUUCCCUCCAAUGCUUCACUAGGAGAUCUAUUAACUUUUCAGCAAUCAACAUUCCUCUCCUUCAUACAUGUUAUGAAUUUCACAAAUGUUAUUUUUAGGUAUGGUUUAAUUACUUAUUUUGUCUUUAUAGAUGCAAAAACUUUACAUUUUAGUCUCUACUUGAAAUCAUCUCAUUUUAGUCCUUACACAUGUAAUUUUUAAUCCUUUGACAAAGACUAAAAUGGAUUAAAAAUGGUAUGUACAACGACUAGAAUGUGAUAUUUUUAAGUAUAAAAGCUAAAAGGUAACGUUUUUAUAACUAUACACACCAAAUGAGGACCAACUGAGGAAUUAAAUCUUGAGACAAUGUUCAGUAAAAAAUAUGAGUCUAAAUACCACGGGAUGCGAGUGGCAACACAAAGUCCGUCCUUCCAACGCUCCACAAACUUGUCUAUUUUAUUAGCAAUGUCCCUUUUUCUACGUCUUACAUGUCAUGAAUUUCAUAAAUGUUAUUUUCAGAGAGAAUGUUCAAUAAAAAUCUGAAAGCAUAAAGUGUCUCAAUUACCCCAAGAUGCCAGCAGCCUCACAAAGUGUCUCCCUCCAAUGCUCCACGAGGAGAUCUAUCUUAUCCAAAAUCUCACUUUGACCACUUCAUACAUGUACAUGUUAUGAAUUUCAUAAACUAAAAUUCCAGAGACAAUGUUCAGUAAAAAUACGAGAAAGCUGGAAGUGUUUUUAUUACAGAAAGCCCUGAGAUGCCAGCGGCCUCAGCAAGCGUCUUCCACCAUCGUUGUAGCUUUUCCUCUUCCUUUUCCUCUACCACUUUUAAAAGUCUGUUCUCAAGGUUUCGAAAUGCUUUUCCAAAGUGGCCUGUUUGAUGACGUACUUCAGAGGGAUCUACAUCAUAGAACACUGGCACUACCACUUGCCCUGUUGUUCUGUGACACUCCAUUAUUUUCUCCAACUCUUUCAAACACCACCGCGACUCUGCAUAGUUUCUAGAGAAAAUAACAACAGAAAGUCUAGACUCUUCAAUUGCUAACCGCAGCGAGGGUGAAAUUUUAUUUCCCCUUGGAAGUGUCUCAUCAUCCUUGAAAACAAAGAUUCCCAAGUUGUGAAGAGCCGUAUAGAGAUGUGAAGUGAAAGAAGCACGCGUGUCUUCCCCUCUGAAACUCAAAAACACAUCAUAGUUUAUGUUGUCCUCCUUGUACCGAUCACGCAGAAAGUCCAUCUCGUCAUCAUCAUGGAGAUCGUAGUCAUAACUAGAGGAAGAAGACAUGGAAGAGAUGAAAGGAUAUUAUUGUCUAAGAAGAAUAAUGGAGCUUCAGACAAAUGUUAUGCGGCAUAAAUAACCAUUCUUUUCUUUUCGGAUUCCCAUGGAGAUCCCCUGGAUGGAAAUUCAGUCAAGAAACCAUGGAGAUUGUUGUUCCAAGAUAUGUCAAUAACCGACAAUGUUCCAAUGUUGAAGAUCUUAUGUGGAAAUGUUCCAGUCAACCCGCAAUUAUUAAGACUAAGGAUGGUGAGAUUUUUGUAAUGGGAAAAUGUUUCGGGCACUGGGAUGAUAAUUUGUUCCAAUCAAGAACAAUGAUUGAUAUAUUAUCAACUCUUUUCAAGGAAGGAUCCAAGGGUCAUGAGAGACCGCACCAUGACAUGCUCAAUUCUUACAGGUUAAGCAGUGGCAUCAGCACACUACACCAUUAAUCUAGAUACAGUUGCCUAAUACUGGUGAGAUUCUGGCCAGAAAAGGGUCUAGUUCAACAUGGGUUUUCACCAGGAGACCCAAAAACUUGAGAUUAAAAACUUUCAGCUUCUUAGGAUGGAAGUGAUGAGACAAGCUACAUUUUCAUUGUAUAGAUAAUUACUAUUGUGACAACUGCAAUUACAAGUACAAGUUUAAAUGGUAGGAAAACUAAAAUAAAAAUGGUUGUUUUUUGAAAGAUAUAGUUAACAACACUCAAUUUAUAAGAAAAAAGUCUUUCUUCAAUGUUGGCUUUCACCACUCGGCGUUGGAAACGUAGAAGUUUUACUUUUAUGCUUUCUUAGUUAUUUCACUUAUUUGGUGUAAUUAUAUUUUACUGCUAUUAACUUUUUAUUUUUGUUAGCUGUUUUAUUCUUGUAAACAAAUUUAUGUGCUUAAUAUCAUUUAAAUUUUAUGUAGAGAAAAAAAUGCAUGUUAUGAUGACAAAUACUUUUGCCAAUGAAUUAAAUAUCGUUUUCCGUCUUGAGUUUAGCUUUUUUGCUUUGAGCUUUUGUCUUUAAUUUGGCUGUCAUUGUUCUUUUUUAAGGGUGUUUUUUCUUUUUUCUUUUUCGAGUUACCAUUGUUAGAAUUGUUUCAGAAUCAUGUAUUAGAUGGAAUUGUUUUAAUCAAGGGACAUAAAAGUCAGUAAAACAUAACAGUGCACAAUUAUAAUACCAAGGUGAUUUAGUCUUUGCACUUUUAACAGAGGUCGUAAAGGUAGCUCAGGAAAGAUUCAUAUGUUUUUUUUUUUUUUUCAUGAAACCGUUUGCUAGAAAAUUCCAUUUUAUUGUGCAGUUGCUAUGAAUAGACAGCCAGAGAAGACAGCUUGGGAAUGGUGACUAAUAAGAAGUUAGUUCAUUACUACAAAAAUGAUAUUCUACGGUUUACGAUAAUUUCAUAAAAAUCAAUGUCAUUUAAAAUAUGGUGAUAUUUUUUUGUAAAUAAUUAAGACACAGAUGAUGAAGACCAUUUUGCGAUGACGGCACCACCAUGGACACCAACGAUGCCGUGAUGGCCAGAACCCAAAUUUCUCGAAGAGGAUUAAGGAUUGGAUGUCAAUGGUUAUGGUAAUGGUUUUGAUCUCCACAGGGGGACACCAGGAGGAGGACAACGACAACGGUUAAGACACAAAUAACGAAGACCAUUUUUGCUCAUCAUAUCUUCCACGGUUUGGUCUUUCUUUUUUUGUUGCCUUUUUUGGUUGUUUUAUUAUGCUUUGUUUUGUUUUUCCCCUUUUUUCUUUAUCGCAUAAUUCCUCCAUUUUUUCAGUUACCUACAUUGACUCAGUUUUGAACCCUGAACUCAAUUGCCAUCAACAGCUGUUUUCCGCCACUUCAACCUUCUCCGCCCACUUUAGGUACCUAUAUGUGUGAUUUACGGUUUUAUUCAAAGUUUAUUUUCUGUAUUUUUUACUUGAAUGACAUUAAUCUUUUUCGUUUCGUGCAUUUGAAAAUAUUCAGAUUACUUAUGCAAAGCUAUUAGAAUUCUCAGAUUCGUAUUUCAGAUUCUUAAAUUAUUUAGUUGUUAAUUUAGUUUACAUAAUUAACAAAGGGAGAAACAUUGUUUAUGCCCUGGCUGGCAUAUGCUGCAGGAUUUUAGCGCUAAUUAGGACUGCUAUUAGGGUUUCUAUGUGGUGACUUGGUUUCUUGUUCGUGUGUUUUGAAAAUGUCCUCUCGUGUUUUUUUAUCAGAAUCAUUGUGUCCAGCAGAAAAAGUAGUUCUAUAAUUACUUUGUUUAAAUAAAUUUUUCAAACGUGUUUAACACAUUACACUACAAUUUAACACUUCAGGUCCGCAUAAACAAUUUUCUCAAGGUAAACAUCAGUCGAGUUAUUAUAUAAUUCAUAACUCACAACACAAGUAAUAUCACAUCAAAUAUUAAUCACACACUUAUUCACAAUCACAUCCUAUGUCCACAAUUUAACAUCUCACAGAUUAAUUAUCUAUAAAAUAUACUUAACAAAACUAUAUUUCUUGCAGCUUAAAGAGCUAAAUAACAACAAUUAUGAGGUUAUAUUGGUGACUAGCUUCUACAAGGAUUGAGGUCUGUGCCAUUGACUUGAAUAAUCAUGUUAAUGUAUCAUUUGAGCAAAUAAUUAUAACUUCUUGAAUUUGGAAAUGCAGGGUUUGUGAGCUUUCCUACCCAGAGCCGAGCUUAUCAAAAGAGUAAAUAACUUUUUUGAGUUGAAAGAAAAUGUGAGCUCCAGCCCUAUAAUUUUCCUCCAACAAAAAAGGUAUAUACACAAUACAAUCUUAUUUUGGGACAGCUAAUUUACUUAUAUGCUUCCAUUGGAUUUUGGUACUCUAUUAUUGUAUGAUAUACUAUUGAGUGGAUUAGCAUAUCACAAUAUUUAUAGAUUAAUUGAUGUGGAUGGCGUUAUUAGGCUCAAUUAAAAUCUUCUGUAGAUUCGAUUUCCUUGAAUGUGAUUGGCAGAAGCCUCUAUGAGCUAUCCUGAUAAUUCACUGUUGGUUUUCAACUGAAGCAAUUAUCUUUUCAAGCUUUAGGCAUAUCUGAGCCUUAAGAAAGUAGCCAGAGAUUUCAAUAACUAAUUAAAUAGAAAACUUAGUUUUGACAUGUAUUCAAAAUAUAUUCCCUAAUACUUCAUUAAGAUCACAAUGUUUUUCCACAAACUUAAUUUAUUUUAUUUUAUGUUUUCUUAAAUGUAUAGAUUCAUGUAGUGCAUCUACUUGACUAUUUGGUAAGUCAUAACGUUAUUUAACAUAUUCAUGUAGGUGCAAUUCUUAUUUCCAAGGAAAUAAUUCCAUCUUAGGGUAUCACUUAGAUGCUUGAAUGCUUCCAAUUUCCCUUCUUUAAUGUUGAAAAUUGUGAAGAAAAGAAAUGUUAAUGCAAGUUUAUCCUAUUUAUGGCUUACAGAAAACAUAGAAACCAAACUAGAUAAUUCAUGUACAACAACAUGAGUGCUUUUUUAGGUAAAACAUACUUAGUAGAUUGCCACUUUGUUUCCUGUUCACUUUUAUAUUUUCCUCAUUUUCUGUAGUAACAGUAUUUACCACUGUUGAAUUGAGUGGAGUACUAUCAUUAAAGAAUUAAAUUGAAUGUUUAAGUGUUUUUCAUUUUUCUUUGCCAACAUAUUCUGUCAUUACCUUGUGGUUGUAUUAUGAAACUUGCUUAUUGAACUCUAGAUGUCAUUUAUUGCCUUAAUAAAUAAGUCGCCAUAUCAGUUUUCUGAUUACAAAGAAGAAAUAUACCUUAAAUUCUUAUGACCAAAAAGAAAAAGGGGGGAAAGGACUAAACAAGUAUGUUUUUCCUGUUUAUCUGCAGGAAGUUGGGGAUCACUCAUUUGAAAGGAAACCAUGUCUUGGUGGACCACUGUUAAAGGAAAAUAUCGCAACCACGAUACUUGAGAGAUCAAGGUCAAAUUCUAUUUAUUCUUAUUCUAAAACCAAAAACAAUUCCUUCUAUGGACAAAGACGUCCAAUGCUGAAGUUUGGGGCAAAACUUUUGUGUGUUAAUGACUUGCUUCUAUUAGGAAGAGCAACCAUUGAAAAGUAUUUAUCCAUAUAAUGAAAAUAUCUAGUGUAUAAUGUAAAUAUUUACUUAGAUAAUUUAAAUAUUAAUAAGAUACUUUUAAUUCUUCAUAUUUCAUUUAUUUAUUUUGUGACAGUUUAUUAUUAAUGGUGUACUUACUUUUUUCUAAUAAAUUAAAAUUUAAUUUGUAUAUAUUUAUAACCUUUUAAUUAUAUUUAAAUAAAAAUGAAAUAAUUUUAGGUCAUUGAGAUCAUGUCUAUAGACAAACCAUUGAGUUCUAAAUCCUUCUAUAGUUCCUUAUCAUGUUGAUUUUUAAUUUUUGGUCAUUAAGAUUUUAAGGAUAAAUUCUUUGGACUUAUUGUACUACUGUUGGUUGUUGUUUCAAUUUUUAGUUUUAUGCAUCUAAUGUAUAUUUGCCUUUUUUUUUUUUUUGGCUAUAUUCUCUCUGUCAUGAAGUUUGUAACAUGAAAAAAAUAAAAAAAUAAAUCUUUAUGUUCGUUGGUAUUUGUCAAUUUCUAGUGCCUUAAAAUUAUUCACCGUCUCAAGCUAAUGAUUAAUUGGAAGUAUGCAUUUGUUUGCAUGAAAAAAAAAUAAUAAAAAAUAUUUAUUUUUUUAAAAAUAUAUUGUAUGACAAUUCUCUAAAAAAAUCGUUUUAUUUUUAAGAUGAUUUUUUAUAAAAAAAAAAAAAGUCUUAAAAUCCUUAAUAUUUUAAUUUUUUAAAAAAAUAUUCUAAGAUUGUGAUCUAAAAAACUAUCAUAUAAAUUUUAUUUUCUUAAACAAUUUUUGAAAAAAUCUUUUUAGAAUCUUCAAUUUUUUUAUUUUUUAAAAAAAAUAUUUUAAGAUGUUUUUACAUAAAUUAAUAUAAAAAUCAAAUUUUUAAGAUAAUUUUAAAAUAGUCGUAAAAAAUUAAUAUUUUUUAUGACGACAAUUUCAAAGAUGAUUGAAAAUCAUCAUAAAAAAUAUAAAAUUGGAAAUUAAAGUAAGCUAAAGGAGAAUGCAUUAUUUUACUUUUUCUAAUUAAUGGAAUGCUUUCCUUUUGUUUUCUAAUGGCCUUGCAAUGUGAAUCGGAAUGAAAAGAACUCAUUUCGUAGUAAUGAUUAUAGUGGAAAUUAAAGUAAGCUAAAGAAAGAAUGAUGCAUUAUUUUACUUUUUCUAAUUAAUGGAAUGCUUUCUUUUGUUUUCUAAUGAUCAUGCAAUGGGAAUCGGAAUGAAAAGAACUCAUUUCGUAGUAAUGAUUAUAGUGGAAAUUAAAGUAAGCUAAAGGAGAAUGCAUUAUUUUACCUUUUCUAAUUAAUGAAAUGCUUUCCUUUUGUUUUCUAAUGGUCUUGCAAUGGUAAUAGGAAUGAAAAUAACUCAUUUCGUUUUCUUUUGACCCAAGAAUAUAAAAGCCUCCUUAUAAUUAGCAAGUGGGGGGUGGAAGAACUAAAAAGUUUUUAGGAACUUAGGAAGAAGUGUCCUUUGAUUUUGGCAAUGCAUGAGAAAUGCCAUGUACAGUAGUUUUGUUUAGGUUAUCAUGUUAUAUUAUAAGUGUGUAAUAUUUAUUGAUUUAAUAAAUGAUUAGUUUUUAUUAGAAAUGUAACUAAUUAUUUUAGUGAUAUCUUCUCUUUUAAUGAUAUUUUAUUUGUUUAUAAUAAUAGAGUUUGAAAUCUUGCUUAAACAAUUCAUCUUACUCACACAAAUGACUUAUAAGAAUAAAAAUAAAAAUAAUGAAAGUGGGAAAGAGAAAAAAAAAAGAGAUAUAAUAUGAAAGGAAAAAACGUAGAAAGAGUAUAUAUAUAUAUAUAUAUAUAUAUAUAUAUAUAUAUAUAUAUAUAUAUAUAUAUAUAUAUAUAAAAUAUAAAAGAGGUCCCAUUUAAAUGAUUUAUUUAUUUAAUAAAUUAAUCAAUUUUUAAAUCAUAUUGAAUCUAUACAAUAAUUUUUUUUAUUUCUAAACUAUUUAAUAAAGAAUAACGUUCAAUGAUUAUACACAAAUUGUGUAAAUAUGACUAAAUCAAAGAAUAACUAUUUUUAGUCAAACAAUUUAUCAAUCACAUAUAUUCACAAUUAAAUUACUAUCCAAAUUAAUGAUUUUUUAUAAGUAAUUUCUUCAUCAUAUAUUUUGUGAUUUCCUUAAUUAAUUUCCGCUUGCAAUACCACAUUUAUUACCUCAAGUUUAUUAUUAUUAUUAUUAUUAUUAUUAUUAUCAUUAUUAUUAUUAUUAUUAUCUCUGCAUGAAAUGUGAUCACUCCACCAACAAUUAGGAUAUGUGUUGUGAUUUCAUUGUGCCUUUCAUAUUAUUUUUAAAAAUGAUCGAAUGCCUUGUUCACUUUUGAGUUAUGUUUUCUAUUAUAAUUAUGUCUCAUAUAAAAGUUUGGUUUAAAUAGUACUCUUUUUUUUAUUUAUCCUUUUUAUAAGACUUUUUUACGUCAUUUUUUGUUUUAAUUAUAUUUUGAAUUAAAUAUCCUUAGCUAUUUUAUAAUAAAUAUUUUGUAUUAAAAAUAUAAAUGUAUUAUCUUUGGUAGGAUUAGAUAAAAAAAAAAAAGACUGACACACAUUAAUUAAUUAAAUAAAUAAGAAAGUAAUUAAGAGAAAAAGAGAUUAUGAGUUCAGAAUAAUUUUAAGGAUAAUUUUAAUAAAAAAAACACAAAUAAUUAAUAAAUUUAAUACUACUCAUUAUAUUAAUUAAUUUUUUUAAAAAAAUAUGAAUUAGUUAAGAAAAUCAUUAUAAAAGGUGUGAAUUUUGAUUUUGGUACUUAUAAAACUUUUUCUUUAAUUUCAUUCUUCAAAAAUAUAAAAUCAUUGAUGGUAUCAAAUCAACAUGUGAUUUUAGAUUUUUUUUUAAAUUUCUAAAAGGCUAAAAUAUAUUUUUUAUUUUUAUAAAUAUUAAUGAUUGAAAUAUUCAGAAUUUAUCUGUAUAAAAAUUUUGGCCUAGCAAAAUUUAAAUGUAUUUCUUUUUGUCCUCGGUUAGCUUCAAAUAUGUGUGAACCUGCAUGUCUGGUGAUCUAAGCUAGUCCAUUGGUCAAUUGGAUGGUGACAUGUGUUCAAACUCUAACCUAUCUCUCUCACUUGAAACCAUAGAUAUAUAGACGCCGUCGAGAAAGCCAAAAUCCCAUUCUUCCCGGCGUUGGCAACGCCUCUAUCUGUUAGCGAAGGUGAAGGCAUCAACGGGGAUUGUGGGGCUGAAGGUGGUUCAGAACGGGGUAGGUGCUGAUUGGGCUAUAUGCUGAAGUGUAUCCAGAAGGGUCCCAAAGACGAAGGGUACUGCAUAUGGAAGCAUCUCAUUUCUACCAAUGCGAAGCUGCAAAAGGAUUAUGAAGAUUGAAAAAAGUAUGAAUUGAAUUAAAUAAAGAGAUAAAAGGGAAAAGUGAGUGCAGAUUGGGAAUUUUUUUGUUCACAAUUAUUCUUAAUACCUUUCAGCUUGACCUUUGUUAGGGGGGCAAAAAUAUUCGUUAGGCAUUUACAAAACAUUUGCAUAAAGUCUUCUUCAGAAAACAAAAAAUGAUUUUUGGACACCAAAAUGCUAUUUGACACUUAAGAGAGAAAGAUAAACAAGACAAAUAUAUAUAUAAUAUAAUUGAUAAUCUAGUCUGAGGAAGUUCAAAAUAGGUUUUUAUUGUAAUAUUGGUGAGGUUUUUACACUUGUUGUCAAUUUAGUCGUUUUUAAUUGUUAGUAUAAGAACAUAUUUAUUAUAUAAUAUUUUUUUACUUUUUCUUUUCCUAAUCUACAAAUACAUCUCUAAAAGAUAAAAAUAUAAAAUUUAGUCUCUGAAAGAAUAAAAAUACGACAGAUAUAUCCGGAUGUUACUAAUAAAUUAUGAUAAAAUUCUUGUAAAACUAGUCUGAACGAGUAUUUAAUUGUUUUUUAAAAAAAAUCAUAAAAUAUGAAUGUCUAUUAGUAUAUGUAAUGAUAUCAAAUUUCAAAUUAUAAUAAUAAAAGUUUAUUGAUUUUUAAAUUAUUUUUUUAAAUCAUACAAAAUUAUUUUUUUAUUAACUAAUCAUUUAAAAAAUCAUAACCUAAAAAAAAUCAUUCCAAAGGAGGUGAGCGUCUUUCACAAACUAAAAGUAUCAUUGCAAUUUUUUCUAAAAAUUAUUUAUGAUCUAAUUUAACCAUAAUGUUUUACCAUAAGCAUUUUUUACUUGAACCUUUCAUCAAACUUGAGAGUGUAAAAAAAUUAUUUAUAAUUUAUAAAGCGAGUAUUCUUUUUUCUUUUAGACUCAAUUUAAUUUACGAAUUUGUUAAAAAAAAUUAUCGCAAUCAUUAUAAAUUUUUUCAAAUUAUAAUAAUUAGUCAUAAUUUAUUAUUAACGUUCAGAUAUAUUUUUUGUAUGUGUUAUACGUUCAUGACUGAAUUUGAUAGUUUCUUCUGUUAGAGAUACAUUUGUGAUCGGAGUGGGAAAGGUAAGGUUAAAAAAAUAGUAUAUGACAAAUAUGUCUCCGUGUUGACAUUAGAUAUGAUUUCAGUGACAAAUUUGUCACUCUGUGUCACAUAGACUAUUUUAUUAAUGGUGACAGACGGAUAAAAAGUUAACGACAAAAGUUAACGACAAAAUAUAUUAGUCACACUUUUUAUAUAUUUGAGAGACUAAAUUUUGUAUUUUUAUUUUUAAGAUAUAUUUAUCGGUGAAUGGCACAUUUAGGAACAAAAUUGACUAUUUACCAAAAAACUUAUUCAUAGAAAUUCGGAUUACAAUUAUCAUAUUCCAAUAUUUUUUUAAAAAUCAUUUCUUUCAUUUCACUUAUAAUUUUGUUAACGACAAUUUUACAAAGUUGAUCAAACCAUGACUUUAUAAACUAAUUGAAAUUAAAUCCAGCAAUAAUGGUUGACUCAAUUCAAGUGGUUGGGGCUUUCACUCCUUAAUGCAAUCAUAUGCACAGCCAAAAAAGUUGAAAUUAAAUCCUAACAAUGUUUUUCUAUCUAUAAAUGCAACGUAAAUAAUCACAAUUGUAAAAAUAAAUAUAAUACUAAUAUUGAUAAGUCAAUGUAGUUCAGUUUUUGUCGUGUAUAUAUAUAUAUAUAUAUAUAACAAAGCCAUUUCCAUUCUUUCAUUUCUCACAUCAGAUUUAGCAAUACUGAAUGAGUACAAAAUAUAAAACAAACAAACUGCAUAGUUGAAACAUAUUGAUACAGAAAGAGUUAUUACUCCACAUAUGACCUUGAACAAAUUACGACAAUGUUACCGAGCAGAAACUGUUUCCACCGGCACUUAUCUUAUUUGUUAAUCCUGGAAUACAAAACACAAGAACAGAGAAUGAGAUUGAAACUAUAUAUGGAGAAAAUAUAAUUAUAAUCAUUGGCAGUCAUGUACUCAUUGAUUUUAGUUACCCAAAAUAAAUGUAAUUGAACAUCACAAAAAAAGAUAGUUCAAGGACAAUGCGACUAAUAUUGUAACUUUAUAUUCAUAAAAGCUCUCUCAAAUAUGCAUUAAACAUUUGAUAAAGUGGAUGAGAAAGAAAAGAGUUUUUGGAGAACUUAACAAAUUACCAAUAUCAAUGAUAGAAUAAUGGAAUUUUUUUAUGUUGUUGAUAUGUCUCAUUGUACUACAUUUGCUAACUUUAUAUACUACAGAUAGAUAAAUAUUUAUUUUACAAGAAAAUUUAACAAGUAUAUCAUAAACUACUCAUUUAAUCAUAUCAAUUAAUAGCUAUUAUUUAUGAAGAGACAAAAUUACUUUAUCAUAGUAGUGACUAAAAUGUAGCAUAUAUAAUAUAUUUUCAAGCUUCCGAUACAUAUUCCUUGCAAAUUUAUCUUUUAGGCAUCAAGGCAUAGAACCAAAUCAACUAUCAAAUUCGGAAAACGAAACAUUUAGAAAGAAUAUUGUAUCUAGAUUUCACUUACUUGCAAACUUGAUAUAAAUUACUAAUGCCUCCACCUUAAAGCUUCGUAUGUUUGUCCUCUCCAAGUUACAUAUUCAAGAUACACCUGAGGGAAGAUCUGACAAAGAAUUUUGUGCACAAGUUGCCAAUACCAUAGCCUCCAUUGCUUCCAAAUUAAGAGUGGACCAAAAAUAACUCCGUGGCCUAAAAUCAAUCCCAAUUCAACACUAAUAAAAUUCCAAUCAAUAGUACACGCUAACCUUCCACAUUCUUGUUGUGGCAGCACCUCUUGCUCUUUAUGAUCUGGAUUUUUAGUCAAUGGAGGACCGUAUAGUCCAUCAUUGCCUUCAAAAGAAGAAGUUGGAUGUUGGACAUUUUAGUGUAAUUGAUCUUUUUAUUAUGUUAAAAUAAGAGUGCACGCUUAUUUUAAUGUAAUAACGAGAUGUUCGAUUUAGGCAAAUUUUGGAAAUUACAUGGAACUGACUUUCAAGAAAAGGCAGUUUUAAAAAAAAAAAAGAUAAAACUUCCAUCAACCGCCAAAAAUCACAUGUUCUUUGAUCAUAAAUAAUCAUUCUGGUUCAGAAAGCAUUACCGGUGACAAAACAUACAAGACCAAUACAAAACUCUUGAAUUAUAAUCUUCUGAUUUUAUCCGAUUGAACAAUUUUGGUUGAACCCCGAAAUUUGAUUCAAUCUGAAAGUGUUAUACACGACUUCAGAUUUAUCCAGUAUUAUCUCGAUUUUCAAAUUAACCAAUAAAAGAUUGAAUCAACAUUUUUUCGAGAUGACAAACGAUAGUUCGAAGAUGACAAACAAGUUUGCGAAGUUGGACAAGUUUGAAGGGCAUGAUUUCAAAAGAUGGCAGAAGAAGAUGCACUUUCUCUUGACAACAUUGAAGGUGGUGUAUGUGCUGAGUACACCAAUGUCGGUGUUUAUGGAAGACGAAACUCUGGAUCAAACAAGGAAGCGCUCGAAAUGGGAGAACGACGAUUACAUUUGUCAUGGACACAUUCUGAACGGUAUGUCUGACUCUCUCUUUGAUAUUUAUCAAAAUGUUGAGUCUACUAAGGAAUUAUGGGACUCUCUUGAAUCCAAGUAUAUGGCAGAAGAUGCCUCAAGUAACAAAUUCUUAAUUAGUAGUUUCUUUAAUUACAAAAUGAUUGAUUCGAGGCCUGUUAUGGAACAAUAUAAUGAACUGCUGCGAAUUUUGGGUCAGUUUACUCAACAUGAUUUGAAAAUGGAUGAAUCCAUUGCAGUUUCAUCUAUAAUUAAUAAACUGUCUUCUUCUUGGAAAGACUUCAAGCAUACCUUGAAACAUAAGAAGGAAGAGUUGACUCUGGUUCAACUCGGUAGUCAUUUCAUGAUUGAGGAGUCGCUGAGGGCUUAGAAAAUUGACAAAGUCAAUGAUAAAAACGUAGCAGGUUCCUCUUCCGUUAAUAUGGUAGAGGAAAGUGGAACAAUUAAGCAAAAUUACAAUGCUAAAGGUAACAAACAAAAAUUUCAAGGAAAUAAGAACAAAGGUCCAAACAAACAGACAAAAUUGUCAUGUUGGAAGUGUGGGAAACCUGGUCAUUUAAAGAGGGAUUGUCGGGUGUUCAAAGGAAAGAACAAGGCUGGUCCAAGUGGGUCUAAUGAUCCUAAAAAGCGACAAGGUCAGAUUGUAGUGAAUAAUUUUAAUUCGAAUACGAAUUCAAAUUAUGUAUCACUAAUAUCUGAUGCAUUGUAUGUGUAGGAUGAUGACGUUGCUUGGUGGUUUGAUUCGGGAGCAACAAGCCAUGUGUGCAAAGAUCGUCGUUGGUUCAAGGAAUUUAGACCAAUCGAUGAUGGCUCUAUUGUGAAGAUGGGCAAUGUUGCAACUGAACCAAUCCUAGGAUUAGGUUGUGUGAAUUUAGUUUUUACUUCCGGAAAAAGUUUGUAUUUGGAUAAUGUCUUAUUUGUACCUGGUAUUCGUAAGAACUUAUUGUCUGGUAUGGUUUUAAAUAAUUGUGGUUUCAAGCAAGUACUUGAAAGUGACAAGUACAUCUUGUCAAGACAUGGUUCGUUUGUUGGAUUUGGUUAUCGUUGUAAUGGAAUGUUUAAAUUAAACAUUGAUGUUCUUUUUGUUCAUGAAUCUGUUUGUAUGGCCUCUUGUAGUUCUAUAACUAAUAUGACAAAAUCAGAAAUUUGGCAUGCUAGAUUAGGACAUGUUCAUUACAAAAGAUUAAAAGAUAUGUCAAAAACAAGUAUGAUUCCUCCUUUUGAUAUGAACAUUGAAAAAUGCAAAACUUGCAUGUUGACCAAGAUCACUAGGAAACCUUUUAAGGAUGUUAAAAGUGAGACUAAAGUCUUAGACCUUAUUCAUAGUGAUUUGUGUGAUUCGCAUGCUACUCCAUCAUUAGGUCAUAAAAAAUAUCUUGUUACUUUUAUUGAUGAUGCAUCAAGGUAUUAUUAUGUAUAUUUAUUAAAUACAAAAGAUGAAGCUCUUGAUAAAUUUAAAAUUUAUAAGAAAGAGGUAGAACUUCGUCAAAAUGGGCUAAUCAAAACUCUUCGUACGGAUAGGGGAGGUGAGUAUUAUGAUCCGGUUUAUUUUCAAUCUACUGGAAUAAUACAUCAAACUACAGCUCCCUAUACACCACAACAAAAUGGUGUAGCCGAAAGGAAGAAUAGAACCUUGAAAGAAAUGGUGAAUUCCAUGUUAUCCUAUUCGGGUUUAAGUGAAGGAUUUUGGGGUGAGGCUAUGUUGAUAGCCUGUUACUUGUUGAACCGAAAUCCUAACAAAAGGAAUAAGGUUACCCCAUAUGAACUUUGGCACAAAAAGACACCAAAUUUGAGUUAUCUCAAAAUUUAGGGAUGUAGGGCUGUAGUCAGGCUUACAGAACCUAAAAGGAAAACCAUAGGUGAAAGAGGUAUAGAAUGCAUAUUUAUUGCUGAACAUUCUAAAGCAUAUAGAUUCUAUGUGCUAGAAUCUAAUGAUUCUGUUGUUGUGAACUCGGUUAUAGAGUCACGGGAUGCUAUCUUUGAUGAACAAAGUUUUACAUCUAUACCUAGGCCAAAGGACAUGAAUUCCAUGUCGAAAGUCUCAGUUAAUAUUGAGGAUAUACCUUCAACUAGUACUGAAACUAGAAAGAGUACGAGAGUAAGAAAGGCUAAGUCAUUUGGUGAUGACUUUCAACUCUAUUUGGUUGAAGGGUCAAGGAAUGAUAUUGAAUUUCAAUAUCAAUAUUGCCUUAAUGUUGAGGAAGACCCAAAGACUUUUAGUGAAGCAAUGGCUUCAAGGGAUGUUGUAUUCUGGAAAGAAGCAAUCCAAAGUGAGAUGGAUUCCAUCAUGCAAAAUAAUACCUAGAAAUUGGUUGACUUACCUCCUGGAUGUAAGCCAUUAGGAUGUAAGAUGAUCUUUAGGAGAAAGAUGAAAGUGGAUGGUACUGUUGACAAGUACAAAGCCAGAUUGGUUAUCCAAGGCUUUAGGCAAAAUGAGGGUAUUGAUUUUUUCGAUACAUAUGCUCCUAUUGCUAGGAUAUCCACUAUUAGACUGUUGUUGGCACUUGUUGUUAUCCACAAUCUGGUGAUUCACCAAAUGGAUGUGAAAACUGCAUUCUUAAAUGGUGAAUUGGAUGAAGGGAUAUACAUGAAACAACCUGAAGGGUUUGUUAUGCCAGGAAAUGAAAAUAAGGUGUGUAAACUGAUGAAAUCUCUUUAUGGCUUGAAACAAGCGCCUAAACAAUGGCAUCAAAAAUUUGAUGAGGUUGUGUUGUCUAGUGGUUUUGUUCUAAACCAAGCAGAUAAAUGUCUAUACAACAAGUUUGAUACUCAUGGCAGAGGAGUUAUCAUUUGUCUGUAUGUAGACGACAUGUUGAUCUUUGGUACCGACCAAGAUCAAGUUGAUGAAACUAAGGCAUUUUUGUCUUCUAAGUUUGAUAUGAAAGAUAUGGGGGAGGCGGAUGUGAUCUUAGGAAUAAAGAUCAAACGUGGAAACAAUGGCAUUUCCAUCUCUCAAUCAUUAUAUUGAGAAGAUAUUGGAGAAAUUUAAUUUUAAAGAUUGUUCUCCGGUAAGUACUCCCAUUGAUCCUAACCUGAAGCUAUUACCUAAUAAAGGUGUAGCAGUGUCUCAACUUGAAUACUCAAGGGUGAUAGGAUCACUCAUGUAUGCAAUGAUUAGUACUAGGCCUGCUAUAGCUUAUGUUGUUGCUAAACUUAGUAGGCUUACAAGUGAUCACAGUUCUCAUCAUUGGCAAGCUAUGAAUAGAGUAUUCAAGUACUUAAAGGGAACCAUUGACUAUGGUUUGACAUAUACUGGAUUUCCUUCAGUUAUUGAAGGUUACUCUGAUGCAAGUUGGAUAACCAAUAUGGAAGAUUAUUCAUCCACAAGUGGUUGAGUAUUCCUCCUUGGAGGAGGUGCUAUCUCUUGGGCAUCCAAGAAACAGACCUGCAUUACAAAUUCAACAAUGGAAUCUGAAUUUGUAGCUUUAGCAGCAGCUGGUAAAGAAGCUGAGUGGCUAAGAAAUCUUAUCUAUGAGAUUCCAUUGUGGCCCAAACCUAUACCUCCCAUGUCUAUCAGGUGCAAUAGUCAGGCUACUUUGGCUAAGGCAUGUAGUCAAGUGUAUAAUGGGAAGUCUAGACACUUGGGUGUUAGACACAACAUGGUUCAGGAGUUAAUCAUGCAUGGUGUGAUAUCAGUGGAGUUUGUGAGAACUCAGCAUAAUUUGGCCGAUCAUUUAACCGAAGGGUUAAGUAGAGAUCUCGUGAAAAGGUCGGCUGUGGGAUUAGGAUUAAAGUCCAUCUGAAAUCUCUUAUGUUAAGAUACCCAAUUCCCAUCUAAUAUGACAUUUGGUGCUGAAUUCAAUGUGGAAAGCUUAACAUGUAGAGAUUGGAACACAUAAUCAAAAGUAUCCCAAAAGGUAUGUGUUCAGUUCUGUAAGUUAGGGAGGUUGAAGUAUAACUCCUCAAUGGUUCUUUUGAAAAAUUGCAUUUGCAGGUGCAAGAAAGAAAAUGACUACCUAUAUAAGCAUGAAGUUUAGCCGCUUCAAGAAGCUGGGACUUGGCUUUGAUAUGCUUAUGAAGGAUAGGGACACAGGCUAGUAAACUAGUGUCGAGCAAGAGUAAUGUUAUAAACUAUUGUGCAGAUUAUCUUCAUGUAUUCAUUAUGAAUAGAAAGGGUUCAAUCCUUAGUGACACCCUGAUAUUCGAAUAUUUGAAACGUGUAAUUUGCUAAGAUGAAAUUCAAUCGUCACGAUAUUUCAUCUAUGCAGUAGUUUGUGGUAUGUUAUGACUUUGGUGAUUUGAUCGGUAAUUACACUAAAAUGGGGGAGGUUUGUUGGAUAUUUUAGUGUAAUUGAUCUCUUUAUUAUGUUAAAAUAAGAGUGCACACUUGUUUUAAUGUAAUAACGAGAUGUUCGGUUUAGGCAAAUUUUGGAAAUUACAUGGAAGUGACUUUCAGGAAAAGGCAGUUUAAAAAAAAAAGAUAAAACUUCCAUCAACCGUCAAAAACCACCUAUUCAUCAACCGCCAAAAACCACCUAUUCUUUGAUCAUAAAUAAUCAUUCUGGUUCAGAAAGCAUUACGGGUGACAAAACAUACAAGACCAAUACAAAACUCUUGAAUUAUAAUCUUCUGAUUUUAUCCGAUUGAACAAUUUUGGUUGAACCCCGAAAUUUGAUUCAAUCUGAAAGUGUUAUACACGACUUCAGAUUUAUCCAGUAUUAUCUCGAUUUUCAAAUUAACCAACACUCGAAAUGAUUGAAGUUGGGUACUUGUUGGGAUCUUCCCCAUCAAAUGGUUGAAGGAGAGAUUUAAAUAUGAAAGGAAUGACAAACUUGCAAGCUGAACUGGAAUUUCUCCACCAAGAGAGUUUUGUGAAAGGUCCAAGGACUCUAGUUGUCUCAUGUUACCUAUGGAUGAUGGGAUUUUACCAGACAAAGCAUUGUUUGACAAAUUAAGGACAUGGAGUUCUUUCCAAUCCAUUAACUCCUAUGGUAUAGGUCCAUCAAAAUGGUUAGACGAGAAAUCACUGGAUGUGAAAAUUGGCAAAAUUUUAACCAACUCCAUUUUUUUACCUUUACUGAUAACUGUGAUGUUAUCUGCAUAAUAUAAAUCACCACCAAAGGAUAUAAUUUGUUUCUUUAUGAACUUUAACCCAGCUUCCUCUUUGUUACCCUUUAUAUUUCUUUUCCAGGUUGUAAAAUAUUCUCUUGGCAGUUCGCCACUAAAAUUGUUAAAAGCAAUGUCUACAAUUUGAAGCAUCUCCCAAGUCAUAUUGACUUUCAAACAUUUUGGGGAACCUUGAAAUUUGUUGUUCCUCAAAACCAAGACACGAAGCGUGGGUAUUUCUUUUAAGAAGCAUGGAAAGCCACCUGUGAUUUAAUUUGAUCCAAGGUCCAAUACCUCUAACUUUGAGCAAUAAGCAAGACACUUUGGAAUUGGCCCAUCUAAUUGAUUUCCACGAAGAUUUAAAGUCCACAGACCACAAGAAACUUUGACUGUAUUAGGAAUAGGGCUUGAGAUAUUGUUGUUCUUCAGAUUUAACACCCCAAGGUUCUCACUCACUGUCAUUAAACAUGAGGGAAUUGUUCCAGAAAUGUUAUUAUUGGAAAGAUCCAGCACUUCAAGAUAUAAAGCAUUGCAGAGGGAGUCAGGGAUGCUGCCACUCAAAGUAUUGUUUGAGAGAGAGAGAAAAAAUGGGAAAGACAUGUAAUUACCAAUGUCUCGUGGGAUAAUAGAGCUAAAAUUGUUGCUUGAAAAAUCCAAAUACAACGUAUUUCCAGAAAAAGUAGGUAUUGGCCCCUGAAGUUUAUUCUGAUGAAGGUCAAGGUAAAUCAAAUGGGAAGAAAGAUUCUGCAAAGGUCCUUCCAAAUGAGUCAACAAAUUAUGAGAAAUAUCAAGGCUUGUUAAAUCCAGAUGGGAUGACAGAAUUAAAAUUAUUAGAAGCCAAAUUCAAUUCCUGGAGAUGUUGAAGACUGAAAAUAACACUUGAAUCAUCAAAUCCACCACUGAUGAAUUCUCCACCCAGGUCAAGGCCAAUGACACGUCCCUCAUCAUCACAGCUUACACCGCUCCAAUCACAGCACUCAACGCUUUGAUUCCACAACCUGAGUUUGUUGGAAUUUUCAGGGUUGAAUGUGAGGUUGCUCUUCAGUUGAAACAGCAAUAAUUGUUGAUCCUCGAGACAUUUCCCAGCAGUGACAGAAAUGUAGAUACUAAGAUAUAUCAAGUGACAGAGAAAGAAGGAAAGCACUGAAACUAAUGUAAUUCUCAUUGGUGUCUACUCGUAGUGACAACCACACAACACAACACUAAAAUAGCCAAGGAACAAAUGGUGGCCAAAAAGACUCAUGAACAAGACCCUUAUGGCCCGUGUUCUUCACUCUUUAUCUUCUUAAACUCUCCUAAAUUUUGCAAGGGAUGGUGGUCAAAAGUGUAGAAGUUGUGUUGAAGAAGUGUAGAGUACAGAAGAAGGUUAAGAGAAUUAGCUUAGAAUGGGAUAUUUUGAAAAUAGAAUGCAGACAAUAGAUUGGUCAGAGACACAACCAACUCAGAGUUACUACACCGUUCAGAGUAAACUGUGACACCCUCUACCCCUCACAUAUAUACUAAUAAGGAAAAAAAAUUCAAAUAUUAAUUAAAAGUAUUUUUAAAACAUUUUUUUUACAAGUCUUUCAAAGGGGAAAAAGGCUCACAUUCAUUUUCUUCUACAUCAUAUUCAAACUUGUCCAAAUAAAUAAUAAAGUAUUCUCGACUCAAACAAGUUUGUCUAAGCUUCAUACAAUUAAUAUAGAACCUAUAUCCUAAUGUCACAUCCUAUCAGAGCGUUGUGUUCCCGUGUCCUCUAGCAUGAGGUUCUUCAUAGUCAUCCACCUAUUCAUCUGCUCCCCCGAACACAAGUUCAAGAUCAUCACAGGAUCCAAACACAACAACACACAGGGAGUGAGUUAUCACAUUCCUAGCUAAUAGAGAAACAAGACAAUUAAAUAUACAUAUUAUAUAAAUGAGAUACCACUUGCUUAAACAUAGUUCACGUAACUUCACCACUUCGUCAUUCAAAAUUCACUUUUUAAUCAUCAAUCACAUUACACAAGAAUCCCACACUUCGAUCAAGAUAUAAUAACACAUCAAUUAGCAAGCAUAUGCAACAGUUAUGCUAAGACUCAAUCCUAUAUGCAAUGUGGUACCAUGUCAGUGAAAAAUCACCCUGGGGCGCUUAGGAGUACAUAACAAGACACACCACACCAUGGGUUUGUCAGGUCACUCCCACUAAGUAAGAUCAUAGGGAGACCAGUCAGGGUCACGAUGCUUUGCAAGAAUACUCCAACCAUAUGGGAUCAACAUAGGCUUAAAGGAGUACUCAAACCCGGUGACCCCCAAGGCCUACACUCCGAAGAGUCCGUCAGGGCCUCUCCCUCUUGAUUCAGGUCCAACCCCUAAAACAAUUUUGCAUGCAGACACUGCUCAUGAAUUAUACAAUACCCACGACCUCACGCUCGUGUUUUAAACACGUUCAACACAAUUGUACUACGAUUUAACACUGGUUCCUAAAUAGGAAACCUACACUUUCUCUUUAACACUGGUUCCUAAUUAGGAACCUACACUUUCUCUUUAACACUGCGCAUCAACGCUUUUCUCAAGAUAACACUGGUCGGGUUAUUGUACAAUUCAUAGCUUACAACACAAGUAAUGUCACAUCAAGUGUUAACUACACACUUAUCCACAACCAAAACUCAUUCACAAUUUCACAUCUCAUAAUGUCACAAUCCACCAUCACAUGUUUACACGUAUCUCACAAAUUAACACAUGUUCAACUUUACACUUAUACUCAAUCUCAAUAACAAUAUUAUAAUCUCAAAGCAACAUGUUAUUUCACAAUUUAUCACAUAUUCCAUUUAUAAACACUGCUAGUGAAUUACACAAUACCAUGACCUUACACUCAUGUUUCAACACAUUUAACACAUUACGCUACAAUUUAACACUGGUUCCUAAAUAGGAGACCUACACAUUCUCUUUAACAUUGUGCAUAAACAAUUUUCUCAAUAUCAACAUUGGUCGGGUUAUUGUAUAAUUCACAGCUCAUAACUCAAUACACACAUCUCAAUACACAUGUAUCUCAAAUCUAAACAUAGUAUUCUCGAACUCCAACAUUUGAAUAAUUUUUGGAAUCACACAAUAACAACACUACAAUAUUAUUUACAUAAACUAUUAAUAUAAAUAAAUAUAUAACUAUAUAUAUAUAUAUAUAUAUAUAUAUAUAAAUCCAACAACGUAUAUCAUAUUUGAUCAUGAAUUUAAAGAAAGUUUUCAAUGUACCAAUUUUAAAUAAUUAUAUAAACAUUUUCUCAUAUAUAUAAGUAUACAUGAAUUCAUAUAUAUAUUAUCUAAGAAUACAACACAUAGUCUAUUAGAAUUCUUUUCUCAAUUUCAAAUAUAAUAUCAAUUUUAAACUAUAAAAAAAACUAAACAGCAUGAAAAGGAGAAAAUACAAACUCAAUAUCUCCUUACUUAAUUUCAUCAAUUCAUACUACGGUUCACACUCAAUACAAGAGCACAUUAAUUUCACAAAAAUUUCUCAUUGGGACAUCAAAUGAUUCAUCAAACAUAUAUAAUUUAUAUAUAACUCAUAGUUAUAAUUAUAAGGAUAAAGUAAAAAUUGUAGAAACACCUUAAAACUCAUCCCAAUUGAUACUCUAAGGAUCCCUACACAUGUUCUCACUAAUCCCCAAUCGUGAAUAACUCAUCCCUUACCUCUGAGCGGACUCACGUGUCUUCAGCCAAAUAGCAACAUCUCUAGUGGUUCCCGGAAAUUCUUUCAUUAUUCCUUCGACUGUUCCGAUAGAAUUCUCAAACGUCAGAGACGGAGAAGAGAUUGAAACCUCCAUUUGUACUGUCUUCAUGCGAUUCCUUUUUCUCCCUCCACGAAUAUUAUCUCGAAAAUCCCAACGGUGAAAGCGUGUGGAAUUGAAUUUCGAACAACAUAUCCAAAUUUCAUGAAAAUCCAACGGCUAACGAAACCGGGAUUGUAGUUUUACCGAGACAGUUUUGGGUUUCUGCGGGAAAUUAAAAUUCUACAAUGCGAAGGGUUUUCCUCUAAGCUCACAUAUGAUUUUGAAAUUCCCAACGGUGAGAAUGUUCGGAAUUGGGUUGCGAACAUAAUACUCAAAUUUCACGACGAUCCAACGGUGAACGGGUUCGAGAUCGUCUUUUUUCUGAGACUGGUUUGAUGGACUGCGGGAAAAAGAAAGAGUUUUGAGGAGAGAAGGGGAAAAACGAAAAUGAGGCAAAAAGGAGGCAGCUGACUUAACAUAACUAUUUAUACCUAGAGUACUCAGCCUAUUAUUUUCUCUAUAUUUAUUUAUUUAUACUAAAAAGCUUUUUAAAUUUAUUGACGAAAAAAUUGGAAUGUUACAUAAACCAUGGAAUAAACCAUGGAAUAAGUCAACUGGAUUUUGUGAAAUGGUGGUGGUUUACCAGAAAGGACGAAAAAUUAGGCUACCUUAGUUUGAAGAACAAGAAUUUUUUUAUUGCAUUCUACGCGUUUGGAUGCUGACCCGUCUAAUUAUUUAUUCACUUUUUUGGUAGCUUCCCAUAUGGGACUCUUAGCAAUUUUGGAUUAUUCAAAACAAUGGACCCAACCUUACAUAGAAUACUAGUAUAAUUUUUAUUUUUAUAACUAGUUGGUAUUUGAUGUUUUCACUUAGCACCUAACUAAUCUCUCUUUUACAAGGUUGGGCCAUUAUAGAAGUAAAGUAGUCUUUUUAGUCGCAAAUUUAUUUCCGAAGGAUAUCAAAUUUUAAUGUUUGAUUACGAGAUAUAAUUCUCGAAUCACUUGUCUCAAUGACUUUUUGGCACAGAAUAUUGUUAUGAAUGAUUAUACUUUUGUCAGCAGCAUGAUAACGAAGAUUUUCAUUUCAGUGGAUCGACCUAAACGGUAGGUAUCAUUCAAUUAUGCAUAAUCUUACCGUUGAGUGUCAUAAAAAUAAAAUAAAAAGAAAAAACUUAAAGUUGAGGUUGCUUUUCAUUUAUAAUUAUUCUUUUUCGAGAAUGACAUUUUGAUUUAUAAAAUGUAUUUUUUUCUUUUAAAAGUAAUAUAUUUCCCAUCAAUUAUUAUGAAAAGCUUGGAAUGAUACAUACAGUCAUUUAGUCGUUUAUCACGAGAAAUUCUAUUUCUACUUUUGAAGAUAAGAAAAUUUUAUUUUUAUUUAGAUUAAAUUACUCAUGUAGUUCUUAUAAUUUCACGAUUCUUAUUUUUUUGUCCCUAUAGUUUGAAAGUAGUUUUUUUAGUUUCUAUAGUUUAUAUUUUAAUUCUCUUUUAAUUCUCAUAGUUUUGAAAUUUAGUCAUUAUAGUUUUGAAAGUGAUUUUUUUAGUUCUUAUAAUUUGUAUUUUAAUUUUUUUUAGUCUCUAUAGUUUGAAAAUGAUAUUUUUAGUCCCUAUACUUUAUACUUUAAUUUCAUUUUAGUCCUUACCAUCAAAAUAUGAGUAAUAUUAUCAAUUACAAUUAAAUAAAAAAUAUUAACAAGUAAUUCAUAAAUAAUUUAUUGUAAGAUAAUUUGUAAUAAAAAAUAAUUAAUAAUUUAUAACUAAUUUGUAGCUAAUUAUUUUUAUAUUUUUUGUAACAAGGACUAAAAGAUAAUUAAAAUAUAAAUUUUAAGGACUAAAAAUAUCACUUUCAAAUGGACUAAAAGAGAAUUAAAAUAUAAACUAAUAAGUAUACUCUUAAAUUAAAGGACUAAAAGAGAAUUAAAAUAUAAACUAUAGAGAUUAAAACUACCACAUUCGGACUAAAAAGGUAAGAAUGUGAAACUAUAGAAAAGUAACUUUACCUUCUAUUUAUUUGUCUAUUAAUAUUAUUGAGAAUAAUUUAUGAGUAAAUGACUCCUUUAGUCACCGAAGGGUAAAGCAGUAACAGUUUAAUUGUUAAAAGAAUAAAUUUUUUUAUUUCGUCCAGAUUGCAUAAAAAAUGCAACAAUUAUAUUAUGUUCUUUCUUGAGAUUAGUUUACCUGAAAUUUUUAAGGAUUAAUUUAAUUUUAAAUUAUAAAGUUGGAAAGAAAUUUGUCCUUAAAUUAUACAACAAAAUAUAAUUGUUUUACUCUUUACGCAUUCAAUUACCAAAUAAAAAAAUUUGUUUUCUUUUGAGAAACUAAAUUGUUACUGAUUUUCACAUCCAUAAACCAAAAUGGUAAUUACCCAAUCUUUUAUUCUUAAAAAUAUUAUUAUUCUCUUUUAUCAAACAUAGAUGCUUUAUUUCCAAUUCAUUUUUACAAAAAUAUUUAAACAUUUCUUAUACCAAACCUUACCUAAAAGAUGACAAAAUAUAUGGAAAGACAAAUAUUUCCUUGCUUUAUUCUAUGUUUGCUUUGUCUUUUAUUGUUCAACUAACAACGAUGUUUGUAAUGCUAUACUUGCUAACCCAAAUUGUCGUUGGAACUUGGAUUAUAAGAUAAAUAGUGUGUUUGUCUUACCAUAAACGGACGUUAAAAAAAUGUUGCUUCUCAUGAAAUGAUACUUUAGAACGAUGUUAGCUUUUUUAUUUUAGAGGGAAUUGAACGAUGUUAGCUAACGAGUAAAACAUGUAUACAAACAUGCUUUAAGCGAAUAUUUGGAUUUAUAUAUGUUGGGUAAUCUAAAAUUUUGUCGAAAUAACAGCUAAUAUAAUUUUAAGUAAAUAUUUCUAUAUUUGGAUUUACUUUCGAUAAUUUUAUAUUCGAUAAAGAAUUUCAUAUAGAGAUUAAGAGAUUUAUCACUGACUUGAUUUACUUUUAAAAUAAAACAUUUAAAUAUAAAUUAUUUUAUUUUAAAAUCAAUUAUUCAUAAUCAGUUUUAUUUAAAAAUGUUCUCUCGUUCAAACACACACAAUUGCACAUAUAUGGAUGAAGGGAUAGAUUGAGAUUUAUCACUGACUUGAUUUACUUUUAAAAUAAAACAUUUAAAUAUAAAUUAUUUUAUUUCAAAAUCAAUUAUUCAUAAUCAGUUUUAUUUAAAAAUGUUCUCUCGUCCAAACACACACAAUUGCACAUAUAUGGAUGAAGAGAUAGAUUGAUCUCUAUCGGUUUUCUUUUUUAUGAAUGCAUGUAAGCCAAAGUCAAAAUACCUUAUUUACUGGAGUCGAACUCAACACAUGAUGCAUGGGAGUCAUGUGAAUUUAUUUAUUGUAAAAUUAGUACUACACCUAGGAGUGGAAAUGAGCCGAGCAGCUUAUCGAGGGCCUUUGGCUCAGCCUAUGUAAGGCUCGGCUCGGCUUGUUUACUAUAAAAGUCAAGCUCAAGCUUUUUAAAAAACCUUUUUAGAUAAAAAGGUCAAGCUCAAACUAUAAAAAAAAAGCUUAUUAAGUUUGAUAAGCUGGCUUGUUUAACUAAUAAUAAUAAUAAUAAUAAUAAUAAUAGCUUUAUUUUAUCAAAUCUUAUCUUAUCCAAAUUUUAUUCUAUCUAGAUUUUAUUCCAUCUAGAUUUUAUUUCGUUCAGAUUUUAUUUCAUCCAAUCUCAUUUUAUCUUGUCCAAAUUUUAUUUUAUUUCAUUUAUGGGCUUGGACUUAAAAUAAAUUUAUGAGCUUUGGGGCUGAGAACCUAUAUAACAGCACCAAGGUUUUAGUUUAGGGAGUUUUUUUUCGAAGAGGAGAAUAAUUCUAAGAUUUUAGAAUUCCAGUUUUUAUUAUUGUUCAUCCACACUAUUCACGUAGAUUAAAAUUCGUUUUCUACAAUAUUGUUUCGGCUUCAAUCUACAGUUUCGUUUCGACUUCAAUCUACAGUUUCGUUUCUACUGAUUAAUGGAAGGCUAAGUCUCCAGCAUUGUUUUCUCUUGAGGAUCAAACACAACUCUCUUUGAGAUUUUGUUAUUACUAUACUGAUCAGUUUUUCCUCUUCACCAAUUACUUUGUAUUUGUUGCUAUUAAUCCAUGCAUGCUUAGUGCUUGAUUAAUUGUCUCUGUGCUUAAUUUGCGUUCAUGCUUAAUGAUUAGUUUCGUUCAUGAUUAAUUAGUGUAUGUGUUGAUUAAUCACAUAACGGCAGUCUUAUGUUAAUUUUCGCUUAGUAAUUUAAUUUAGGGUUAGAUUAAGUGGUUGAACUGAUUAAGGAUAAAUUCUCGUAACCUAGGAUACGAGACUUGCUUGUGAAUCAAGGGGAAAUAUGUUUUAAUUUUGUUAUUUUCUAAUUCAAAUUUGCUUGCUGUUUAAUUUACAAAAAUAAACAACCCCUCAAUUCGUUACUGUUCUAUUACUAUUUGUUAUGAACGUUUGGUUGAUCAUUGCUCGUUGGGAGACGAUCUAGGAUCAUUUCCUAGAUAUUGCAUUUUUAAUAUUUAUUUGAUUCGGGUACGACCUCGAUCAAUAGUAUAUAAGAUAUGGCUUGAGUAGACUAAGAUGAAAUUAUUGUAGAUAUCUUUUUUUAAAAAAUAUUUCAUAUAAUUAUAUAUUCAAAAAAUUGUAUUAAAAAUUGUUAAUUUAACUAAUAAUAGUUUUUGUUUGGCUAUCUAUAUUAGUGUAAAUCAUCUCUAAUCCAUACAUUUUUUAAUAUUAUGUUUUUUUUAUUUUCUUUUGAUAUACUUUGUGCUUUAACGACUUGAAUUCAAUAUGAUUUUGUUUAUCAAUUAUUUUUGGAUUUGUACAUUACUUAUACGAAAUUUUAUAAGUUUCUUUUUUUAGUUAGUAUUUCACUAGGUUUUAAAAUAAUUAAUUAAUCAAAGACGUCUUUAAGCAAGCUUUUAAAUAGGUUCGUGGGCCAAGUCAGACUUUUAUGUAAGCCGAGCCGAGCCUUAAAAAAAAGCUUAUGACAAGCAAUGAGCCAAGCUCAAGCCUUACGUAUUCAACUCAAGCCGAGCUCAAGUCUAGUAAAGCUUAGCUUGACUUGACUCAUUUUCACCUCUAACUACACCUACGCAAUAGGCCCACAAGGAGGGACCGAUUCAGAAGUCUAUUUAAGGAGUUGAAUUUUUUUUUGUCAUUUUAUAAUUAUUUAAAUAUUGUUCAUUAAAGAUUCUACUCAUUUUCUUGUUUCAAACUUUGGAAGACUAUGAUUUUAUGAACAUAAUAACAAUCAAUUUUUUUAUUCUUGAAAAUGAAACUGAAGUAUUAUUAAAUUUAUGAUUUAGGUAUAUUAUUUAACUAAUUGAAUUAGUCUCUCUUAUACAUAAUAACAAUAAAUAAGACUCACAUUAAUAUGAUCUCACAAUCUAAAAAAAGAAUAAAGUUAUUUUAUAUAUUAAUAAUUGAAAGUCAUCAAAUCUUAUCAUAAUGAUAGAUAAUAAUAAUAUGAUAUCUAUAUAAAAUAUAUUUAUUUAUAUAUAUAGGAAAUAUAACUUAUGUUCACCAUGACAAAAAUGAAAAAGUUUUAGCUUGCAAGCUAAAUUUUAGGAUAUUAAUUUUCUUUGCAAGCUAAAUUUUAGGAUAUUAAUUUUCUUUGCAAGCUCAAUUGAGAGUUUUAAAUCCUAAACAUUUCCAUGUAAGAAAAAAAAUACAUUAGGAUAUUAAUUUCUGUUCUAAAUUUUAUGGCUGCUAUAUUGUUUCAUGGUUAAUAUUCUUUGUAAUAAUUUCUAAGUUAUUGUAGGCAAUUGAUCGAGAUCCAAAAUUUCUAGGAAUGUCGCAAGACAAUAUGUAAUUGUUAGAACUAUUGUGUAAGACUAUAUCAAGUUACACAAUUAUAUUUCAUACUUAACAACUAAAUGAACCAUCUUUUGGGGGGUUGAGGCCCUGCUUUUCAUAUUUGAACAUUAGCCUGAAAUAUAUAAUAGUGAACACCCCUCCACCUCUUAGAUUUUUCAUAUAUUUAAUUGAAUGUUCAACAGUGUAUAUCGUUCGAUCUAGUUGGCAUAUGAAAAAAAAUGCCCAUAUGAGCAUGCCUUGGAAGAAAGAAAUUGUCUUGCGAACACAUUUGUUUGUUUUUUUAUUUAUUCCUAUUGUUUAAGUUUCUUCCCUUAUUUUAUUGAUUUAUUUAAGUCAGACGAUUGUUAGUAUUCGUACGAUGAAGAAUGACUAGAAUACAAUGUAUUUAAACACUAUUGUUGAUUAUUUUUAAGAAUUUAAUUUCAUAAAAUAUUUAGAAACUACUUUUGAAUAAUCAUUUUAAAAAAAGUUUCAAGAAAAUGACAAAAAAAUAAUUAUUUUUUCAAAAUAACUUGAACAAAAUUUUGUUUGGAUGAUGUAUGAUUUUAGUUUUCUAAUUUUUUUACGAGUCAAUUAAAAUUCUUUACUUUCAAAAUUAAGCAAAUUUGAUUUGUCUGUUAAUUUUGUUCCUCUUAAAACUUUCAAAUUCUAUUUUUUACUUAAAAUAUUUACAAAUUGAAUCCAUUAAACUUUUUUAAACAUUUUUUUUUAAUUAGAUCUCAUCAAUUAACACUAUAAGAAAAUUGUGAUUUAGUGUCGACCAUAUUAGCCAACAGGAAAUUGCGAAAGCCGAUGCUAAAUUAACGUUGACUUUGCAUCAGUUUUUCAAUAGAAUCAAUGAAGCUCAAAGCAAAAUAUUUGUGUUUGCAUUGGGGCCAACAAUAGCUUUGAAACUCAAUUAAAAAAAUGCAGUCAACGCUACAUGGCAAAAUCUAAAUCAACGCAGCCAACAUCGACUUAUAUGCUAACGUUAGUUGCAUCUGCCUGUUGGUCGACACUAUCUAGCUACAUUGGUAUUUAUCGUCGACACAAAUAACGUUGGUCAUGGUCGACGCUAAAUAAUGGAAACCACUAAAACCACCCACCAAACUCAAAUCUUCAUCCCAGCUUGAUUCUCCACCCUCAUUGACCAUUCUUGAAUAGCCUUUAUUGGAAUUCAAAGUUGUUCAGAUAAACGACAUAUUCCUGGUUGCCGAAAAAAAGAGAUGAAAAUAAUCGACCUCUUGAAUUUUGAAGUUAAGAUAAUACACACAGACAUGCAAAUUUUGUUUCUGAUCAUAACUUGUUAAAUCAUUCAAUUGUUCUUAAAGUAUAAGAGGAUAUAUCAUAUGCAUAUUAAGAGUGCGUUUAAAUUUUGAAGAUCAAAUAUAUACAUUUGAAAUUGAUUUUUGCCUUUUUGUUAUAACUUGUUUAACCAUUUAAUUAACCAUAUAAAAAAACAUGAGAGGAUAUAUCUGAUGCAUAUUAGGGGAUAACUUUAUGAAAUGAGAGUAUUUAAAAGAAGGUGAAUGUAAGGAAGCAGGGAAGAAACCAGGAAAUUUUAUUACGGUGAAAAUUUAACACAUGAAUUAUGAUUUAUAAUUAAAAUUAUUUUUUAUUAAAUUAAUUUAUCUAUCAAGUAAAAGUAUUGCAAAACCUUACAUAUAAAUGAGAAAAUCUAUUUGAAAGCAAUUAAUAUAAUUGAAAUUGUGUUACACAGUUAAAAUAUUUAAUGUAGUUUUUUUAGAAUAAAAGCUUCUAAUGUAUAAUUACUAAAAUUAUAUAAAAAAUGAAAUAAUUAGUGUUGUUAUAAUUAAUAUUAAAAAAAUAAUCACUGUGCUCGAGUAAUUGAUUCGGUUUAAUGUCAGCGCUAGUUGAUAGUAUAGUAGCAUCCAAAACCAGGGUGGAAUUUGUAAUGAAUUCCUAUUCCUAUUAUUGUACCUUUGAAACGCAAGAAAAUCGAGUUUCUAUCGUUCAAUGAUAAUAAUAUCAAUAUGCAAAAUAUCGUUAAGACUCUAUCUAAUGAAAAUAAAUUGCCAGUUCGAAAACCAUUUGAAGUUUUGCUAUCGUUCAAAGCCUCUUUCUUUCUGUCUUCCAUUUUUAACUCUAAAAAACAUUACCUCUGAAAAUGCAUGGAAUCAUAUAUGGUUCUAUGGCUUUCUUCCUCCUUACUACUUUUUACUUGUUUCUAUUGGCAUUAGCUCCACAAUUUUAUCCUUCAUUUCCCACGGUUUAUCUAAUAUGUGCAGGUUGAGGAGCGAUUAGUGUCAGUGGAUGAAUUGCUAGAUGCUAAUGAGGGCACGGGAACAAAUGUGGUUGCAUCACCGGUUGACAGUAUUACUUAUCUUGACAAGAGGUAGGUUGUAGUAAUUGCUAAUGAUAAUUUACAUUUUCUACAUUAACAAAUAUGUUGACUGAGAGCAAAGCAAGACUAAUUAAUAAUUUAGAUGCGGUAAUUGUGUACCUUGAAAGUGUACAAAAGUAUGCUCUUCAUCAUUGUAGGAAAUGGAAUUUGGUUUGGAGGGAAAGGAAUAAGGUUGCUCCAUUAGAGCUUGAUGAAGUAGAAACAUUUUUGGGCUUUCCAAGGAACCACAUGUAAAAAUAUACAUAUACUGAUCUAAACAUGCAAAUCAAUUAAAAUGACAUAUUUAGAUCAAACAGCGGAAAUUAAAAAUAUUACUUGCGUACCUCCAGCCAUUGCAAAUUGAAUGGGAAGCGGCGCACACACGAACCUGAAAGAUAGUUUUGUUCUUCCAGACCCUUACUCACUCUGAAUAGAUGGUGUAUUUUUUCUGAAUAGAGAAGUGGGUUUGGUGAUACAAAACUGAGAGCACCCCAUCCUAUUUAUAGAGUCUGUCCAUCACAGAGCUCUCAACUUGUUAUCAGAACGUGAGAUAGGAAGUUAUUAGUACGUGAGAUAAAUGAUGGGUACGUGAUUUGUUACUGAAGGUGGUUGCAAAUAUAUUUGCAAAGAUAUGGGUUGAAUGUGGAUGAAAAAUGGACCAGAUUCAGAAAUAACUAAAUUUUCCAAAAUAAUAAAAUGUAGAAAGAACGUGCAACGUGAACGUAACGUGCACUUCCAACAUUCUCCCACUUGGUCCAUUUAACCCAACAUCAACCAUAACAAGAAACAUAAUAUAUGAGUCAUGGCGAUAUGUCCUCUGAUGAUGAGUAGUAUCUUCCAUGUACCACAAUAUAUAAAGUCUCUCAACACUAGCUCUCAACUUAAUGAAUAAACCAUAUUUUAUUCUAUAUCUAAACCGAAUGAUUUUUCUCGAAAUAAAUAAAUAUGUGCACAAAACCAUAUGAGAAAAUAUCUAACUGAAUAAGAGUUUCAUUGAAAAUAACAAAUGUACGUACAAUGAAAUUACAUCAUGGAACCAAGUCUCAUUCGUACUACAUCAUCCUUAAAAUUCUUUGGUGGCAUGCCUUUAGUUAAAGGAUCAACAAUCAUUAACUCAGUGUUGACGUGUUCAAUGACCACUUUCUUUUCUUCAACUCGUUCUCUUAUGGCUAAGUACUUAAUGUCGAUGUGCUUACUUCGACUUCCACUUUUGUUAUUUUUAGCCAUAAACACCGCAGCAAAGUUGUCACAAUACAACUUUAAUGGCCUAGAAAUAGAGUCCACAACUCUAAGGCCAGAUAUGAAACUCUUCAACCAUACACCAUGCGAGGUAGCCUCAAAACAAGAAACGAACUCAGCCUCCAUAGUGGAAGUAGCAGUCAAGGUUUGUUUGGCACUUCUCCAAGAUACAGCUCCACUGGCUAACAUAAAAAUAUAACCAGAUGUUGAUCUUCGUGAAUCAACGCAACCAGCAAAGUCUGAGUCGGAGUAGCCAAUCACUUCCAGACAAUCAGUUUGUUUGUACAUGAGCAUGUAAUCUUUUGUUCCUUGAAAAUAUCUCAUCACUUUCUUUGCAGCUUUCCAGUGGUCAAUGCCUGGAUUACUUUGAUAUCUUCCCAAGACUCCAACAGCGAAUGCAAUAUCAGGUCUAGUGCAAACCUGAGCAUACAUAAGGCUUCCAACUGCUAAAGCAUAUGGAAUAUUUUUCAUGUGUUCCCGCUCAAAAUCAUUUUUGGGGCAUUGACUCAAAGCAAGUUUGUCACCCUUCACAAUGAGAGCUACACUUGGUGAACAAUCUUUCAUAUUAAAUCUCUCUAAAACUUUGUUGAUAUAGGUUUCUUGAGACAAGCCUAAAAUGCCUCGAGAUCUUUCUCUAUGGAUCUUUAUGCCUACGACAUAAGAUGCCUCUCCCAUAUCCUUCAUAUCAAAGUUCUUUGAGAGAAAUUGCUUCACCUCAUAUAGCAUACCCUUAUCAUUAGUCGCAAGCAGAAUAUCAUCUACGUAUAAUACAAGGAAACAAAUCUUACUCCCACUGACCUUCUGGUAUAUACAGUGAUCCAUGACAUUCUCUUCAAAGCUAAAUGAAGAAAUGACCUCAUGAAAUUUUAAAUACCAUUGGCGGGAGGCUUGUUUCAAUCCAUAGAUGGACUUAUUAAGCUUGCAGACUAAGUGCUCACCAACACUAGAUAAGAAUCCCUCAGGUUGUUUCAUGUAAACCUCUUCUUCUAGAUCACCAUUCAGGAAUGUCGUUUUCACAUCCAUUUGAUGCAACUCAAGAUCAAAAUGAGCUACUAAUGCCAAAAUUACUCGAAGAGAGUCUUUCUUAGAUACAGGGGAAAAGGUCUCUCUGUAAUCGACUCCUUCUCUUUGAGUGAAUCCUUUAGCAACAAGUCUUGCCUUUUGUCUCUCAAUGUUGCCUUCUGAGUCUUUCUUUGUUUUGAAGACCCAUCUACAUCCGAUGGCUUUUACACCAACAGGCAACUCAACGAGAUCCCAAACUUGGUUAGAUGCCAUAGAAUCCAUCUUAUCUCUCAUAGCAUUAUACCACAAAUUUGAUUCCUUAGAACUCAUGGCUUGUGAAAACGUUUCAGGAUCAUUUUCGGCUCCAAUGUUGUAGUCUGAUUCUUGUAGGUACACUACAUAAUCACUAGGAAUUGCUGUCUUUUUUACUCUAGUAGAUCUUCUUAAUGUUGUUUGGUCAUCUUGCUGAGGAACUUGUUCAACUGGUUCUUCACCAGUUUGUUCAAUAUCAUCAUGUUGUUCCUCACAAACAACUUGAUCUACAUGAUCACUUUCAACAGCUUGUGGAACUUCAAUCACUAGUUGUCCAACACCCAUUUUAACUUGAGGGUGGGAAUGACUACCAACCUAUUACUUGUCCUAGAAGGUUCAGCUUCAUAGUGAUCCCUUUCAGAAGAAAUGUUCUGAAAUUGAUCACUCCCACUGAUCAAGUCAUUUUCAAGAAACUUUGCAUUCCUUGAUUCCACAAUCCUAGUGUUGUGGGAUGGACAAUAGAACCUAUACCCUUUAGACCUUUCAGCAUAUCCAAUGAAAUACCCAGUAAUAGUCUUAGGGUCUAGUUUCUUCUCUUGUGGAUUAUAAAUUCUUACUUCAGACGGGCAUCCCCAAACGCGUAUAUGUCGCAAACUUGGUUUCCAACCCUUGAAUAACUCAAAAGUUGUCUUUGAGACAACCUUGGUUGGAACUCGGUUUAAUAAAUUCUUACUUCAGACGGGCAUCCACAAAAAUUGAGGAAGCUUUACAUUACUCCUUAUGCUUCUCACCAUGUCUAAUAAGGUUCGAUUUCUUCGUUCUGCCACACCAUUCUGAUCCGGAGAACCAGGCAUAGUGUAUUCGGCAACAAUCCCAUGUUCUUGAAGAAAUUUCGCAAAUGAACCUGGUGCUUGUCCAUCCUCUGUGUAUCUACCAUAGUACUCCCCACCUCUAUCUGAUCUCACGAUCUUAAUUUGUUUUCCACAUUGUUUCUCAACUUCAGCCUUAAAAACUUUAAAGGCAUCUAAAGCUUCAUUCUUAGAAUGAAGUAAGUAGAGAUACAUAUAUCGUGAAUAAUAAUCUAUAAAGGUUAUGAAGUAUUUCAGACUAUUUGCAUCCAUGUCUGGACAACAUAUGUUUGUAUGUAUGAUUUCUAAUAAAUUAGAACUCCUCUUUGCACCUUUUUUAGACUUGUUAGUUUGCUUACCCUUAAUGCAAUCUACACAAGUCUCAAAAUCAGCGAAAUCCAAAGUACUAAGUACUCCUUCAUUUACUAAUCGCUUGAUUCUAUCAAUAGAGAUAUGUCCUAAUCUCUGGUGCCACAACAUAGAUGAUUCUUCAUUCACAAUACAUCGUUUUAACCCAACAGAAACGUGCAUAGAAGUAGCGUCGUUUUUCAAUUCAAUCGAAUAAAGACCAUCAACCAAUUGACCACAACCAAUAAUUUCAGAUUUAUUUAGUAAAUUAUUACCAAAGUCUGUAAAAUUAAAAUAAAAUCCCAAAGGUGCAAGUUUAGAAACAUAAAUUAAGUUUUUACAAAAACUAGGAACAUAAAAAACUUUCUCCAAAUGUAAUUUAAAGCCACUAUUUAAAACUAAGACGCACGUUUCAAUGGCCUCUACAUGCGAGCUCAUCCUACUCCCUGAGUAGAUGCAUUGCUCACUUCCCACUGGCUUCCUUAGGCUUUCCAUAUCCUGCAAGGUAUUAGAAACAUGGAUUGUAGAACCAGAGUCAAUCCACCAUGUAUUAUGAUUCACAUUAAUCAUAUUAGAUUCAUAACAAACGAAAGUCAAUGGUGUACCUUUCUUCUCAAACCAACUUUUAAAUUUGGGGCAGUCCUUCUUCAUGUGUCCUUUCUUUUUACAGAAGAAACACUUUGACUCCUUUUUAAUUGUUGGUUGAGUCGGAAUCCUUCCUUUAUUGGUGCCUACAGACUUCUUCCUAUCCUUUCCAGAAGUAGAAGUAGUCAAAUUUACCUUCUCACCUUCUUCCAUUAUCAAUCGCUCCUCUUCUUGAACACACAUGGUCAUCAAUUCAUUAAUAGACCAUCUAUCCUUAUGUGUGUUGUAGGAGAUUUUGAAGGGUGUAUAUUGUUGAGGUAGGGUGCACAAAAUGAAAUGUACCAGGAAGGACUCAGACAUGGUAACUUCUAGGGUUUUAAACUGAGCCACUAUGUCCCUUAAGCGCAUGAUAUGUUCACGCACACCUCUCGUUCUAGUAAGCUUAAUGGAAGAGAAUUGCAUAAUGAGUGUGCUAGCAAGCGACUUCUCAGAGGUCGUAAACUGUUCAUUAAUGGCUUUCAACAGAUCUCUGACCUUAUCAUGCUGGUCAACUGAACCCUGGAUACUAGCGGAUAUGUUGGUUUUUAUGAACAUAACGGAGAGACGAUUAGAUCUCUCCCACUUUUCAUAAAGAUCAACAGCAUCAGGUUCGCUAGUUUCAAUAAUAGCCGGUGGCUCAUCCUUCCUUAUAGCAUAGUCAAUAUCCAUCCAGCCCAAAUGAAGGAGAACUCUUUCCUUCCAAACCUUAUAAUUAUCACCUUUCAAAGUGGGAAGGUCACGAGAAAUAUUCAUAGAUUGUGAAACUGCAAACAAACACACAUGCUCAUUAAGAAAAUUUGAGACUAAACAAAUGCCAUGUUUUGCCAAUGCAAAUCAUGUCUCAAUAUAUAUGAAUCUAGUGACACAAAACUUGCCUGUGGGCUAAAGUCCUACUCAAUUAGAUUCAUCAUGCAACUUUAUGAUAAAACUAUUAAAUCAUGUUCUUUUCCUUAAUUUCUGUGGGUAAAUUAAGAAAUAUAAUUUAAUAUUUUAUCCUAAUUAAUCAUACAAAUAUAACAAAAUUCCUGUAGGUAGAUUUCAUCACAUUACAUAUGAUUAAUCACAAUUAAUAUUUCUAAUGUGAUUAUAAAUUUAGAAUAUAAUUUUACUCAAUUAAAGAUGUUGUGGCUAUUCUCUAAUUUAAUAAAAUUAUAUUAAUCACUUAACAUUCAAAAAUAAUCCUUGCAUAAACAUACUUAAUAAUGCAAAUGUGCUCAAUAUUGAAUCAUAAAAAUUACAUGUAUACCAAUUCAAAAUAGCAUUGCACGUAUAUUCAUUCAACAUGUAAUAAACUUUAAAGGAUUAAAUCCAAUGCAUACCAUUAUUUAACAUAAUAUUGCAUGUUCAGCAUAACUUAAGAGACACACAAUUUUAAACAGUUUAUGCAUAAAUGAUUUAUCCUUCAGAAGUUAUAAAUAUACGUGAACUUCACAUAAUAAACAAUUAAAUUGCAGUAGCUUAGCGGCAAAGGGAGUCCUUUCAUGCUUGCAGGGUGAGGGUUCAAAAUCAGCCCAAAACGUUUUCGCGUUCCUUUUAAUUAAUUAAAAAACGAAAACAAGGAAGAAAAUGCUUCCACUAAGAAUCGAACCUAGAACAAAGAGAUAAUAUAUAUUACAUCUACCACUGGACCAAGUCAUGUUUUGUUUAAUAUUGUUAAUUUAAAAUGUACAUUAACAAUUACAAGACAGUAAACAAAACCCGCAAAACUUCGUCUUCAACCUCCAUAGUGGGUAAAAAAAAAAAUUAUUACCUCAAUUUCAAAAAAAACCCACAUCAUUAUAUGCAUUUUAGACACCCAAAAAUACGCUUUAAAUCAUAGAAAAAUUAGAAAACUCAUAUCAUUCCUAAUUUUGAUGUUAUUUUGAAUUAAUGAGGCUUAAAACAUAACACCCAUGUACUCAGAAAAUAAACUCCGCAUAAUAUAGGAACGACCCAAUAAGCAAGACAGAGGUACAUAUAGGCUAUGAUACCAAAUGUAAAAAUAUAUAUAUAUUGAUCUAAACAUGCAAAUAAAUUAAAAUGACAUAUUUAGAUCAAACAUCGGAAAUUAAAAAUAUUACUUGCGUACCUCCAGCCAUUGCAAAUUGAACGGGAAGCAGCGCACACACGAACCUGAAAGAUAGUUUUGUUCUUCCAGACCCUUACUCACUCUGAAUAGAUGAUGUAUUUUUUCUGAAUAGAGAAGUGGGUUUGGUGAUACAAAACUGAGAGCACCCCAUCCUAUUUAUAGAGUCUGUCCAUCACAGAGCUCUCAACUUGUUAUCAGAACGUGAGAUAGGAAGUUAUCAGUACGUGAGAUAAGAAGUUAUCAGUACGUGAGAUAAAUGAUAGGUACGUGAUUUGGUACUGAAGGUGGUUGCAAAUAUAUUUGCAAAGAUAUGGGUUGAAUGUGGAUGGAAAAUGGACCAGAUUCAGAAAUAACUAAAUUUUCCAAAAUAAUAAAAUGUAGAAAUAACGUGCAACGUGAACGUAACAUGCACUUCCAACACCACACACAAGGUGGAAUAAGUAGGACUAAUAGAUACAAGUCACUUGGUAAUUCAAUAUUUUAAUUACAUAACCUUAUAUUUAGGCUUGAUGUGUUUGAUUUUGUGUUUCGUGCAUUUGGUUUUGAGCAUUAGACAUUUAUUAGAGUUGGGAUACUUUAUAUUUACAUAUUAAACAAUUUAUAUGUUUGAUAUUCUGUAUGCUGAUGCCAUGUCUCAGUUGCAUACACUGUAGGUCCAUGUUUCUUAGGGGGGAAACUGCACCAAAAUUUAUAUAUGACAUUGAUGUUGUACAUCUUAAAAAGAUGGACUUCAUCAAAUUAUAAAGGGUUGUAGGUGUUGACUGAUGUGUACAAGAAGGCUAAUGUGUUCAUAUCUCAAGUGGACAAUACUACUUCAACAACAAUAACCAAGACUUUUUCCACUUGGUGAGAUCAAAUGACACCAUGAAGUUCUGCUGUGAAACAUCUCAAUAGACAAACUAUGGACCUUUAGAUCCUUCUUAAUCGAUUCUCAUGUACCUUUUUCUCGGUCUUCCUCUACCCCUAGCUACUGGGCUACUCUCCAUCUAAUCUACUCUCUUAAUAUGGGCUUCUAUAGGUCUUCUCCAUGACAAGUUUUCGUGUGGACAAGGUCACAACUUUAUUGUCUGAACAAACACUGGGAAAAACAAAAAAGCUAAUCAAAGAAGAACACGCGUUUUCUCCAACCGAAUUUCAACUUUCUCUCCUAAAAAAUUUAUCGAGUUUAUCACUUUGCUUAUUAAAUCCCUGUCAUAUAACUAUUUCUAACUAGUUUUCUUUUUUCUUUUUUGGUAAAUACUACAACAGAUUUUCUUGAUCCCAAGGGAAUCAUCUCAUUAAUUUUUCUUCAUCUCAUUGAAACUUCUAGUCAUAAUAAGCUAAUCUAUUUGCUCUUACUUUCUAAUCUUUCUCUUUCAUCAUGCUUCCCUCUCAUUGCAAGCAUAGCAUCGUCUAAAACUAACACAUUACUUCUCUUUAGCAAACAGUCAUGUUCACAUCUAAAUGAACUUGUUUUGAGAGACAGACACUUGCAUGAUCUAUCAAUUAUCUAGUAGUUACUCCAGUGACAUUACAAGAGACACAUUCAACAAAAAAAACUGUAACACCAAUUUAUCUCGGCAAAAACACUCAACAAAAUAGAAAGUGUUUAUAUGUAGGUAUAGAGUGGAAACCAUUAAAAGAAAAUACAGUUUCAACUUAAGGAGGAAUUUAAAAAGAAAAGAUAUAUAUAAUUAUAUCAUAUACCUGAUUAACUACAAAUCCUUUCAGCAUGUUUAAGAAGUCAGCCUGCCUCUCUUUAUCAAGCCUUUCAAGUUCAUUCCUAUUGUUUUCUUGCAUUGGCAGCAUAAUUGUCCAUUAUCCAAAAAUAUAGACAAAGUAAACUAAAAUUAAAUUUAGAAUACAGACAGCCUACAUUUUAGGAUUGGACUUAGAGAUGAUAUAUCCAAACAUAAUAAUUUUAAACGAGAUGCUAUCAGCAAAGCCAAACCAAAUUGCAUGAAAUAUAACCUAACUGAUGUUAGAUGAUGAGGAAGAAGUAAAAAUGAGACAAAAGAUCAUCCCAUAUACAAAAAUGUUGCCAACAGAUUGCUACAUAAGAAGCACAUAAUUAUUUGCAUGUAGCCUUCAUAACAUAAAAAUUGUGUACAAAUACUCACUAUGAUUCCAAAUAAUAGUGUUUUGAAUUGAUUUUUUUUACUCAAACAGAAGGGAUUGGAUAAAUAAAAAAUUCACAUAUGCUUGGUAUAAAGAAUUUUGGGUAGAGGGUUAGUGAAUAAGAAGAGAAAAAGGUGGAUAACAAUAAUAAACACAAAUAUAUGAUGAAUAUCUGUAAUAGGUUAUAGCACCCAAAUCUAAAACUCUUAUUUAUACUAAUUAGGUCAUGCACCCACUACUACAAAAAACAGAUUUAACAUCGACAGAUUAACAUCGAUUUUUGACAAAACUGAUGUUAAGAUAAAUGCGGUGGCAUAACUGUAAAUAAUAUGUAUCUGUUAACAUUGGUUAUUUUGUUAACAUCGGUUCUUGAAAAACCGAUGUUAACAUUAAUUAGUUAACAUCGGUUAUGGAAGAACCGAUAUUAACAUAAGUUCGUUAACAUCGGGUUUUCAGAAAAUCGAUGAUAACAUAAACUUGUUAACAUCAGAUUUUCAGAAAAUCGAUGUUAACGUAUGAUAAGUUAACAUCGAUUUCUUGAAGAAAACCGAUGUUGGACUUACAUUUUAAUUUAUAUCAGACGCGACCUAUUUUGCUCGCGCUCUCUUCUUCUCCGUCUAACCUCUCUUGUUCUGCGUCUAAGCUUCUUUUUCUCCAUUGCGUUGAAGAUCGUGACAAGUCUCUUUUUCUUCUCCAUCGCCACCUUACCUAGGUACAUUUCUUCUAAGCUCUGUUGUUCUAUUGAAUACCUAGGUCUAUUUGGGGAACUCGUGGUUAACCCAAGGACCUUUGUUUGUUUCUGUUGCAAGGAUUGGGAAACUCGUGGUGACCUGAGGUACGUUUCGUGUCGUGGUCACUAGUGCUCAUAGGGUCUCAUUUUGAUUGAGGUAAGUCGUGCUUACUUUGCAGUUCUUUGAAUGCUUAAUGUCUGUUGUAAAACUAGGGUAGCAUAGUGAAGUGUACUGUAGUGUAGUGUAGUGUUCUUCAUUUUGUUUGAGGUAGUGUAGUGUAGUGUUGUUCAUUUGGAUUGAACAAUUCUGGUCAUGUUUUUUUUAUGUUUUUCCCUUCUAUGCACUGAUGUCAUGUAUCCAUUGAAAGAGGCAAUACUAGGAAGGGAACAAAGUUGUUAGACACUCGUGCCAUGUAUUUGUCAACUUUGGCAGAUAUUAAUUGGUGCAUUCCUUAGCCAUUCAGGUGCGAUGUUCCUCUGCCCCUUUGGAAAUAGAAUGCCUAACUCUAGAUUUUUCACUACCAUCAACCCAUCUCUUUAGCCUUUCAAGCAACUUUGUCCUUUUAGAAUAAGCAAUGUCACUGUGAUGAUGACCACUAGCAUGCUCAUCAAAGGAAGGAUCACUGUGAUGCUCCAAAAGGGAAUUGUGUUGUUCAGGCUCCGAAUCAUAAUUGAUAACUACAUCAUUUCUUCCAAAUUCCAAUUCUAAAUGGUUUUUAUCCUUAUUUUGUUGUUGUUCAUGGUGUCUCACUAAAGAGUAAGUCCUAUUCUGAUUCUGUUUUUGUCCAUGGUGUCUCACUAAAGAGUAAGUCAUAUCCUGAUUCUGUUGUUGUUCAUGAUGCCUCACUAGAGAGUAAGUCCUAUCCUAAUUCUAAAUGCUUUUUAUCCUAAUUCUGUUGUUUUGAUUUGAAUGAAAUUUGUUGUUGAGAGUGGAUCUUUUUUUCUUGUAGCUAUGGGGUAAAGAUCUUUUGGUUGCUACAUUUGAUUCUGGGAAGUUUUUGUUGCUCACAUUUUGCAAUGAAAUGCACAGUUUUGUUGACCUUGUCUCUGUUUGUUCUCUCUCUCUUUAAAUAUUAUGGAAUAUGGAGGGAGUGUUUCUAGUUUUGGUUCAUUGAAGCAUGGCUAGAACAUAUGAUAGUUGUUGUUACAAACUACAUUUUAUGGAAAAAUAGUUAACUUGUAUGAACUUUCUUCUUUUUCUGUAUGUGUCUUUGUAGGUUUGUUCCUGUAACACAUAUUUAACUGUCUAAUUCUGGAAACCAAAUUGGUCUUCCUAGAAGAAAGUUAGCAGUUGAUUCUAGAUGAUUCUAGUCACAAAAAUUCUUUGAAAGCAUCUAUUUUGUUUAUCUCUCAGUUUUGUGUUCUAGUCCCAUUCUAUAAGCAUAUAUUAGUGGCUUCACAUAUUGCAAACAAUAGAGAAGUUAUGGUCCCAUUCUGUAAUAACAUUUAAAUACUUUUAAAAUGUGUGGGCCACCUGAGUUAAAAUGGCCCAUUUCAAGUAGCAGAACCCAACUCGAAACUCUCCUUAGUUCACUGGAUUCCUUAGAAUCUGGCAGGUAUGACCAGUUUGAUACAAAACUGAAUCCAACAGUAACAAAGAUGAAAGAAAUAUAGCAGGAAUGAAGAAGAAAGAUGAUGUAUGUAAUAUGUAUUAUUAAGACCGAGGAAAAUUCAGCAGAAUGAGGUCUAUACUACCUUGAGCUGCUCUGCUAUUAUAGAGAAAUACCGCUAAGCUAUUAUUGAGAGAUACUACUCUCUAUCCAUAACUAACAAAAUGAUAUGUUAGGAUACCCUCUUCACUCCCCUUCUCUCCUAUAUCAUAACUACACAUUCCACUAUUCAAUAAUUAGCUCCUUCCUUCCCUUUCUCUCUCACUGCCAGGUCAUCAUUCCUCUCUAGUCUCCCUCUGUCCCUUCUAGUGUAAACCUUCUAAACUUUGGGCUCAUGACUCGUGAGACAAUUGUUGAACUUGCAUUCCCUUCAGAUAUAUUUGGUGUGAUUAGCAAGAAAAUGACUUUUGGUGUAAUAAAAAUUAUGGGUCCCUGAAGCUAGAGAAAAUCCAAAUAAAGCCUUGAAAAACUACAAAAAAAAUCCACAUAUUGAAUUAUUGCUAUCUAGAUAUCAUAGUUUGAGUUGAGAACUUGAUAGUAAAGACAUAAUGAGAACAUGAUAACUUUUGUAGAGUUUUGUCUUUCAUUUAACUAGGGUACUUUAAUAAAUAAUCAAUACUAAAAAUUCAAAUCAUAUUGAAUUAUAGGCAAAAUUAAGUUAGAUUUUUAAGAUUUCCUGUUAGUGUUUUUGUAUCCUCUGCAAGUUUAAAUAUCCCAAUUUAUGAGGAUAUCUAGAACAAAACCUGGUAUGUCCUUUGAGUUAUAAUUUUUUUUUUGGGUAAGUUACUUUUUUUUGUCCUGAAAGUGUUAAAUGUGAUGACAUGGAUACUUGAAGCUAGAGAAAAUCCAAAUAAAGCCCUGAAAAACUGCUAAAUGUUUCAUAUAAGUCUCAAUUUAACCAAUUGCUAUCAUUUUGAUCCUUGAAGAUAUGCUAAAUUAACACUUAAAUCAAGUGACAGAUGGAGUAAUGUGAUUGUUUAUUUCAAACAAAUUUGAUUUUUUUAUGAUUGAUAUUAUAUUAUUAACUUAUGUUUUAUUUUAUCAUGUAGUAUUUUAAUGAUGUUAGACCAUUGAAAUCAGAGAGAUUGAAGGCGCUUUGCAUCCAGUGGACAAAGUAUUAUCUCAAAGUUAGAAAUGAAACUUAGGAUGUUAGGCAAAUUUGUAAUUUUAGUUUACAUACUUAGUUUACUAGCUUGGUUUACAUUUUUUUACAAUUGAUGUUUCCUUUUAACAUUGAAUAUUUUUUAUUCAUAGUUAUUAAUAAAUUUGUCAUGGAAUUUUUCUGCUAAAAACUAUUUCAAAACAGAAUGCAAAUGAUAUAUGCUAUGAUGUGUGAUCUGAUUUCAAAUUUGCAGGUGAAUUUUUAGGUUUAUAAAAAAACAGAUAGUAUACUAAAAAAAAUUCCUAAUAACAACAUUGAUUUUUAAAAAAAAACUAAUGUUAACCUACACAAAAAACAUCGGUUUUUUCAAAAACCGAUGUUAACUGCCAACAUUAACAUUGGUUUUUUAGAAAACCAAUGUUAACAUAUGAUAACAACAUCGGUUAUUUAGCAAAUCGAUGUUAACAUUGUCAGUUAACAUCGAUUUUAUACAAAAAUUGAUGUUAACUUCCAACGUUAACAUUAGUUUUUGUUAAAAAUCGAUGUUAACUGCCAACGUUGGUAUGAACAUAUAUACCUUUUUUGUGUAAUUCUUAUUAUAUAACAUCGGUUAUUUAAAAACUGAUGUUGUCAUUUUAUGUUAAUAUCGAUUUUCAAAAAUUGAUGUUAACUAUAAUACUUUCAAUGUCGGUACUUUCAACAUUGGUUAAUAACCGAUGUUGAAAGUCCUAAAUAACCGAUGUAAAAAACUUAUUUUCUAGUAGUGACCAAUAAACUCUUAUUUAUACUCACCUUGGAGCAAGUAAGCACUUUGUGUGAGACAUUUUCCACAAUAACAUCAUUAAAUUAAUUUUUGGUUAAAUUACUCAUUUAGUACCUAUAGUUUCAUGAUUCUUACCUUUUUUGUCCCUAUGGUUUGAAAGUUGUGUUUUUAGUCCUUAUAGUUUAUAUUUUAAUUCUCUUUUAGUCCUUAUAGUUUAAAAGUGUUCUUUUUAGUCAUUAUACUUUGUAUUUUAAUUCUCUUUUAGUUCCUAUAGUUUAAAAGUGAUAUUUUUAGUCCCUAUAAUUUGUAUUUUAAUUACCUUUUAGUCCUUAAUACAAAAAAAUAUAUAAAAAUCAUUAGCCACAAAUUAGUUAUAAAUUAUCAAUUAUUUUUAACUACAAAUUAUCUUACAAUAAAUUAGUUAUGAAUUACUUACUAAUAUUUUUGUAGUUAAUUGUAAUUGAUAAUAUUAUUUAUAUUUUGAUGGUAAGGACUAAAAGAGAAUUAAAAUAUAAAAUAUAGGAACUAAAAAGACUAGUUUUAAACUAUAGGAACUAAAAGAGAAUUAAAAUACAAAUUAUAAGGACUAAAAAAAUCACUUUCAAAACUAUAGGGAUUAAAAGAGGAUUAAAAUGUAAACUAUAAGGACUAAAAAAAUCACUUUCAAACUAUGUGGACCAAAAAGGUAAGAAUCGUGAAACUAUAGAGACCAAAUAAGUAAUUUAACCUUAAUUUUUUAUGUCAUUACAUUUGCAUCUGCAUACCGAUCUAUCGAGGUCUUGAAACCCAUUUUCGGGCCUUAAUCCCUAGUUAUUCAUCUCACCAUCAAACUCUCUCCUUCAGCAAUGUUCUAAACAAAUUCAUUAUCUCUCCUAACAAGUAACCUAAUCAGUUUUCCAAACUAGAAAAACCCUAAUAUUCUAAUUGAAUUCUUUAAUUCAUGGACUUCUCCACUCAAAAAACUAGAAAAAAUUAAAAAGAAACAAAAAAAACUAACCCUAAAAAUUUCACUAAGAAUCUUCAUUCUUUAGUAGUCCUUCUCAUUGCCCACACACAAAAACAAAGCCACGGAGACAAAAUACAAAGACACCCACCCACCGACUAACACAAUAACACAUUUAUAUACAAAUCGCGAAGAAGAACAUAAUCAAAUCCAUCAUAAUUUCAUAUCUAAACAUUCAUUCAACGUUUGAGGAAGAAAGCGUUUGAUGACUUACCUGUACGAUGACCUAACACUUGAUGGGAAAAAGGGUUUCAGGGAGAGAGUGGUUCACUUUCGAUGGGAAAAAGGGAUUCAGGGAGAGAGUACGUGGUUCACUUUUGAUGGGAAAAGGUGUUUCAGGGAUAGAGUGGUUCACGACUCGAGCUCACUUUGAGGGAGACAAUAGUUGAGGGCUAACUUCAUAAGCUAGGGCAAAGACGGAGGAGCUAGAGUUUUUGAAUAUGGUCGUUCGAAAGUAGUUCAUCGUAGGGGGGACACAAUUAAUGAAACGGGUCUACGAAGACGGUCCUACAUUAAAAACGUAUUGUCUUAAUUUAUUCUCAUUACAGGAUUGCCACAAGUUACAUUUUGAGAGGGUUCUUUUGUACCGUCUUAAAAAGGGCGAAGUAAAAAAAAUUUUUUAANNNNNNNNNNNNNNNNNNNNNNNNNNNNNNNNNNNNNNNNNNNNNNNNNNNNNNNNNNNNNNNNNNNNNNNNNNNNNNNNNNNNNNNNNNNNNNNNNNNNCCACUUCUUAUUCUAAAAUGGUUCUAAAGAAUAAUCUUAGAAUGCACAUCGUAAAUAAGUGCUUUUGUAGUAGAGUUUAGAGCAAUUUGUUGAUUGAUUAUGGUUAGUUACAUAAUUUAGACAAUUCAUGUACUGAAAAUUCUCUCUCCUGAUUCCUCUUCUUGUUGUAGCAUUUUCUCUACAAUUUUAGUCCCAUGAUUUUUGCCCAUUAGUUCUAACUCAUAAAAAAUGAUUUUGAAACUUUGAAUUCUUGUUGAAAAACCUUGUUGGGUAGGAAAAUUGGAUUUAUAUAUAAUUUCACUCCACCAAUAUAGCAAUUGUUAUUUUAAAAUUUAAAUGUAAAUUUGUAAUUUUAAUUGAUAUUUAGAAAAUUAUAUUUGUUAUCAUAGGUUCAUUGAUAUGUAGGAUAUUGUAAUUGUUAGGAUAGGUUAAUUAUGUUGACUUUGAAUUUGAUUAUAAAUGUUAGAAUGUAUCGAACUAUGUUCAUAAUAUUUAGACUAUCUUUAAAAUAUGUUGACUCUAAUUCUAAUUAUUGUACGUUCAUGUUAUCUUUUAUACAGAUAUAACACAUACAAGAGGUGGUGACCGCACCAAACCUACUACAUCUGUAUGUAGGCAUGAAAGAUGUGUAGUUGUAGAUGAGGAGCAAGAGAUUUACGAAGCUCCCGAACAUGUUGCAACUGAUGAUGUUGCACCUCAAGAUGUUGUGUUUGGUGGUGUGCUUGAGGACAAAUUAGUCCUUAUUGAAUAUGCUGAUCACGUGGCUUGUAAAUUGUGGGAUGACUUGGUAUACCAAUAACAACAAUCUAAUUUUUUUUUGGUUAAUUGAUUCAUAUUUCAUAAUGGCAUACUGAAAUAUAAAUUUUUGUAGGACCAUGAAGAGUUCAAGCUAGUAGCUCAUGGAAGGAAGUUGAGGGAUUUGGGCCCCCUCAUAAGGAGAUCAUGAGAGUGAUGCAAGAUUCAGGGUUACUUUUAUUGAUUGAAUGUGAUAUCUCACAUCCGCAAUGUUCGUUCCUUUGAGAUGUUUUCAUGGGGUCAGACAUGCAUCUACAUUUUCUUGAAAAAGUCUUGGGGGUAAUUUGGUUAUACUCAAACUACUCCUCGACACCCAUCUGCGUUUACAUCAAUACAAAUAUCCACUUAGGAUGUCAAGAGAGGUGGUUGAAUUUUGCAUACCACUUGGUCAAGCCAGAUGAGACAAUUAGUGGGCCCUCAGGUUGGGCUACAGGUUACAUUGAAUGGUAUUUUAGGAUCUUGCAUCUGUUUGUAUUCUUAGUUAAUAAAGAUGAUAUUCCUAUUGUCCCACAUUUAUAACAUAGUGACUUACAUAAAUUGAAUCAUGUUAUGUAAGUGACUAUGUUAAAAAUGUGUAUUCAACAUUUUGAUGGAAUUGUUAUAUUGAUAUAUUAAUUGUUUUUUUUUUUUUAUUAAUAGAACAUCUGUCGUAAGGUCGUUGAACCCUUGCAGGAGAUGAUUUACUUAAGGAUGGUGACUACUGAGGGCACCACGACAUAUGAUAAGGUUCAAGCGGCACUUUUGUUGUUGUUUGAAGGUACUCAUGGUAGAAAAUAUUAGUGGAGGAUGAGGUGGCAGGAGAGUUUAGUGUAGUUGGGGAGACCAUGGACAACCUUAGAUAUUACCUUUGUAAAAACUUAAUGACAUGAUAUUUGGUUUAUGUAGGAACUUAUUGAUUUUUAUGCCAUGUUUGAUACUGUGUUGAUCUUUAUUUUGCGUUUGAGACAUGAUUUAUGUUUGGUAAUAGAAGUUCAUAUUUUAAUGUGGACUAAUCAUAUUUUAGGGAAGGUUAUACCAUAAUCUUUUUUGAAAUUUGUAACAAUAUUAAAAUAAGAAAUCUCACACUUAGGGUCUCACAAGCACAAUUAUAAAAGUAUAUGUUAAAAACACAAAAAUAUCACAAUUAGUCUAAUCAAUCUUUUGCAAGGUUGACAAAACUGCGUGUAAUACCAAUUAAUUGUGAAAAUUGUUGCAUUUUGACAAUGUGGGGAGUCAUUCACGGUUUUGCUACAAGAUGACAAUGUGUAGACCAUGUCACAUUCAGAUUUGGUAUUAGACAAUGAUCCUUCAAGACCACUUGCAUAAAAUUUUAAUAGUCAAAUAAAGAUUAUAAUAAAAAAAAUAUAAUUGUGAUCGGGAAGAAUGUGAUAUACCUAAACAAAAUGGUUGUCAUUGACAUGAUUCACACAUUGUUUUACGGAAAAACAUACAAAUAUUAUAUUAUACGUAGACCUAAUAACAUAUCCCAUGUUUGGUAUUGUCAUCCAUUUAUCCAUAGAUGCCUAAUAAAGAAUGUUGUUAGUAAACAUAUUUACAUAAAAUUUAAUGCAUACAAAUAACAACUUGAAAUUAUAGACUUUACCACAAAAUACUGUCAACUAGUAAAGAUCUCUUUAUGACAUCGUAAGGCUCAUAACUACCAAAUAUAAUGGCAUACUCAUCCUGUCAUUGACCAAGUUCUUUAAUUAAAUUGUUACGCACUAUAGGCCAUGUAACGACUCGUCUCAUCGCUACGAUAUCACCACUCAAAAUCACGAAAAUUUCAAUUUUUAAAUGAAAACUCAGUUAAUUGCUUAUGAAAAAUGAAAGUAAUUUUUUCACGAUAUACAUUCACCAAACAACGCACAAUUAGUUAAAUGAAUAUAUAUAUAUAUAUAUAGUGACUUAGUACACAUCAUUCACAUAAUGGAAAGUAAAUUAGUUCAUGCAUAUAAUUAAAUUUGUGAUUUACAUCCUUAAUUAAAAAAAAGAAUUAUAGAACCAACUAUGGAAGAGUUGAUUAACAAAACAUAACUCUCUCCCAAAAUAAUCUCAACAUCAUCACGUCGACUUGACGGCUCCAUAAAAGAAUCUUACUUCACGUACUCUACUGUUGUCCUUCUGCUUCUAUGAACAAAGGUUCGUGAUCAUCACAGGUACCAACCACACGGUACAAAAAUUGCAAGGGUGAGUUUAUUAUAAAAUAACACAAAAAUCAAAUAACCAUAAUUAGUAAGAAAACAUUAAUAAAUACCAUAAGCAUACACAAACAUCCAUUAAUCCAACAUAUACUCAACAAGUAGUCAUCAUCCAUCCAUAAUUCCAAUCAAUCAUGCUCAGUAUGAUGCAUCCACCAAACCUCAACUCUCAAAUGCAAUGUGGUACCAUUCAUCAAGGAAAUAGCCUAAGUGUGUCCACAGAACACUCUCACUUAGGAAAAUUAGGCAGUAAGUAUCGAGGUCACCUUGUCGUGCACAUGCGACUCCUCUCCCAUGGUGAUCAGUCUGAGUCUCAAGGGAGUUCCAAACCAAGAUACAUGCCCCCAAGUACAAGUAUCCCCCCCAUGAGAAACUACAAGUACUUAUUGACAAAUUUUAUACUAUUUCCAUCCAAUAUAUGACCGUGGAUAAUUAAGGAUUCUAAGUCAUCCCCCUCCAGAGAUGCUCAAAACUCUUUAACCACUCUAUUUCUCCCACUAGGAAUAUCCAACAUGGUCAUAGCACCCCCCAUGUACAUACACAUCACACAUCAUCACAAUGUCAUUUUCAACAUCAACAACAUCUCAUCCUAAUGUCAUUAUGAACAUCAUCUCAUCUUAAUGACAUUCUUAACAUCAAUAUCAUCUCAUCUUAAUGUCAUUCUCAUCAACAUCAUCUCAUCUCAAUGACAUUAUCAACAACAAUAACAUUUUCUCAUAUCAACAUAAUCAUCAAUAACAACACCAUCUCAUAUCAACAUUAUCAUAAGCACCAACAUCAUCUCGUAUCAAUUAUUAUCAAUUUCAUCUUCAAUAAUAACAUCAUUCUCUAUCAACAUUAUCAUAAACAUCAACGUCACCUCAUAUCAAUUAAUAUCAUCAGUAAAUCACAUUCUACAUGUACACAUAUAUAUAGUUCAUGCUUGAGAUUCACACUCCCCAGGUCUUCAGACAACACAAGUCUAAUAAAAAUAAUAAUUUCAUUUAUCAAUUACAGACGUAUCGCAUCCCAUUAGUCAAAAAUAUCAUUUUACUUGAAAAUCAGCAUGCAACAGGGACAAGCAUACAUCCCCACAGUUAGGUUCCCUGACACCAACUUUGGUAUUAAAAGCCAUAAAUUAUAAUAAACUCCCUUCACCUAUCGAGAGCUCUACUUCAGUUCCUCUUUACGUCACUCAAAGACCUCUCUCGUUCACAUUCGCCAGUCCAAAUGCAAGGUUCUAUAUAGAAAAUUGAAGAAAAUUUAGUAUAUAUUUCAAAAACAAGGUUAAUAACAACAUUUGGGGUUAAUUACCCUUGUUAAAACAUAAAGAGCUAAGAGAUGUUUCAGAUUCUAUUAAAAGGAGACAUUAUUUUGAAAUUCUGAUCACGCCAAUGUGACCAGGGUUCAAUGCAGAUCACAAAAAUAACCUCAAUUUUAUAUAAAGAUAACUUUUACAAAGUCUCAUUUUCAAGGGUUUUUCAAAGGAACUGUAAAAACACCCUAUUAUAGUAUCCAAAACACAAAAGAUACUAAGAGAAGCUCAAACUAACUAGGAGAAAGGCUUAGAAGUCAAGAUUACCUCAGGCAAGCUAUGAAAGAAAGGAUUUGAGGGAUUGUUUUCCACCGAAUCAUUGUAGGUGGAUUAUGAGGAUUUCACUCCUAUUAAAAUGUUCCUUUUGGUGUGGUGGUUUGACGGCAAGCAACGGCGGAUGGUCGUAGGGGGGUGGAGAAGAAGGUUUUAGGGUUUGGGUGGAUGUUUGGAGAGGAGGAUAGUGAAAAAUUGUGUUUUUCACGCUAAAGAACGUAUUUAUAAUUUGCAGAUCUCGCUUAGCGAGACGAGGAGUCCACUUUUGGCGCUAAGUGCGACUUGUUGCACUUAGCGCAAUUCCUCUCGGAUUGGGAUUUGCAUUGAGCGCGAGAAUUUGCGUUGAGCACAAUUCCUCUUGCGCUAAGCCUAACUCCUUCUUGGGUUGGAAUUGUGCUUAGAGCGCUUCUUGCACUAUGCGAGAGGUCAAAACUUGUUAUUUGGAAAAUCCUAAUGGUUAGAUUGUAGGGCAUAUGUUGGGAACCUAUAGUCAAAAUUUGAAGAUGAUCCAACGGUUAACAAAUCUAGGAUCGUGGUUUUAACAGGAUAUGUCUAAGUGAAAUUUGAAAUCUCAUAACUUUAACUUAGGUCAAUAAAAUUCAACAUAACUCAACAUCCACAUUAAGCAAAUCACACAUGAGUAAUUCACACAAUACCUCAACUCAUUCAAGUCAAUCAUAUAAUCAAAUAAGAUGAUAAUUACAAUUACACAUCGAUUUAUAAUUAGCGAUAUUUCAUGGUGUUACUAGCCAAGUGUCUUCACCAAUAUCUAGUAAGGCAUCAAUUGCACGAUAUCCACAAUGGUCAUCAUCCUUUACAUCAACAAUGUCCAAAAUAUAUGGGUAAAGGAAGCAACUGCACAAUAUCCACAAAUAUUUUGUUAAUCUUUGCCAACUUCACUUUUUGACCCAAUGUCUUGGAUGACUUUCAACUCGAUGAGUUGUCAUUCACAUACUGAAGGAUCACCUUUAGUUGACCUUUCCAAUUUACUUGCAUACUCUUUUUGUGAUCCCUUAGUUUUUACCUUAUAAAAUAGUGGUCACAUGGAAGUCAUGUUAAGGUAUGCUAUUUCAUUAAGUUUUCUUGUUAUAAUAACUUUCCUAGCUAUGUCCACCUCUACAAAGUGUUUUAAUAUAACAUCAAACUCUUGUUGCACAGACAUAUCUGCAUAUGGCUCGUUUGAACCUAUAUAUGCAAAGCUUAAUCUACUCCAAAAAACAUUAAUUGCAUCAAGUGGUAUGCUACCCAUGCUAUACCUAACUAGUUCACAUGCACAAGAGAGACCUUGUGUAUAUUUUGUGAUGCAUCUACAAUGAAUGUUGUUAACACAAACAAACUUUUCUCGAUCCAAUUCCUCUUUAAUAUGAUUAAGAUCAUACCUUGAACAAAUCCAUGCAAUUUCUUAUACAAUGUUACAUUAUGAUUAUGACCCAUAAAUUGAAUACUCUUCUCAAAUGAGGCUUUAAUUUUUGUAUGCUGCAAUGUAAUCAAGUUGUUCUUGGAAUCCCAACAUUUACACAAGUCCCUCAUGCUAUUCUAAAUUAACCUCUUUAAGCUCCAAUGCACACAAUCAAUCCUGUUAAUCAACAAACUUGAUAUUAGUUUCAAUAUAUUACACUUUGUCAAAAUAAGUUAAUUACAUAAAAUACUUGUUGCUUGUUAUGUUUCCUAAGUGCAUAACUUUACUUGUCCAUGCUUUUACAAAACAUUCCUUGUGAGGGAUCAACCAUGUAUUCUUCACAUACUCGACAAAGUACUCCUAUGGUGAACAUACAAUGUCAAACAUCUUGGCAUGCCCCUCAUACUCAGAUUGAGUAAAGCAACAUAAGUCUUGCAUUUGACUUUCACAUUUUUGUCAAUGUGAAAUUGGCACAACAAACUACAAGUUUCAGGAAAUACAUAUUUCACUGCAUUCAUCACGGCUAAAUUUUCUACUGCAUUGAUCAACUCUAAAAAAAAGCCCUUUGAGCUUCUAAAGUGCCCAAACAAAGUUAUCCUUUCGUUCAACCUCCAUAUAUACAAAAGUUGUAGAAAAUUUCAUUUCAAUAUGAGUCACACCAACAACCUCAAGUAAUGAUAGUAUAUAUCUAUUAGUUUUCUUGGUAUUGUCCAUCAAGAACACUAUGUUAAAUGGAUUAAUCAUUUUCAUAGCAUCAAGAUGUGUCCAAAAAAUAUCUCACACAACUUUUGAUGUAUCAUUCAUUAUAUGUCAAUGAAUAUACAUAUCUCGUUCAAGUAAGUUCAUCAAAUGCUACAUUUCCGUUCUAAAGCCUCUUUUAGACGAACGAUACACAAUCCUUGCAUUAUAUACUUGUUUUAUUGUAGUCACAUUUCUUUCAUUGUGCUCUUUGAAUGUCAACAAGAUAUUUUUGGGCUUUACCAUACUCUUUGUGAUAUUAGUAAACAUCGUCUUAUCUUCAUUAUUUAGUUAGUCAACAUAUAGAUGACUAACCAAUGACUCAAAUAAAUCAUGAUUAUGCAUCUCGCAAAUUAAUUUCAACAUCCAUCCUUCGUAAUCCAUCAGUGGUCUACCUCUCAGCCUAAAAGAACACUCACACUUUCUAGUUUCACUUAUUGUGAUUUGUAAGUUUUUUGUUUAUUGCCUAUACUUUUCACCCCUUUCAUCGCCUAACACAACAAAUGUCUUCUGUCCAUGUUGCCUUUUUUAUGUAUAUGACCUCAAAAUGACAACAACAAAACCUAUUUCAAAUGCAACAUCCCGAACCCAUUUCAAUAAUUCAUCUUGAGUAGCAAAAAACUAUAUACAAAACAUACAACAUCAAUAUGUUAAUGUACAAUAUUUUCAAGGUAUUACAAACAAAAAAAAAACACAAAAUAAUUACCUUUGUAGUUAUGAAUGCUUUGCUACAAUCAACAAUUUUUCCAGUCUCUUGUCCAUAAUGUUUAUGAAUAGCUUCGUCUAUUCUAAUGUCAACAUACAUGUCAACUUCCAUAUCCACUUCAUUUGACAUCUUCCUCACAUAAUCGUCUUCCAUAUAAACCUUUCAAAAGCAACAAAAGUAAGUUAAUUAACAAAAAUUAUCCAACAUAUUUGAAACAAUUUAUAAUUAAUAACUAAAAUUCAUAUAAUUACCUGAAACCAACCUUCCAAAUAAGACAAUCAACAAAUGAAAAAAAAAUACAUCGGAUUGGCUAAUUUGGAACUUAAAAACAACAAUUUCAAAUUCCCUAAUCUAGAAUAUAAUAUAAUUUUUGGAUCAGGCAAUCCAUAAUUGUUGUUUUGAAGUUUCAGAUUAGUUGAUCCGGGAAAGACAAAAACUCAAUUAAGAUCAAACAAUUUGGAAUUGUUGUUGCACAAUUCUGGAUUGAUUGAUCUAAAUUAAUUAAAAAAUAAAAAUAAUUUCUGGAGCAAUAAAUUCAUACGCAUAAGAACAAAUUUGGAUUAUCAAAUCUGAAAAUAUUUUAUAUUUUUGGAUUAUUUGAUCCGGUCUAUUAUUACUCCAUUAUGGAUUCAUUGAUCCAGAUUUGUAUAACCUCAUUUUAUAGUUUUAUGUUAUUUUUACGGUUUUAAUUCCAUAUUUGUUGAUCCAAACCUAUCCUAAAACUUCAUUUUCCAAAAAACAUUUCCGGAUAAGUUAUUCUGAUUAUAAUAAACUAACACAAAAAGUAUAAACAAGACAAUUAACAACUCACCUGUGCAAGUGAACUUGAGCAACAAAAAUGCUUACUCGGAAUGAACAAGUGAAGAAGACAAUGUUUCAGGCAUGGAGAAACGAGGAAAUCAAGCUAUGGACAAGUGAGAAAGACAAGGUUACUAUGCCCAUUUUGAAAAAUUGGGAGGUGCAAGAAACAAACUGGGAGGUAUAGGAAGCAAAAGCCAAGAAAUUGACUUUGAUCAAUUGUCUUAAGGCCCAUCAACAUCUAUGAUGUAGUCGUAUAAUGAUAGUGGGCUGGUGGCCAGCCCAAUACCUAAAGUCCUGUUAUAUAUGCAUAAUUACCUUCCAUCCUAUUGAAAGCUUUUUAUUUCUUGUCUCUCUUGUUCAAGAAUUUUAUCAUUAAAUAUUUCUGAUUUUAUUUUUCUGUCUUGUGAAGUUAAAAGUUAAUCACUUCCUUCUUUCAUAUUAGUUAACUUAUCCACCUUGAUGAAAAAAAAACCCAAUUGUUUUCAUACAACAUAUGAAAACAUUGAAAUUGACUGCACAAAUUUUGAAGCUUCCUAUCACUGUUACGAAAAUCAGACCAAACUGUCUUGUUAAACUAUAAAAUCAAUGAAGCAGUUAAGUUUUUAAUUCAAAUAAACUAUUGAGCUGACCCAUGAAAAAACCCAUGAAAUAAAAAAAAAUUGGAAAAAAAAUCAGCAAAAAAAAUCAUGUUUAUAAUUUCCAAAAGAAUUUUUAGUUGAUAGUAAUAGUAGUAAUAAAUUAGAAUUCCUUUAUAUUCACCCUCUAUAUUUACAUUGGUUCAACAUAAUUCAAAUAUUUCAAUAAAACCUUUAAUUCACUUUCUGAAACUAUCAUUGAUCAAUCAUCCAUAACCAAAAACACCAAUACAACGUUUCCAGGCUUCUAGAAAAUCUAAUUUACAGCAACUAUUUCACUAUAUUUUAUUUUUAUUCAAAUUUUAUUUUUUCUUAUAUUAAUUGUGAAAAUUGUACUUAUUCUUUGAAGAUAAUUUAUUAUUAUAAAAGAUUAAUUUUUACUAAAUGAUUCAAUUAACAAAUAAAUAUUUAAAAAUAAGAUAUAUAAUCCAUUUUUUUAUUGUGAGUUCUUUUUAAUUAAUUAAACAAACAAUUUUAUAGUUUUCAUCUUAUUAGAGAAUUGUCUAAUACUUAAUGGAUAUGGUGAUAGUAAUUUUGAUUGUGUCAUAAUGAUUUGUAAGAUAUUGUUUAAGUAGAUUUUGUAGUGUUUUCUAUAUAUAAGUCAUUUUCAAUAAUUGACUUAUAAUGAGAUUUCAUUAAAAAAAUUGAAAAAUAUAAAAUCAACAUGUUUACGUCCUUAAUUUUGUUCAAGAAAAACCGGGAGCAUCGAAUUCUUCAAGUUUCUAUUUUGCUGCUUUCACACUACCAAAAACAAAAAUCUUUAUGAUUUAUGAGCAUUUUGGGUCAGACCUAUAUUGUUACCACAGUCAUUAUUCUAUGCAAAACUAGUAAUUCCAUGCUUCCGGUUUUCCAUACAUUGCAAAAAUCACGUAACUGUUCAAAAGACAUUUCUUUCAAAUUUUCAACUUUUUAGUUUUUUUUUUUUUAAUUUGUAAGAAGGGCAAAUCAUUCAAAAGUCUUGAAAUCUGCUAGGUUUCCGGUAUUCAUUAAUUGUUAGUCAAAAGAAAAUGAGACUUAUUAAUCAACUCCUGAGAGUUCUUUUCUAUCCCAUUCGAUGGGGCAAGACCUUUAGAAGUUACAAGUCUCUAAACCUGACAAUUCACGGCAACUGCUCAAUUGAAAUAAUUAAUUGACUAGUUUUGGACGUGUGGAAUGCUCUUGGGUAGAACGUAAUUUUGUAGGGUUGAACAACUUCUAAAAUGCUUUCAUGGAAAAAUAUAAGAGUACGCACAAUUUCCUGAGCUACGUUUAUAGUCUCUGUUAAAAGUGCAAAGAGUACCAAUCUUCGUAUAUAUUUAUAACUGUGCACAGUUAUGCUUUACUAACUAGUGGAUACUUAAAACCAAUUCCAUCUAAUACAUGAUUCUUAACCAAUAUUAUAACAAUGAUAAUUCCAAAAAAGGAAAAAAUAACGCUUAGAAAGUAACCGUGAUAGCCAAAUUAAUUAAGGACAAAAGCUAAAAAAAGUUAAAAAUGCAAAGUCUAAAUGGAAAACGGGGUGUGAGGAACAACCACAUUUAAUUUAUGUCAUUCGCAAAAAAGUAUUUGUCAUUAGAAAGUAGUCCUUUUUUUUUCUUGCAUAAAUUUAAAUGCUAUUAGGUACACGGAUUUCUUUAGAAAAAUAUAAAAGUCUGUAAUAAAUAGUUAAUAGUAUUAAAACAUUGACUACAAUGUGGAAUUUUUGUCACUCAAAUAAAACGACAGAUCUGCAAAUCCAGAGUCUCGACGCGGUUGCGGUGGAAUUUUUGUUCAGUUGAGGAAUUGAAGUUUGGUUAAUGUGGAAUUUUUGUUCAGUUGAGGAAUUGAAGUUUGGUUAAUGUGGAAUUUUUGUAUGAGCAGAUUUUAUUUUUUCUUUGAGCACUUCCCAGUUUCGGUUGAAUCCCUGGAUGGUGGGGUGGGAUGAAAUGCGUUCAUUUUUUACACGCCUAUGAAUCUAAGUUUACUGUUGAAUUUGGGAGUGGGCAUUCGACACCCAAAGGGUUAAUAUGGUAUAUUCACAAUAUUUUAUAACCAUUUUUUAUGUAUAAAAUUAAUAGGAUAAAUAGUUAUUUUUAUCUUUCAAUAUGUAAUUCACUAACAAAUGCAUCAUUGAAAGAUAAAAAUACAAAAUUAGUCCGUGAAAGUGUAAAAAGUGCGACAGAUAUGUCCUACCAUUAACUUUCACCUGUCACUCCGCGGAUGAACAAAUUUAUCACUGAAAUGAUUCUUAGCGUAAAAACAUAUUUGUCAUAAUAUUUUUUUGACUUUUCGUCUUCUCAAUGCACUGACAAAUGCGUCCCUGAAAGAUGAAAAUGUAAUUUGAGUAGAAAAAACACAACCGACCAUGAGACCAAAUUUAUUUUAAAAAAGAAUUUAAUCAACUAAAAUCCCACAAAAUUUAAACUAGAUAAAAUUAAAGUGAAAUUAUAAGUCUUUUUUCUUAAUCAAUAAUAUAUAUAUAUAUAUAUAUAUAUAUAUAUAUAUAUAUAUAUAUAUAUAUAUAUAUAUAUAUAUAUAUAUAUAUAUAUAUAUAUAUAUAUAUAUAUAUAUAUAUAUAUAUAUAUAUAUAUAUAUAUAUAUAUAUAUAUACACCCACCUCAAAUAUGAAAGAAUUUCUUGGAUAAACUUUAUAUACUUCCAUUUGAGACAAUACUUAUUAUACAUAAUAUAAAUAAAAUGAAAAUAGUUACUAACAAAUAAAGAACCCAAAUAAAUUUAAAUAAAACGCUCAAACUAAUAUAGCAGUUAACUUUACAGAAAAACAAAAAAAAACUAAUACAAAUGUUUAUUCUUUACCUUUGGGACGUAGAGUUGUAUCUCUUGUUGAUUUAGGGGCUGCAACAAUCUUGUAUUCCAUUGGACAUACUUUCGCAGUAAUAAAGAUUAAUAAUUAAUUGAAAAAAAAAUCCAAGAAAUAAAAGACUUUCAUUUUUUUAAAUGGUAACUCAAUUUUUUAUAUCAUAAAACUAAAGAAUUUUAUUUUAUUUUGGAAAAUAAGUAGUUAUAUUGAUUAAUUAAAAAACUAAUUAACAAUUUGAUAGAUGGAUAAAUAGAUAGAUAAUCAAAGUAUAAAAAUUCAAAUCUUAAGCUAUAUUUUACUGUCUUUUAAUCCUUUUUCCAUAGCUUCUCUCCUAUACAAUUCAUUAUUAACGUUCAGAUAUAUUUUUCACACUUCUUAUACUUUUGGGGACUAAUUUUUGUAUUUUUAUCUUUCAGGGAUAUAUUUGUUGACAGAGUGAGAAGAUGAAAAGUAAAAAAAAUAUUAUGACAAAUAUGCCCUAUGUUGACAAUCUACGCUAGCAAUCAUUUUAGUGACAAAUUUGUCCCUCCUGUUACGUAGACUAUUUUAUUAAUGAUGACUGACAAAAGUUAACGGCAUGACAUAUUUAUCGCACUUUUUACAUUUUCUGAGACUAAAUUUUGUAUUUUCAUUUUUCAGGGAUGCAUUUGUAACGAAUCACAUGUUGAUGGACAAAAAUGACUAUUUAUCCAAAUUAAUAUCUUAGUUGCUCCUCUCAAAUCUCGACCAUCCGAUUAUUUAUUUGUAUACCCAAUGACUAUCAAUGAGGGUAAAAUUAACAUUUCCUUUUCUAAAAUUAUAAGUCUACGGGUGAACCGCCUAUCUCAUGGUUAGAACUCAUAAGUUGACUCAAAGGUCUUGGGCAAUGUCUUUUUCCAUAUUCAGCAGUGGUGGGGACUUUAAAUGUAUGGUUAAAAUUAGGGAUAUCAAUUUGAAACCACAACCCGGAUCAUUGCGGGAAUUGUAUAGUAUGGAGUUCCACCGAGGGAGCUUUUUUUUUUUUUUUUUUUUUCACGAGGACGGAAAUAAAUGAUUUCCGGUGAACAUAAUGGGAAUGGGAACGACAAUUACAUUCCAUCGAGUAGGAGGAUUAUGUGAUGAGAAAAUUACAUAAUUAUUUUUACAAUAAUUGUUAUUUAAUAUUCUAAAUAUUAAAAUAUUUUUAUACUUUAUUUGCAUUAAAAUAUAAAAUUAAUGUUUUAAAUUGUUGGUGAGAUUUUUUAAAUUUAUUUAAAUUAGAAUUUAAAAUUAAUAUUUUUUUUAACCCACGGAGGAUGGGAAUAUGGUAAAAAAAUCUCCCACCGACAGGGGGUUAGUUGGGUGCGGUCCGGUUGACAUCCCCAGUUAGAAUGGCUAUUUAUGCCCCAUAACAUUUGUCUGAAGCUCCAUUCUUCUUAUACAAUAAUAUCCUUUCAUCUCUUCCAUGUCUUCUGCCUACGGUUACGACGACUACGAUAUCCAUGAUGAUCAGAUUGAGAUGGAGAUGGACUUUCUGCAUGAACGGUAUCAGGAGGACAACAGAAACUAUGACGUGUUUUUGAGUUUCAGAGGGGAAGACACGCGUGCUUCUUUCACUUCACAUCUCUAUACCGCUCUUCGCAACGCGGGAAUCUUUGUUUUCAAGGAUGAUGAGACACUUCCAAGGGGAAAUAAAAUUUCACCCUCGCUGCAGUUAGCAAUCGAAGAGUCUCGAGUUUCUGUUGUUGUUUUCUCUAGAAAUUAUGCAGAGUCGCGGUGGUGUUUGAAAGAGUUGGAGAACAUAAUGGAGUGUCACAGAACAACAGGGCAAGUGGUAGUGCCAGUGUUCUAUGAUGUAGAUCCCUCUGAAGUACGUCAUCAAACAGGCCACUUUGGAAAAGCAUUUCGAAACCUUGAGAACAGACUUUUAAAAGUGGAAGAGGAAGAGGAAGAGGAAAAGCUACAACGAUGGUGGAAGACGCUUGCUGAGGCCGCUGGCAUCUCAGGGCUUUCUGUAGUCCGAAAUUGCAAGUAAUAAAAACACUUCCAGCUUUCUCGUAUUUUUACUGAACAUUGUCUCUGGAAUUUUAGUUUAUGAAAUUCAUAACAUGUACAUGUAUGAAGUGGUCGAAGUGAGAUUUUGGAUAAGAUAGAUCUCCUCGCGCAGCAUUGGAGGGAGGCACUUCGUGAGGCUGCUGGCAUCUCCCCCGGUUCAGUCUCAGAAUUCGGGUAAUUGAGACACUUUAUGCUUUCAGAUUUUUAUUGAACAUUGUCUCUGAAAAUAACAUUUAUGAAAUUCAUGACAUGUAUGACGAAGAAAAAUGGACAUUGCUAAUAAAAUAGACUACUUUGUGGAGCGUUGGAGGGAAGGACUUUUUGUUGCCAUUCGCAUCUCGUGGUAUUUAGACUCAAAUAUUUUUUACUGAACAUUGUCUCAAGAUUUAAUUCCUCAUUUGGUGAGUAUAGUUAUAAAAACAUUACCUUUUAGCUUUUAUACUUAAAAACAUCACAUUCUAGUCGUUGUACAUACCAUUUUUAAUCCAUUUUAGUCAAUGCCAAAGGAUUAAAAAUUACAUGUGUAAGGACUAAAAUGGGAUGAUUUCAAGUAGAGACUAAAAUGUACAGUUUUUGCAUCUAUAAGGACAAAAUAAGAAAUUAAAUCAUACCUAAAAAUAACAUUUAUGAAAUUUAUAACAUGUAUGAAGGAGAGGAAGCUUGAUUACUGAAAAGUUAACAGAUCUCCUUGUGAAGCAUUGGAGGGAAACACUGUGUGAGGCUCUUUGUGAGGCUGUUGGUUUCGAUGGUGCAGACUUAUACUACAGGUAGUUGAGACACCUCCUGCUUUAAGAUUUUUACUGAAUGGUCUCCGAAAAUACUAACUUUCAUGAAAUUCAAAACAUGUAUCAAGUAGAGAAACUGUGAUGGUUGAUAAAAUAGAACUGCUUGUGGUGAAUUGGAGUAAGGCACUUUGCGAGGCUGUUAGCAUCUUGGGGGGUGCACACCUAAAUUCCAAGUAAUUGAGACAAUUUCUGUUUUUAGAUUUAGCUUAAUAUUUUUUUUUAUUCAUAAUAAAUAUUCAAAUUUCGUGUAUGAUCCCUAAUAAAUUUUUCGUUUUGUGUUAAUUCCAUAGUAAAACAACUAUUUUAUUUUUGGUUCUUGGCACUUAGUUUUAAGUCCCUGAUAAAUUAAUGAAUUUUGUAUUCCUUGAGAAAUUUUUUCUAUUUGUUAUUAGUGAAUUAAAAUAAAAUUCGCUAAUUUAUUAGGGAGCAAACAGAAUUCGCUAAUUUAUCAGGGAUUAAAACAAGAUAUCAAGGACAAAAAAUAAAAGUGCUUUAUCAGGAAUUCAAUGUUAAGUAAAAAUUUAGUAGGGAGGAAAGACAAAAAUUUGGUAUUUAUUAGAGAUAAAAAAUAUAUAUAAAGCCUUUAGAUUUUUACUGAACAUUGUUUCUAAAAAUAAUAUUUAUGAAAUUCAUAUCAUGUAUGAAGAGGGGAAAUGAAGCUUGCCUAUGAGAUAAGCCUCCUCAUUAAGCAUUGGAGGGAGGCACUUUGUGAGCAUUGUGGCAUCUCAUGGGAUUUACUCUUAAGUUUCGGGUAAUUUAGAAACUUUCUGCUUUCAUUUCUAUUGAACUUUUUCUCUAGAAAUCAUGUUUAUGAAAUUCAUAACAUGUAUCAAGUUUUGAAGAGGUGAUCAUAAGAGAUUAUAAGGACCUUAUGAUGUCUUGGAAGGAAGCACUUUGUGAGGCUGCUGGCAUCUCGAGGGUUGUAGUCCUAAAUUCCUGGUAAUUGAAACGCUUUGAGCUUUCUUGGUAUUUUUACUAAACAUCGUUAUUACACAUAUAUUAGUUUGUUAUUGGUUCAUGGGUUUAUUUGUUUGUUAUAAACCUACUAUACAAAGCAACUCUGUAUCCACUUUGCUGUGUUGAUCAAUAAAAGAAUUAGCCAUUUCUUAUUCUUGAAUGGUUUCAUGGUAUCACACUAUCACUAUCAGAGCUCCUUUUUGGAACUCUGUUGUGCAUAGUCUUCAAAAAAUGCCUCCUUGCAACAAUCUGAAUGCAAAUAAUCACUCUUCUACUUUGAAUCCAGUACAAGAUCCUAUGAGCCUUUUCUAUGUCAAUCCAAAUGAAAAUCCUGCAGCAUCAAUCGUUUCUUCUCCAUUUUUUUUUUGCUCAGCAAAGAUAUAUAUAUAUAUAUAUAUAUAUAUAUAUAUAUAUAUAUAUGUAAAAGAGUACCAGAGGUACUAAAGUACAAAUAGAUGGUUUCUGGUGAAUUUGGUUCCGAAUCAGAUUACUGAAUCUAGAAAGGAAACAAAUUCAGGCCACUGUUACAAUAUUAUUAGCUCCUCUAAAGUACAUUUGUAUCCACUACUAAUACACAAAUCUUGCUCUAAUAUUACUAGACCAAUGGUUAAAAUGAAUGGAGAAGUCCUUCUCGAAGUUUCUCGGCCAUGUCCACAAUAAGAACGUUGCAUCGUCCAUCAAUUUAUUUCCGUUGAAACGGUCAUUGGAGAAGAUUAACUUGUUCCUAUGUUGCCAAAUAGUCCAAGUCAUGGCCAACCACCAACAUUUCCACCUAGUAGCCCUCAUCCCAUCCACCGAAAUCGAUCCAAUUUGGAGGAAAUAAUGUCUUGGAUUCUGCGGCAGAGGUGCUGCAAUGUUCAACCAAGACAAAGAUUCCCACCAAAUCGGGAUUGUUUUACUACACUGAAAAAAUAGAUGUCCCACAUCCUCCUCGACACCAUUGCAUAGUGGGCAGCUCCUAUCGAUGAUCUCCACCUGUCUCUUGUGCAAAUUGCUUUUAGUCGGCAAUAUAUCUCUGAACAAUCUCCAUGCAAAAACUAGAAUGUUGGAUGAAACCUUUAGCUUCCACAAUUCCUCAAAUGCCUUGUCCUGAAUCCCCAGUGUUGCUUCUCCCCUCAACAAGAUGUAGGCACUUUGUGCCGAGUACAACCCACUAGGAUCUGCCAACCACACCAAGUCAUCACUUUUGUGCAUCUGAAUAGGCUUGCUAUCAAUAUCUUUUAGAAAACUAUCAGCCAUUGGUAUCUCAUCAAAUAGUGACCUCCUCCAUGAUAAAUUCCACUCCCACUCUAGACCAUUAUAUCCUCCUAACUGCUGAAUAAUCUGGUUUUGUUGGCAAGAAAUUGAGUAUAGUCUGGGGUACUUUGCUGCUAGUGAUACUUCUCCAUCUAUCCAUGUAUCUUCCCAAAACUUGACCUUGUCUCCACAUCAGACUAUUCUUGAAGUCAUGUCCCUGUUGUGUAUUUUGAAACGCUACCUUUAGGUCCCUCCACCAUAUGGAUUCCUUAUUACCACGAGAUGGUAUGUCCAAACUCCUCCACCCACCAUAUUUGGAUUCCAGAACCCUAGCCCAUAGCUUGCCUUCAUGCUGAAAUAAAUCCCACUUCCAUUUGUCAAGCAAAGCGAGAUUGAAGAAAUUUAUGUCCUUGAUGCCUAGGCCCCCUUUAUCUUUGGGAAGGCAAACUGUCUCCCAUUUGAUCUAUGCAAUCUUGUUUUGUUCUGAUCCUCCACCCCAUAGGAAUUUGCGUUGAAUGCUUACUAGCUUGUCCAAUGCCUUCUUGGGAAUCCUAAAAAAAGAUAAGAAAUAAAUAGGAAUGGAGGUUAAUAUCGACUGUAUGAGAGUCACUCUCCCCCCAUGGAAAGGUUUCUUUGCUUCCACCUAGCUAGCUUUCUCUCACACUUUCUGAGAAUAGGAUCCCACAUCUGAUACCGUCUAGGGUUUGCCCCUAUAGGUAUUCAAAGGUAAGCAAACGGAAUGGAUAACAAACUACAAUUCAAACAACCAACUGCCUCGCGCUUCCACCUAUCCGGCAUUCCAAUUGCACCAAAACUACUUUUAGCAAAGUUAAUUUUAAGGCUUGAUGCAAGCUCAAAGGUCCUCAGAAUUGCUUUGAUUGUCUUGAUAUUCUCCAUUGAUGCCUCUCCAAAAAAUAUUGUAUCAUCCGCAUAUUGAAGGAUGUUAAUAUCCACAUUAUUUGAGCCCACUGAGAAACCCCUGAGUAAGUUUUUCUUCACCCCUUCUCUUACCAGCCCAGUUAAUGCCUCAACAACAAUAUUGAAAAGAAGUGGUGCUAGUAGGUCCCCUUGCCUAAGCCCUCUUUGUGGGAUAAACUUAGGCAAGGGACUGCCAUUUAUCAGUACUGAGACAGAUGCGAAUAUUAAACACCCCUUGAUCCACUGGAUCCAUUUGGAGCAGAAUCCCAGCCUGCUAAGCAUGUAGAGAAGAAAUUUCCAGCAAACUGAAUCAUACACCUUCUCAUAAUCCACUUUGAAGACAAUGCAUGGCUUCUUGCUUCUUUUAGCCUCCUCAACCACCUCAUUCGCUAUCAGUAUGCUGUGUAGCAAGUGUCUACCCCUAUGAAUGCUGAUUGCCUUUCAUAAAUGAUGAUUGGCAUAGCCUUCUUCAGUCUGUUAGCCAAUACCUUAGCCACUAUCUUGUACAUACAACCAAUGAGUGAUAUGGGUCUAUAUUCAUCCAGAGCUUGUGGAUCAGCCACCUUAGGUAUUAAAGCUAGGAAAGAGGCAUUGCAGCCCUUCGAGAACGAUUCAGUUACAUAGAAUUCGUCCAUAAACUGAAGUGUAAAUCAUGAAGAUUUUAAUGAUGUCAAGAAGAAUUUGUUUGAGAAAGGGGGAGAAAGUAAAUCAUGCAAGCUUUGAUGGUGUCGAGAAGAAAUCACAUGUUUGUCAUCAUCAAAAAGGGGGAGAAUGUGAAUGUAUGUAUACAUGAUUUUGAUGAUGCGAAAGAAAAAUCAAACAAAGUUGCUUCAAAGGAUAAGCAUGGCUUCAAGAUUAAUACAAGAUUGCUUCAACAAACAAAGCCUUGCUUAAAGAUUAACUCAAGAUCAAACCUUGCCUUAAAACAAAGUGCUUUCAAGUCAUUCAAGGCUCUGGUAAUCGAUUACCAGGCAAUGUAAUCGAUUACCAGAAGACAGGGUUGAGAAAUAACUGUUAAAAAUGGUUUUGAACUUGAAUUUUCAACAUGUAAUCGAUUACCAUAUGUCUGUAAUCGAUUACCAGCAACGAAACUUCUGAAAUUCAAAUUCAAAAGUCAUGACCCUUCAAAUUAUAACUGUGUAAUUGAUUACACAGACAUUGUAAUCGAAUACCAGUAGAGAGUUUUCAGAAAAUCUGCCAACAGUCACAUCUUUUCAUUGGAUUUGUGAAUGGCCAUCAAAGGCCUAUAUAGGUGACUUGGGAACGAAUUUUAUGAGAGAGUUUUGCUGGUCCAAAAUGUCUUAUCCUCUCAAAAGAAAAUGAGAGAGAUUCCAAGAGAACUUCAUUGUCAAAUGCUCUCUCAAGAACUCUUGGGCAAACACUUGCAAAUCCAUUAAGAGUUCAUCCAUGGAUCUUCAUUGUAAUAUUCUUCUCUUGAAGAGAGAAUUCUUCUUCCAUUCUUCUUCCAUUCUUCUUACUCAAUGAGAUUGAUUAAGGGACCGAGGGUCUCUUGAGUUGUAAGGAUUCCUGAACACAAGGGAUGGGUUGUCCCUGUGUGGUUCAGACUUUGUAAACGGAUUUUUACAAAGAUAAUGGAAAUCUCAAGUGGGUUGCUUGAGUAUUGGACGUAGGCACAAAAUUUGCCGAACCAGUAUAAAACUGUGUUUGCAUUCUCUCUUCCCUUAUCUCAUUUAUUUUGUUGCAAUCAAUCUUGUCUUUUAUAUUUGAAGAACAUUAUCAAAUUGAUUGUUGCUUCUUCUGCAUGCUAAGCCUAUCCCUCUUAAGUUAUUGAGGCCACAAGGUCCAACAUGAAGGACAUCAGGUUUGAUUACAUGCCAAAAGCUCUUAAUGAAUUUGAAAUUGAGUCCGUUUGGGCCGGGGCUUUUCUCACUACCACACUCCCAAACAGCAUGUUUAAUCUCAUCCUCGUGGAAGCGCCCCACUAGCAUGCUAUUUUCUUGUUGGCCAAUGUUCUGAAAGCUGAUUCCAUCCAGACGGGGUCUAUCAUGGUCAAAUUCUUGGAAUCGAUGCAAAAAGAAAAGCCUGACUGCUUCUUUUACUCUUGCCGGUUCUUCAGUCCAUGAGCAAUCAAUCCACACUCCAUUGAGAGAGUUGCAUCUUCAACUAUCAUUUACCAUCAGAUGAAAAUAGCGGGAGUUGCAAUCCCCUUCUUUAAUCCAUCGAGAUCUCGCCUUCUACCUCAUCAAUGAUUCGUGAGAUUGAGCGGCUACCCACAACUCUUCCUGGAGUUGUUUCAUGGUCAUGGCUUCCUGAGGAGAAAGGUGUCUGUCGGUUGUUCUCUCUUCCAACUUGUUCAUCUCUUCUUCAAUCUUCUUGAAUUUCUUAAAAGUAUCCACAAAAUGGUCCUUGUUCCAUAUCUUCAGGCUUGCUUUCAACCUCUUUAUUUUUUCUUUGAGCACGUAACCUCCCCAACCCCUUAUUUGGUGAGAUGUCCAACAUUCAUGUACAAGUGUCCUGAACGAAUUGUCCAUCAGCCAACAAUCAAGGAUCCUGAAUGGCUUUGGGCCCCAAUCUACUGACUUAGAUCUGAGCAACACUGGGCAAUGAUUAGAAAAGUUCCUGUCUAGUGGGUGCUGGGAACUCCCCAGCCAUUUGGCUAGCCAAUCUGAAGAUACCAUGAAUCUAUCAAGUUUGCUCUUGGCAGCUCCAUUGGGCCUAAACCACGUGAACNNNNNNNNNNNNNNNNNNNNNNNNNNNNNNNNNNNNNNNNNNNNNNNNNNNNNNNNNNNNNNNNNNNNNNNNNNNNNNNNNNNNNNNNNNNNNNNNNNNNUUUCUUCCCACCCAUGGUACGUCCUCUACUUCCAGCUGCUCAAUCCACUCAUUAAACUCGUUUAUACUGCUGUCCUCCAUCCUUCUCUGACAGACUCCCAACCUUUCUGAGGAUUUCUGAUGUUGUGAAGUCCCCCAUUAUACACCAUAAUCCCCCCUGAUUCAAAGAAUUUCAGCUGUUUGAUGUUGUCCCAAGGGUAGUCGUUUGGACUGGAUAUCACAUGGCGAAUACACACUUACAAUAUGAACCAGUUGUGCCUCCUUAAUCCACUGACCAAUUAACAGGAUAAAGCCUGUUCCAAUAACUUUCCUCUCUAAUAUGAAGGUCUUAUCACUCCACAAGCAUAAGAUCUUUCCUGCAGUAUUAACUGCUGGUUGCAUUUCCCAAGAAACCUGCGGGUCUCCCCAUAAUGCCUGGCACAAGGAAUUGUCAAUUGUCUCCUUCUUUGUUUCCUGGAUACAGAUCAUAUCAGCGUUCUCUUUUUUAACCAAUCUCCGUAUGGCUGGCAAUUUCACCCCCCUCCCUAACCCUCUGACAUUAUAUGUAAUAAUGUUCAUAGAUUAACACUUGUGUUUCCUAGUCUCUCCGCCUCUUUUCUAUCUCUUUCUUCUAGUGUCAUAAUUUCUGAACUAGCCUCUCUUGGUCUACUACUGAUGUUGCUCCCAAUUGUUUUGCUAUACUCCACAUCUCUGUUGCAUCUUGCUUCAAUUUUCCUUCUUGGUCUACAUUCUCCACUGCAUCCCGAGAUGAGAAUAUCUCCGGUUGGCCAGAAAUGUCAUUAAGCCCCUUAGUAUCUUUCCCUGCUUCUUCUACGGGUUGAUGCUAUUCGGUGAGUUCAUUUAGUUGUGGUUGUGUUCCAUGGACUUCAAUAUUUGCACAACCCAGCCCCUUAGUAUCUUUCCCUGCUUCCUCUACGGGCUGAUGGUGUUCAGUGAGUUCCUUUAAUUGUGGUUGUGUUCCAUGGACUUCAGUAUUUGCACUGCCCAUCUGUGGUUGUUUUUUGAACCUCCUUGUUCUAGAAUACACAUGCCAUGAAGGGGCUGUGGCAACAAUUUCAGAUUGUGGGCUGAGGGCAAGGGGUGUAUUACCCUUGAGGGGGGUGCAGAAAGAAAAGCCCAUAUUUUUUGAAUUAUCCUGCUCCCUAGGAUGGUCACGUGACUGUUUCUGCCUCAAUAUUUGUUCAUGCACGACAUCUCUUUUAAUUUCUGGCUCAAUUUCACUAAUAUAGCAAAUUUCCUUUCCCACUUUGUCAUUUCGCUUCCCGAUAGCCUGCAAUUGAUCAUCGUCACAGGUGCCAUUCUCUGCAUUGUUGACUUCAGCCCUUGUUGGUUGGUGGACUUCCCGUUCUGCACCUUCACCCAAAAUGGGAUCUGCCAUGCUUCCUUUCCAGCUAGUCCGAGUUAUCCGCAAGUUACUGGUAUUACCCAGUGGUCCUUGCUUUACAUAUUGACCACUGGGUAAUUGCGCAAAUUGCUCCGCAUGGCCUCCGAGGUCCGUCACGUUGUCCAACGCGGUGUCGCUCAUUGCAUUUCCCCCAAACGCAGUUGCGCUGUUGGGUGCGGCCUCAAGCAUGGCAUUUAUGUCCACUUCCGUUGCAGCGCCGUGCGCAGUGAGCUCAGGCUGCGCGCCCCGAUGCGCUCCCUCAGUAGCAAUCGCGCUGUCAUUCGCGACUCCACGCAUGGCAGCUGUAGCCUCGUCCGUCAUGGCUUCAGGGGUAGCAAGGUCUUGUUGCGCUCCCUGGUUCUCCAUCUGCACCAUCUCAAUCGUGAAAGGCUAGACAUGUCUCCUUAUCGAGGUUGCGUUGAAGCCACCAUCCUCCACCAGUGUUCGACUGGCUUCCAUGAGCGGCGUCCCGACAUCGCUAACAUCUGUAGCUAUUUCUUCCGAUGACCCAUACACUCUCCUGCACCGGCAAUGGUGUGUCUCUGGGCAGCUCCCACCCUCCUCCACUAUAUGCACACCGUACACCUCUUCUCGGAUGUGUACGUUAACAGUGUGUUGUAUAAUCAGCUUCCAUGGAGUUUUGAUCAAGAUUCUUGCCCUGUCCAGCCUCUGAAGCACCUCUACGUCGUCGUCAACGUCCACUAAAUCUCCAAUACCAGACACUAUCUUCCUGAUGUGUUCUGUGUUCCAGGCCACUAAUGGGAUACCCCAGCAGUUCACCCAAGUCAGCUGGCAUCCAGGACAUAACUUCGGGUUCCACUUUUCUAGUGAGUGGAACAGGGAGAGUCCUCCUUCGGUUUCUUCUUCCAUAAUCCGUUUGGCUCUGUCAUCAGAGAGGCAUAGCAGGAGUACCAUAUCAUCUCCCAUGUAUUUUAGCGAUAUGUCAGCUCCAAUAUCCCAAAGGAAAUCAUCCUCAAGCCUAUCAAACAUAGUCAAAUUCUUUAGUCUGCCCACCCACGCGUCGUUGAGCCAUUAUGUCCCUAUUGUUGUGAAGUCAAGAUACACCGAUGACCUUGAUGUGUUAUGGAUGUCUGGGCUGCCCCUUGGGGCUGAGUGUCGUUUGUUCCCUACCACGACCUCCGCGUAAGACCCUUGAUGCACUAUCGGAAAUGAAUCUCUUCGAGAAGGUUCCCACUCUCCCUUUUACUGUUUCUGUUCUAUGUAGUUAACUUCUGGCAGUAUUUGUGCGUCCUUAGCCCUCCCAUAUCUUGGGAUGUUAACAUACAUCUUCAGUCCACCGAAAAUGCUAUUGUCUAGCUUCUUUUCUUAGCUGUGCACAUCCUCCCUCCCUUUGAAUCUUACAAAACCAUAUCUUUUACCAAUCUUGUUCCUGUGUCUGGACAAGAACACUUCCCGUAUGUCACCAUAUUAUUUGAAAUGGAGCCAUAGUGCUUUCUCUGUCGCAUCCUCAGGGAAGCGGGUGAAAUAAAAUGAUUGUAUAUCAUUCUGCCCUCUCCAGUUAGCUUGAUAGUAGCUUUGUGGUUGUCCAUUCCUGUUCCAAACCUGGUUCCGAUGAGGAUCCACUCUCUCUCUCCCUCUGUCUCUCUCUCCCUCGCCUGGUUCUCACUGUCUCCCACCCCUCUCAGUCUCUAUCUCUCUCUCGCUGUCUUUCUUCUCCGUUGACUGGUAAGAAUCACCACAAGUGGACUCGAGCGAUGCAGUAAGCGUUGAUUACGAAGAACAAGUAGAAAUUAGUUGAUGGAAGCAUCGAAAAACUUGAUCGGUGUGAUCCGAUUGACAAAACAUGGGAAAGAUGCAACAACAGUUUGGUACGUUCCUGGAUUAUGAUCUUUGAUGCUAGGAGGAACUUGCGAGAAAGAUUCUGAUUCUAGGAAAGCAUGGUUGACUCUGAACUUUCCUCUGAUGCUAGGAGGAAUUUUCGAGAAAAAGAUUCUCACAGACAGAUCUGGUAAGAAUUUCCAAAAUUCAGGAAGGCUUCUAUUCCUUCAAACAGAAUUCACUUUCUAUCACUCAAUUUGUUAAUGAACUCACAAUACUGGAUAAUGCUGGAUAAUGUUUUCAGUGAAAGGAAUUGGAGCCUAAAAAGGCAACGGAGCAGCCUGUUGUAACAGGCCUCAAUGGUGAAUAAUACAAGACUCUCAUUUAGCACGUGUUUGAAUAAAGUAUUUAAAGAGGGUCAUGUAAUUUUUUAGGGUAUUUCAAUUGAUACUCAGGAAAAUACAACUUUUGGAUAUCUACUUUCAGAAUUUCAUAAAUUCUCCAUUUUUUCAGUCCUUUGUUAAAAUGAGGAAUUUACAAUUCCACUAAAAUAGGUGGAAUUUCAAAUUCCACCCAUCACACACCACACGCCCUUUCCUCUUGGUUCUGUUGCCUAUUGACAACAGAAGAUUACUCCAUGAGAUCAAUUUUCAACAACCUCCUGCAACCGGACACUCAUUGGAGCUCAAUAUUCCUCAACCAAGAUGAGGGCACGAGUUGAAAACUCAACACUCAAGCAUCGUUUGCUGCAGGAUUCUGAUAGACAUGGCACAUACAUGACAUCGAUUGCUACCAACAGGCAUAUUUCUCAGUGUACACAUUCUAACAUCUUCACCACCGUCAAUGACGUCGACGCGGAUCCCUUAACGUGGUGGUUUCGUUCCUCCUCACCAUCAAUGCUAUCAGGGUUGCAAAGCUUCAAACAUGGCUAAUGCUUUGUCUUUGACCCAUCAACUAGAAUGUUGCAGUAGUAAAAAUCUUGGACCGUCACUGUUGGAGAAGUUUCUCAGGUAGAAGGAUAUAGUGGAGACAAAUCAGUUUUGAGUUUUGAAAGGAUGGCAAGCAGAUAAUAAACAAUUGAUCCAAAUUAAAUUAAUAACCCAAACAUCUGCAAUUGAAUGAAAUUUGAUAUCCUUCAUUUGAAUUACAUUGAAUUUUAAAAUCUCUGGUAUUUUAAAACUUUCUAUCCAAACAUAGAAGGUUUUUGGCUCACUGUGUCUGUUAUGUCUCUACACUUGCUGCUGCCUACAAAGGAAAAUUUGAAUGUAGAGCCCAAAAAUAUGCCUUUUGGGGGGGGGGGGGGGGUGGGGUACAAGGCAGGAGUUAAAGGAUAUUUAGCAUAUGACAUUCAUAGCAAAGAAAUUUUGAUAUCCAGGAAUGCUCAAUUUUAUGAACACAUAUUCCCUUGCCUCUUUCAGUCCAUCUCUCUACCAUCUUUGUUGUCAAUGCUGCUAUUUGCAUUAACCAACAAAGACAACUACCUAAACAUGUAAAGGACUAUAUUUUAUUUGUCUGAUCACUACUACUAAGCCAUCAAAAUGCCUUUAUCCCAUUAGUUCUUACCUCUCCUAUCAGUCAUUAUCCCCUAAUCACAAAGCUUAUGGCCUUUUCAUUUCUACCUUAAUUGACCCACCACUUUCACACAAACCAACAAGGAUCAAUGUUGGUUGAUGCCACGCAGGCAGAACUUAGAGCUUUAGAGGGAAAUCAGACCUGUUAGAUUGUGGUUUGCCCCCCGUGUUCAGGGACGGAUUUAAGGGGGUGGUUGCUUGCCCCCCUCCUUCAAGAUUCUUUAUCUACAUGAGAAUUAAAAUAAAAUUAGAUUUAGAAGUAUUUUUUUAAAAAAUGUUUGUCUUCAUCUCUCCCACUCACCAACUUGGUUGUGCCACUUCCUCUGCCCCCAUCAAUAGCUGUUGUGGUGGCGGCGUAACAGGUGAUCCCGUUCUCAGAGCUGGAGAGGCUGAAUUGCAUCCUUCUCCUCUCAUCGAGCCACCCACCACUUCCACUUCCGAUUCUGAGGAAGAUCUCCCACCACCACCAAUUUCCAAAAACCCUCCUCCCCUUCAGCCCCAACACUUUUCCUCAGAAUCCGAAACUGAAUCGGGAUCCGAGACCAAAUAUGUGUGAUGUUCUCUCUAUCUAGACUUGCACAACCUAACCAAUACCUCUGUGUCGUGCACAACCUCUGCUCCCAACACCCCUUGUCCUUCUCUAUCCCUCACCUGAAUACGCGUGUGACCCACCCUAUAACCUCAAGGCAUGCGUGCGACCACUAUAAACCAGAUCUUGAAUUGUUGUGCUACCUCCACCCUCAGCCUUGUUAUUAUUGGGUUGAGUUUUAGAAAGUUAUGGAGGGCACCAAAAAAUGGUUUUCCUGGUAGUUUCUGAAUUUUAUUCCCAUUGACAAAUUAUAUACACAAUUUUUCAAUGCUUGUUGCAAUUUAGUGAAUGUUCAUUGAAAUUGAACAUCCAUUUGAGACAAUUUAUUGAUUUUAAAGAUUGUUGAGAUUUUGGCAAAUGAAAGUUGUAAAUUAGAAGCAAAGCAUUUUGAACGGAAUAUGCAGAUUGUUGCUCUGGUUGAUGUUGGAAGUUGUUGGGGUUUUGGGUGUUUGCAUACUAUUGUGGUGGUGGUUGUGUCAUAGUGAAAGUUUUUGUGGCUGGCGGAGAUUGUGAUGGCAGAAGCGGUUGUGAAGGUGAAGAGGACCAAAAGGGUGGCGAUGAGUAGGAGCAUAUUGGGGUUUAGGCUCAACACAGAAAGGGGUAGUAGAUUGGGAAAAGAAAGAAAAAAAAGAAAAUUUUUUAACAUGCAAAACGAUGUUGUUUUUUACUUUUUUUCCAUGUGUAAUCCCAUUCAGACAAAAAUCACAUGUGGCAUCACACAAGGCAUGCUUGCAUGGUUGGUUAAAGGCCACGUAGGCAAAUAAUGAUCUCGGAUUAACGGUAGGGACUUGAGACAAAUUUUUUCAAAUAUUAAGGACUUGAUCCAAAGGAAAAAUUUAUUAAGGACCAAAUGUAAAAAAUGGGUAUUGAUCAGGGACCAAAAACAUAUUUAAGUCUUUUAUUUAUCAAAUAAUUAUUUAUUAGAAGUUAAAUAAUUAUGUAAAAAUAAAAAUUGACCCCCCACCCCCUUUAAUGCAUUCCUGGAUUCGUCCUUCUGCCAAUGUUGUGCCCAUUGUCCGCCAAUGGGUGUACAAAAUUAAGAGGAAACUGGAUGGAUCUAUUGAGAGCUUGGUUCGAGGCUUGGUUGGUGACCAAAGGUUAAUUGCAACCAUAUUAAGGGUGUGAUUACUUUAAUACUUUCCCUCCAAUGGCAAAGUUAACCAUAAUCCGAGUUUGACCUUUUGGCUUUGGUAUCUAUCAACAAUUGGUUCAUUCACCAAUUGGAUGUUAAUAACGCAUUUCUCCAUGGGGAUCUAAAGGAAGUGUGUAUGUGCAAGUGCCUCAAGUGCCAAGAAAUAAUAAGGUUUGCAAGCUUGUUAAGUAACUCUAUGGACUUAAACUAGUUAGUCGCAAAUGGUAUGAGAAGUUGAAUUUCUUGCUUCUCCAACUUGGAUUUCAACAUUCUAUAGUUGAUCACUCCUUUUUUAUUCGUCACACAGUUGAUUCCCUUACUACUUGUGUAUGUAGUUAACGUAGUCAUUGUUGGAAAUUCUAUGGAUAUGAUAACUUCGUUCAAGCAGAUUUUAGAUAAUCAAUUUGGCAUCAACGAUUUGGGCAUUCUUAAGUUCUUUCUUGGUUUUGAAGUUUCUCACUCAUCAAGAGGUAUCUCUUUAUGCCAAGGCCAAUAUUGUCUCGAUCUCUUAAGUGAUGCUGAUGUUCUCAGUGCCAAACCUGCAACCACCCCUUCUAAACCUACCUUGAGACUUUGCCAAGAUGUCAUCUCCUAUAGCUGACUUUCACAAGCUCAGAUAUAUCCCAUGCUGACCAACAACUUUGUCAAUUUUCAGCCCUCCCAACAGUGAGUCAUCAUCAAGUAGCCCAACACGUACCUUGGUAUUUGAAAGGGAAUCCCGGCGAAAGGACUUUUCUUAAUUUCCUGUGUCAUCUAUAAUACAACUCCCUGGUUUUAGUGACACAGAUUAGGGUGGAUGUCUCAAUACUAAUCGUUCUAUGUCUGCUUAUUGUUUCUUUUUGGGAGACUCGGUCAUUGGUUUGUUGGAAAUCCAAGAAGCAGUGAGCAGUGGCAAAGUCCUCAUCUGUGGCAGAAUAUCGAGCCUUAGCUCAGCUACUUGUGAGCUGCAAUUGUUGAUUUUUCUUCUUCAAGAUCUCUCCUUUACUUUUUCCAAACAGUCGAUGAUCUGAUGCAAUAAUCAAAGUGCUUUGUACAUCGCAACCAAACCCAUUUUUCAAGAGAGGACCAAGCAUCUCGAGAUUGAUUUUUAUGUUUUCCGCGAGAAAUGUAUGGUUGGAUUCAUGCCACUGCUACCCUAAUACACCACUGACCAAACUGAAGACCUCUUCACCAAAAGUUUACAUCCCAAGAAUUUUCAGAAAUUUGUUUUCAAGCUGGGAUUGAUUUCUAUUUUCCAACCCACAACAUGAGGGGGAAUAUUACACUUGUAUUAGUUGGUUACCGGUUCAAUGGAUUUAUUUGUUUGUUAUAACCUGCUAAGCCGAUUUAGAUAGUCCACUGUAUAAAGAGGCUUUGUAUGAAUUAUCCAUUUGUUAUUCUUUAAUCGUUUAAUUGUCUCUUAAAAAUAACAUCUAUGAAAUUCAUAACAUGUAUGAAGGGAAAAAGUGAAGAUUGCUGUUAAAGAGAUGAAACAUUGGGCACAGGCACUUCGUGAGGCUGCUAGCAUCUCAGGGAUUGUAGUCCUAAAUUCCAAGUAAUGAAACACUUCUGCCUUCUCACAUUUCUUCAUCUAACACUCAACAUUUUUUAAUACUUCAAAUGUUUAUGUACGAUAGUAGCGUAAUUGUACACUUUUUAAAUUGGCUAUUAACCAAAUUAAUCAACCAUCAUUUCUAAUUUUUUUCCUCGUUACUUUUAUUAUUCAGAGGUCAUGUUUAAAGCAUUUUAUAGAAAGAGAAAUAUUUAAAAGAUGGAAAUAGAGUUAAUAUACAUGGUAGAUUAGCAGAGUAAGAAUAAUUAUGGCAAUUUAGUGUUUAUAAAACAAUAUAAAAAAAUUAAGGUUAAAUAAAUAUUUCCUUUUCUUGAACUGAAGCAAGGUUGCCAAAGGCAAUAACAUCUGAUUUUAAAAGAGCCAAAAUCUGGGGAGGAGCGUCCUCGAGCCAGUACAUUUCAAGAAAAUUAAAAGCUAACAUAGCUAAUUUAUCAGCCACUAAAUUCCCUUUCCCUCUUUGUGAAACUAAAGGCAGAUUUCUCCUUCUAUUCGUAAGAGAUUCAAAAUCCUUUAGAAUUUCUGCCUGGUAAGAGACAAAUCUUGUCUUCUAUGAUUCUUCCAUGCCAUAUGCAGAAGUUAACUAUUAGUCUCAAAUGUGGUGUUUGAAAAACACAUGUGCCCCAGCGUCUUAAUAUCCCACUUGAAUGUUAUCACUUCUUCAAUAAGAGGAUCGUAGCAAUAUGGAAUAAAGAGGCAGGCUGAAGCCAAAUGGUUACCAGUAUUGUCCCUGAGAAAGAGAGAGACAACUUUUUUGAUAUUUUUCAUUCCUUUCUGCAGAAGGCGAUACAUACCCUUAUAUACUCGCUACUAGGGAACAAGUUCCCAACAAUAAUAACCAAAACGAUAGUGCAAUCCUAACAAAAUUAUUCACCACUACAAAGGCACUACCAGCUACUACGGACUUCAUAUAUGUGGAUGCAUGCUGCAUGGGUCAUAGCUAACCAUGUUGUACAUACUCUAUGUGUUGCCUUCCUUUUGGGUCUCUGUUACGAACAGAAGUUGAUAAUGCUGGGUUCGAGGCCAGCUCCUCCAGAAAUAAAGGGGGGGGGGGAAGAAGAAGAGCAGAGAGGAGAGGAAACUUUGCUAUUUUCAUUCAUGCCUCAUGUUGUUAUUACAUAGUCCUAUAUAUAUUGAAUUCUAUGUAACUAAUUUUGGCAUUUUGUGAUUUCUAGAAUGCUCAGAAUUCAGCAAUUUGGUUAUUCUUGUUUGUUUCUGUUUGCACCUCCUGCACUUUGUUUCUUGCUGCUAUAUGUUUCCCUGUCAUUGUUUCUGCUUGCACCUCCUGCACUUUGUCUGCUGCUAUAUGCUUCCCUAUCACUCCCUACCCCGUCAAAAACACCUUGUCCUCAAGGUGUUAGGCAUUUAAACUACAACCUCCAAAAAUAAUACCAGGAUCCCAUGGUUUAUUUUGACGAACCUGCAAUUCCACAAAGUGCCCGUGAGGAAAGAACAUCACGCGUAAUGGUGUUGGAGCCGUCCGACAAGGUAAGCUCAGAAAGAUCGAUAGUGGAGGUUGGAAGAAGGUGUGGGUACUUCUCCCAUCAGUAAGGAGGACCACUCGAUUACCGGAGAGAAGGUCGGCGGGGCGCAAAUUUCUCGAUGCUAAAUCACCCGAGAAGAAGGUCAAACUAAUUUGGGCCGAAUGGAUCGGGUGCGGGUUGGGUGUGGGUUUUGGGUCCGGGUCAGGUUUGAGUUUUGGGCUAGGGUCAGGUGUGGGUUUUGGGUCUGAGGUCGGGUCAACUGGGUCCGUAUUAAGGCAAUUGGAAUCUUCAUCUUCAGCAACCAGAAGGGAAGCUUUAGAAACGCCGUAAUGCCCUUUAGGGUAUCGUUCGUCACAAGUGAAACACAUCCCACGCUUUCGUCAGAAAGUGGGUUCCUCCGGCGUCAAGCGUUUCACCAUGGGUGGCGGAGAUGGUGGUGAUGGCAAAAGAGGCAGAAUUAUGGUGGAACGAGGGGGUGGGGGUGCGGAUGUGGAGGCAGACGAAGGUCCAUCAUUUGCUGCUCCUGGAGCUUCGCAAGGCCGGCGGCCUGGUCCACAGUCAUGGGCUGAUGGGCCUGGACUGCGCGGCGGAUCUCCGGCCUCAAACCCGAGAUGAAGCAAGGCAAUAGGAAGGGGGCCGACAAGCCGAUAAUUCUAUUAGCCAAGUCUUCAAACUCCUUCAGGUAUGUGAGCACUGAACCCGUCUGAGUGAGUUUGAACAGGGCACCAGUGGGGUCCUCAAACGGUGAUGGGGCGAACCAGGGUUUUGCAGGAACAAAAGUGGUGUGGUGAGAAACCGGUGUGGGUUUGGGCAUGGUGGAGGAAGGCAUAGGAGCAUGGCGGAAGAAACACUGGUCCAGGUUGAGGUUCGUAGAGUGCAUGACAUUGUCAAGAUGAGCAAGGGCCUCGUCGAGGUUGCGGAAGGCCAUGAGGACAAAUGAGAGCACCAAUUGUUACGAACAGAAGUUGAUAAUGCUGGGUUCGAGGCUAGCACCUCCAAAAAUAAAGGGGGGGGGGGGGGAAGAAGAAGAGUAGAGAGGAGAGGAAACUUUGCUAUUUUCAUUCAUGCCUCAUGCUGUUAUUACAUAGUCCUAAUAUAUUGAAUUCUAUGUAACUAAUUUUGGCAUUUUGUGAUUUCAAGAAUGUUCAGAAUUCAGCAAUUUGGUUAUUCUUGUUUGUUUAUGUUUGCACCUCCUGCACUUUGUUUCCUGCUGCUAUAUGCUUCCCUGUCACUGCUUCUGCUUGCACCUCCUGCACUUUGUCUGCUGCUAUAUGCUUCCCCAUCAGUGUCACGCUUUUUUGCUUAUUGCAGACCCCUUGCUUCCUGUAGUCCCAAUUUGGUAUCCCUAUCAAAGACCCUUGCUGUGAAGUCUGGGUUGCUUAAAGCUAUAAUUUCACUCAUCCAAGCAUUGAAAUUUGAAAUGGCAGAGCUCGAAUAUACCCCCACAUUUGAUGCUAACCAUAUUCUCUUGACACCCUCACAGCCAAUCAAAGCAUGAAUCGUUGUUUACUCCUUACCAUGGGCACAUUGGACCAAUAUGCAUUCCCCUUUUGAUCAGGUUUUGUCUCACUCAGAGAAUGUUGUGGCAUGCCCUCCACACAAGGUUUUGGCAUUUUGGUGCAAUAUCAGUUUUCCAAAUCUCUGGACCUAAAUUUCUAGCUAUAGAACUUGUUGAUCCCACCUCAUUUUGCAUCUUUUUCAUCUCACACCGGCAACCGGAUUUGACAUUGUACCUCCCAUCCAUAGAAUGUCGCCAUUUAGCUUGUCUUCCUUUCCCGUUUCAGUCAAAGGAAUGCUGUGAAUUUCUUCCUUAUAUGUGACAGAAAAAGCAUCUUAAUAAGCUCCCCCUUCCAUUGUCUUGCUUCAUCGUUAAUGAGAUCAGCCACUAGCAAAGGAUUUACUUCUUGUGAUUCGUGUGGGACAUGGUAUAAAGAUACAUCUCCACUUUGGAGCCAUUUGUCUUCGUAAAUCCUCCAUAACACUCUUCCUUCAUUAUAUCCUUUGACGCCAUAAUAAUACUAGACCACACAUAACUUGGUCUAUGUCCUCUGGAUGCGUCUAAAGGGUGAAAUCGUGGAUAGUAUUUUGCCUUUAGCACUCGGGCCACCAAUGAAUUUUCAAAACAUAUGAGGCCCCACCAUUGCCUUCUCUUUCCACCCUAUUACUUUCAUCCACACUCUUUAACAAAUUGGAAGACCUAUGAUUUUGAUCUACUUAUGAAUGUGGACAAUCCUAGGUAUUUGUCAUGACUUUCCACUACCUUUACACAAGAAGCCUUGUUAGCUCAUCAAUUCUGGGACUAGGAAGAUUUCGCUUACAUGAGAGUUAUUUCAUAGGACAUCAAAAUAUUCACUAGCCUUUUUGCCUCCUCCACCAUGGCUCUACAGAAAAUCAAAAGCUUAUGUUGCGUUAUAAUUAAUCAUUCUAAGUUUCAUCAAUAAUAGGGGGAAGAAUACACUUUAGCCUGUUAGCAAUAGUUUUUGUAAUAAUCUUAAACAAAACAUUACAAAGGCUAAUAGGUCUAAACUCACUAGCAUGAGAGGGAUUUUUUACCUUUUGGAUAAGAGUCUCAUUUAUCAUAGAAGGGUCUUGGUCGAUCACCAUUCAAAAUAUUCAGGGCCAUGUUUGUGACCUCCUCUCUAAUAAUAUAUGCCAAAACUUCUGAUAGAAUAAAGCUGGAUUGCCAUCUUUCCUGGGAGCUUUGGUGGGGUGCACUACUCUAAAAGGCUUCAUAAAUCUCCUCUCUUGAAAACUCCACAUCCAGAAAGGAUCACAUCUCUCCAUAAUUUCUCCCCUCCACAAGGCUUGCAAUUUCUGUCAUGCCAUGAGGCGGAGAUGUGGUAAAAAGAUCAGAGAAAUGCUUUGUUAAUACCUCACCAAUGUCCUCUGCAUUCCUAUACACAUUUCCAUCAUCAUCCUGAUUCUUCUUUGUGGUAUUGACUUGCUUUCGGUGGGAUGUUUUUCUAUGAAAGAAAGUUGUGUUCCUAUCCACAUACAUCAACCACUCCACCUUCAACCUCUGCUUCCAAAGGACCUCCUCAAGCCUUAAAGGCUCCUCCAACUCACCUUCAAUCUCAACUUUUGUGUUUGUUAAGAAACUGACCUGGGGGCUGUGUUGAAUCUUAAAUAGUUUAUUUCAAAGCCUUUUGAUUUUUUGAGACAAAUUUCCAAACCUUUGUGACCCACACUCAUCUAAAUUCGCCCCUAGCUGGGUAAUAUUUUGUGUAUUUAUGCUAUUAGUAGUUGGAAGAUUCUUUCACUCAAACCUUUUUGUCUUUGAACGCCUUCAUCACAUUGGAAGAUUCUUUCGUAUGAAUCUUUCCCACCAACCAAAAACCUUCAUCUUUACUCCUUUCUCCCACUUCAGGUAUUUUGACUAUCUCCCCCUCCUCCUCGAAAUCAACAUCUUUCAUAUUCUUCAUUUUGUGAAAUUCAAGUAGGCAGAUCUGAGAAAAGACAAGAACAGUUGUCUUGAGAUUUGAGAAAAAUCUUCCUGCUCACAACUAGAGAAACCCUAGCAAAGCCUUCAAAGGGAGAUUAAAACAAUAUAAACAUAAAUUUCAAAUUAACUAAUAUUUAUAAUUAAUUAGAUAUCAAUAAUGAUGGUUAACUGUAUUUUUAGGAAAUCAGCAAGCAAACAUUGUUUAAAGUAGUACAAAAACAAGAGCUUGUUUGUUCAUUGUACAUAUUUAUUUUUUGUUUUUAAAUAACAAAACAAAAUGUUUGAUAAAAGUAAUUUGGGAUAUUUUAAAAAACAAUCUUGGUUUUAGUUUUUAAAAUUGAAAGUGAACAAUAUAUGAUUUUUCUCUUGUGUUAAUUACUCUUAUUCUUGGUUUAAAUACAAUUUUGGUCCACCUAUUUUUUUCAAUCCGUAAUUUUGGUCUAUCUAUUUUAAAAUAAAAAUAUUUCAUUCAUUUAUUUUAAGAAAUUCUCAAUGAAACCGUGAACCUAACGUCUUCAUUUAUGGUACCAUAAAAAUGUGUUAAUUAAUUAAAGUGAAUGAAACAAAUGUAGGCAAAAUUCAAAGAUAUACAGAAGUUAUGAUUUUUUUAAAAAUAAUAGACCAAAUGCCUUUAUUUUAAAAUAGUAUAACCAAAAUUGUAGGUGGACUAAAAUUAUAUUUAAGCAUUUCUUAUUUUUGUUGCUUCAUCUUCAUCUUCCAUUAACUUUAUUUUUUCCCGUUCUAAAUAUUAGGUAUUGACAAAUGUUCGGCAAAAAAGUUUUCAAAACCAAAAAAUAAAAUCAGAAUCAAGCACACUCUAAGAACUAUAAUAGAUUUAUCAUUUUGUCAUAUAUAUUUUAUAGAAAUGUUAGUAAGUACCAUGCAAUGGAUGAACCUAAUGGAGAACAAUAGACGCUUGUACAAUUAUAACUUUUUACUCAAAUUUCUCUUAAAUUUUGAUCCAUAUAUGGACACACCUUUUCUUUGUUUUUAUUAUGUUUUUUAUUAUAGGAAUGAAAGUGAGGCUAUCAAAACUAUUGUUGAAAACGUUACGCGUUUGUUAGACAAGACAGAGUUGUUCGUUGCUGAUAAUCCAGUCGGCGUAGAACCACGAGUCCAGGAAAUGAUUGAACUAAUAGACCAAAAACAAUCAAAUGAUGUUCUACUACUCGGGAUGUGGGGGAUGGGAGGCAUUGGUAAAACGACUAUUGCAAAAGCCAUUUACAAUAAGAUUGGCCGCAAUUUUGAGGGAAAAAGCUUCCUCGCACAUAUUAGGGAAGUUUGGGAGCAAGAUGCUGGUCAAGUAUAUCUACAAGAACAACUUCUAUUUGAUAUCGAAAAAGAAACAAACACAAAGAUGCGUAAUGUUGAAUCAGGAAAAGUUAUGUUAAAAGAACGACUUCGCCAUAAAAGGGUACUUCUUAUACUUGAUGAUGUAAAUAAAUUGCAUCAAUUGAAUGUUUUGUGUGGAAGUCGUGAAUGGUUUGGUUCAGGGAGUAGAAUAAUCAUCACAACUAGAGAUAUGCAUAUACUUAGAGGGAGAAGAGUUGACAAAGUGUUCAGAAUGAAAGGAAUGGAUGAAGACGAAUCUAUUGAGCUUUUUAGUUGGCAUGCAUUUAAGCAAGCAAGUCCAAGAGAAGAUUUUAUUGAACUUUCUAGAAAUGUAGUUGCUUAUUCUGCGGGAUUGCCACUAGCUCUUGAAGUCCUUGGGUCCUAUUUGUUUGAUAUGGAGGUAACAGAGUGGAAGAAUGUAUUGGAGAAACUCAAGAAAAUUCCUAAUGAUGAAGUACAAGAGAAAUUAAAAAUAAGCUAUGAUGGUUUAACUGAUGAUACAGAGAAAGGAAUAUUCCUUGAUAUAGCUUGUUUCUUUAUAGGAAUGGACCGGAAUGAUGCUAUACAUAUAUUAAAUGGUUGUGGGCUUUGUGCAGAAAAUGGAAUACGUGUCUUGGUAGAAAGAAGCCUUGUAACUGUAGAUUAUAAGAACAAGCUUGGAAUGCAUGAUUUGCUGUGAGACAUGGGAAGAGAAAUCAUUCGUUCAAAAACACCAAUGGAGCUUGAGGAGCGUAGUAGGUUAUGGUUUCAUGAAGAUGCGCUUGAUGUAUUAUCAAAAGAAACUGUAAGACUUCCAUCUAUUAUUUUUUUUUAUUUAAAAUAUCCAAAGCUAAUGGAUACAACUAACACAUUUAUGAGUCAGUUCUUAAUAUUCAUUUGUGCGAUUGAUUGUCACAAGAAUUUUGAAAAUUGGUUUGGUUGUGAAUUGGUUUUUGCUUCUUAGCUCCUAAAACAAAUGAUGGGUUUUCUCACAAGAGUUUUAACUACCAUAUAUCUUUUUAGCUACGCAUGUUUUACCCUUUCAUUUUUUCUAUCAUAGGGAACAAAAGCUAUUGAGGGACUGGCUUUGAAGUUACCAAGAACUAAUACAAAAUGUUUGAGCACUAAAGCUUUUAAGGAGAUAAAAAAACUCAGGUUGCUUCAACUUGCUGGUGUACAACUGGUUGGAGAUUUCAAGUAUCUUUCCAAAGAUCUUAGAUGGCUUUGUUGGCAUGGAUUUCCUUUAGCAUGCAUACCAACAAACCUUUAUCAAGGAAGUCUAGUUUCCAUUGAGCUAGAAAACAGCAAUGUUAAUCUUUUGUGGAAAGAAGCCCAGGUAUUAAUUUAGGGUGUGUUUGGUUUGUAUUUUCAUUUUCUGUUUUCAUUUCCUGUUUUCAUUUUUUGAAAACUGUUUUCAUUUUCAAAAGAUUUGAAUUCUGAAAACAUGUUUGGUUUGAUUUCUUGUUUUCUGUUUUCAUGAAAUAAAAAUACUGAAAAUUUAUGAUAUAUUGACUUAUUGUCUUUUUGUAUUUUUAGAUUUGCUUAAAACUACAUUCAUUGUCACCGCAAUUUCAUUUUAACCAAAAUGAAGUUUCUGUUCUCAACUGAAAAUACUGAAAACGAAAAUUUAUUGUUUUCAUUUUCUAGUUGUUUCCUGUUUUCAUUUUCACGGAAAAUAUUUUCAGAAAUCAAACCAAACACAUUUUCAUCACCAUUUUCUGUUUUCAGUGAAAAUGAAAACAGAAAACAACCAAACCAAACACCCCCUUAGUUUUUUGAAAUUCAUUAGUAUUUUUUUCUCUUCUUUAUGGUGUAAUUUAAAUUGUCUCAAAUGUUAAUACUAUUUCACUAUAUAGUGCUUUUAGACAAAUUUCAUCAAUGUUUUUCUCAGCCUCUCUUAUAUUGCAAGUACUUAUGUAAAAGUUUAAGUUUAAAUAAAAAAUUUAAUUAUUAAUAUGCUCCUUUUAUUUAUUUAGAAUAUUUAAUUAGGUCAUUUUAUUUCUGAAAGUUUCAAUCAAGUCUUUUAUUUUUUUUAAAUGUCUCAAUGUGAUAUUUUUUGUCUAAUUGAGACUUACGACGUUAAGUUGCAAACUCCAUGAAAAGAAUCACAUUGAGAUAUUUUUAAAAAAUAAAGAAUUUGAUUGAUAAUUGAAUAUUCUAAAUAAAUAAAGAGAUCAAAUUGAUAAUUAAGUAUAACUAAAAUGAACGUUUAUAUAUUCAUAUUCUAAUACAAGCUCUAGCCUCCCUUUUAUACGGUAAGCCUAAAAUUGGAAAUGAUCAAGAUACCAACAUUUAUUUUUUUCAUAUCCUAAAAUAUCUAAAUGAACAUUUAGCAAAAAAAAAAUUAUGCUAAACCACAAAAAUUGAGGCUAAAUGAACAUUUAGCAAAAAAAAAAUUGUGCUUGAGCCAACACUAAAUAGCGUCAACUAAGUUGACUUAUAGAAAACACUAUUAUGAGUCUAUUUGUAUUUGUGGUAUUUACUAGACGACAUUUAUUAGUGUCAAAUUAGAUUAUGUUAAUUUUAGUGUUGACUUAAUUCGUGCUAAUAGUGUAGGUUAGACCUUGGAAACACAAAUCUAAACCUUGAAGCAUCCCCAUUUUUGUGCUGGCAUAGCUGACACAAAUAAAUUUAUAUGCAAUCUAUAGCGAUUAUUUGACCUGAAUUAAGUCAAUGCUAUGUUACAAUAGAUAGUGUAGGCAUUGUGGUGUUGGUGUUAAAUUUUAUGGCUAUUUUGUUCUUUACUUGUGAUACCACCAUUUAAUGAUGCAUUAGAACUUUAAUUCCAAUGCUAAAGUUUACGAAUAUUUUUCUCUUGUAGUGAUAUCCUCAACAUGCAUAAGCAAUAUAAAAAAGUUGCAUUGCCACAUCAUAUAAAAACUCAAAAUUCUUGAUAAUGAUUGUAUGUAUGAAACUUUGGUAUAACAACAAUAAAGUCUUAUUUUUCAUUAGGUAAGUGUAAAACCUUGAUACAUUAAAUUAAAAGUUUUACCGUCAAUGUAAUUCUAAUUUUUUUUUUAAGAUUAUCUAUUAUCUAAUAAAAUAGAUUUUGUAAGUUUAUUAUGAACUUACAUUAUAGUUUUUUUUUUUUAAAAAAAAACAUAAGAGACGGAGCUUAUUAUGACCUCCUCUUCAAAUAAUUAAAUAUAAUAAAAACAAAGGAGAGGUAAGGUAGGAGUUGCAAUUUUUACUAAUUGAUCAAAGAAGCCAUAAAAUGCUCAUAAAAACUUAUAGGAAAAAUUGCAAAAUUAGUCUUCCACUUUAUCUUUAAUUUCAGAUUUGGUUCCUCAUUUUUUUAAUUCAUGAAUUUGGUCUUCUUGUUUUGUAAAAUCGUGCAAUGUUGGUCCUCCAUGACAUAAUUGGACGUUGACUGUUAGCAAAUGAUAUUGAGUGUCACGUGUCACGUUCUUAUUAGAUAAUAACUAUCACGUGUCAUGUUCUAAUUGGAUGUCAACUACAUAAAAAAUAAAAUGCAUUGUUGUUCUCAAAAGAGUUAUAUAUAUAUAUAUAUAUAUAUAUAUAUAUAUAUAUAUAUAUAUAUAAUGGAAGACUUCAAAAGAAAAAGUAAACCUUUAUCAAAAUAUAUUGGCACUAAGAAAUGGCAUUACACAGGUAUAAAUAUUUCACUUUCUAUUGAGAUGCUCGUAACACAAUGUAAUUGAUUCUAUUUAUGUUUUGAGUUUUAUCUCUAACUUUAAUUAUCUAUUGUUUGCUUUUUUUUUUUGUUGUAGGUAAUGGAGAAGCUGAAAAUUCUUAAUCUCAGUCAUUCUCAUUAUUUAACACAGACUCCACACUUUUCAAAUUUGCCUAAUCUUGAAAAGCUAUUACUCAUAGAUUGUCCAAGGUUGUCCGAGAUUUCCUAUACCAUUGGACAUCUCAAUAAAGUUCUUCUAAUAAAUUUUCAAGAUUGUAUUAGCCUUGGUAAGCUUCCAAGAAGUAUCUAUAAGUUGAAAUCUCUUAAAGCACUCAUUCUUUCAGGAUGUUUAAAGAUUGACAAGUUAGAAGAGGAAUUGGAACAAAUGGAGUCUUUGACAACCCUUAUUGCGGAUAAGACUGCAAUAACAAGAGUGCCAUUUUCAAUAGUUAGAUAAAAAAGAAUUGGAUAUAUCUCUUUGUGCGGCUAUGAAGGAUUCUCACGUGAUGUGUUUCCUUCAAUCAUUUGGUCAUGGAUGUCACCAACAAAUAGUCUCUCAUCCCGCGUUCAAGCAUUUCUAGAUGUGUCAUCUCUCGUUUCUUUAGACGUGCCAAAUAGUAGUUCCAAUCAUCUAUCAUAUAUUUCUAAGGACCUUCCACUGCUUCAAAGUCUUUGUAUAGAGUGUGGCUCAGAACUUCAACUUUCUCUAGAUGCUGCAAAUAUUUUGGAUGCUUUAUAUGCCACAAAUUUUGAAGAACUGGAAUCAACUGCAGCCACAUCGCAAAUGCAUAAUAUGAAUGUUUUAACAUUAAUUGAAUGCAACAAUCAAGUACACAACUUAGGAUAAAAAAAAUUCAGGAGAUCACUUUUAAUUCAAAUGGGAACGAGUUGUCAAGUCACCAAUAUUCUGAAACAGAGAAUUUUACAGGUUUUACCCUUAAUUUCUCUCUUAUGUAUCUAAUUUCCUUAUCUUUUGUCAAUAGAAUUAUUUUUAAUAUAUCAAUUAUAUGUGGAAGUGUAUACUAUUAUACGUUAUAUAUAUAUAUAUAUAUAUAGAAAGUUACGAUACGAGUAUUUAGUAAUUAAAAACUAUCUUCUAAUCAUGUGUUAGUCAAUCUGUCAUUGCGGUAAGAGCACGAAAUCCAACAUAAAUCUGAAUUUUACAUUAGUUAAGUGUAGUACUAGUAACAUCAUUUUUAUAUGUACUUUAUUUCAUCAUUAACUGCUAUCAUAUUCAAAGUGCAUAUUUAAUUUAAUGCUAGGUAAUUUUAAAAUAUAUAUAUAUAUAUAUAUAUAUAUAUAUAUAUACACUUUAAUGCGAGGUACAAUUUAUUAUUGUCACGAUAUAAAAUUCAAUAUUAAAUUGAAAAUGUUCUCUCACUUUUCAUUGUUUUUUCGGUUGGUAUAGAACUAUUUUUUAUUCAUUUUAUGUUUAUUUUGUUACGGGUAUGGAACUCUUACUUGGACCAAUGGAUUUUGUUUAAAUUAUCCAAGCAAAUAUAUUUAUGCAUAACUUUAAAUUUUUUUUUAACAAUUUACUUUUCCUACUUAUGAUUGUUCUGAGUAGUUUUUGCGUAAUCAAGAUUAUAAUUUUAAAUGAUGAGAAAAUGAGUUAUUAUCUUGUUAUAUCUUAAAUUGUUGAAUUAAUUAUAUGGUGGUACUAAUACAUUGAUUGAUAAACUUUUGAGCAUAUAUCUUCAUUUUUACAGAAUAUGGCUACUAGUGAUGGUGGUGGUUGUUUGCUCGCCGGUGAUAGCUAUCCAUAUUGGUUAACCUUCAACAGCGAAGGUUCAUCCAUGACUUUUGAAAUCCCUCAAGUGAAAGGGCGUAACUUGAAGAAAAUGAUGUGCCAUGUCCAUUAUUCUUCCCCGGAAAAUAUAACUUCAGAUGGUUUGAAAAAUUUGUUGGUGAUAAAUCACACAAAGGCCAUCAUUCAACUUUAUAAGAGAAAUGCAUUAGUCUCCUUUGAAGAUGAGGAGUGGCAGGGGGUACUAUCAAAAAUAGAGCCUGGAAACAAAGUGCAAAUUGUUGUUGUCUUCUGGAGCAAAUUAACUGUUUACAAGACAACAAUUUAUCUCAUAUAUGAACCAAUGAAUGAAAAAAUAGAGCAUUCCCGUGCACUAAAUAAGAAUGUAAUGGAUUCUAGUGGUGAUGAAAAUGAAUGUGUUGUUGGGACCAUCUCUCUUCAAGUAGAAUCCAUAUAUAAGCCAACAAAUGACAUAAUGGAGCAUUGCCAUGCAUCAAAUAAGAAUGCAAUUGUUUCCAGCAGUGAUGAAAAUGCAUGUGUUGUCAGGCCG